CGAGAUGAAGGUCCUUAAAUUGGAGAACUGUGACAAGUGUGUAUCUCUGCCAUCGCUUGGCCUGAUGAAUUCACUUAAGCACCUUGCUGUUAAAGGGCUGAAGAAACUAAAAAGCAUAGAGUCUGCGGUCUUUCCAUCAUUGGAGACUCUAAGUUUUGAGAAUUUGCCAGAAUGGCAGCAUUGGAACACCAAUAUCAAAGGAAAUGAGCCUGUUGAAAUAUUUCCUCGUCUCCAAGAACUUUCCAUUGCAGAAUGUCCCCAACUCUCUGGAGAACUGCCUGAGCUCCUGCCUUCUUUGGAGACACUUGUUGUUAGUAAAUGUGGAAAGUUGGUAGUUCCAUUGUCAAGCUAUCCGAUGCUCUGCAGAUUAGAAGUUGAUGAGUGCAAAGAGCUAGUGUGCAGGACUCCAAUUAAUUUUGAGUUGAUAAAGUCUGUGACUAUUUCAAAUAAUUCAUUACUCAUGAAUGGAUGCAAGGAGAUGCUAUGCCAUGGUCAAGCUGGCUCUUCACUGCAGAAACCCAAGACUAUUAUGAAUGUUUUGGAGUUCGGAAAAUUAUUGAAGCCUGGAUUUCAGAUAUUAGAAACUUUGGUAAUUGGCAAUUCUGAACGGCUCAAGUCAUGGAGUACUUUUAUUGAACCAGGGCUACAUUUGCUCGCUUCCCCUGAAGAGGUAGCAAUUGAAGAAAGUUGUGUACGUCUUGUUUUGUUUCCAGAGAUCAAUUUCUUUCCCAGAAAUCUGCGCUCUCUUCGAAUUUGCAACAGCACUGCUUUCAAAUCCUUACCCGAGGAAAUGAUGGAAAACAAUUCACAACUCGAAAGGUUGUAUAUCAGAGAUUGCGACUCUCUAACAUUCAUCGCAAGACGGAGGCUACCAGCAUCUCUUAAAAGGCUUGAGAUAGAAAAUUGUGAGAAAUUGCAACGUCUGUUCGAUGAUGAAGAGGAUGCUUCUUCUUCUUCUCCUUCAUCCUUGUCUUCCCCAGUGAUGCUGCAACACCUGAGAAUAGAGAAUUGCCCAGAGCUCACCAGUUUAUCAUCGGGUGUCCAAUUCCUUGAGGCGCUUGAAUACCUCAAGAUAGAGCAUUGUCCAAAGCUGGAGUCAAUACCGGAUGGCCUGCCCAAUCUUAAAUGUUUACAGAGCAUUUAUAUACGGAAAUGUCCAAGUCUUGUUUCCUUCUUAGAAAGAGGGCUUCCCAACGCCAUUUCAAGUUUUUACAUUUGCAGAUGUGACAAGCUCGAAGCCUUGCCCAAUGAUAUGCACAAACUCAACUCUCUUCGAGAUUUAAGCAUACAUGGGUGUCCAAGUCUUGUUUCCUUCCCAGAAAGAGGGCUUCCCAACGCCAUUUCAAGGGUUUACGUUUGCAGAUGUGAGAAGCUCGAAGCCUUGCCCAAUGAUUUGCACAAACUCAACUCUCUUCGAGGUUUAAGCAUACAGAUGUGUCCAAAUCUUGUAUCGUUUCCAGAAGAAGGUUUUCCUACCAAUCUAACAUCACUUACAAUUAGAUAUUUCAAAAUGUAUAAGACACUCGUCCAGUGGGGGUUGCACAGGCUUACCUCUCUUAAACGCCUCUGGAUUGCUGUACGUGAUGAUGAAGCAGAGUGUUUUCCAGACGAGGAGAUAGGAAUGACGCUGCCCACCUCUCUCACCGCUCUGCACCUUACUGGAUUCGAAAAUUUGAUAUUUCUGUCUUCAAUGGGUUUUCAAAACCUCACCUCUCUUCAAUCUUUGAGGAUCGAGAAUUGCCCGAAUCUCACAUCAUUUCCAGAGGUGGGCCUUCCAUCCUCACUUUUGGAAUUACACAUUAGAGAUUGUCUAAAGCUUAAAAAAGCGUGCAAAAGAGAUCAAGGAAAAGAGUGGCCCAAAAUUGCUCACAUCCCUCGCGUUGAGAUAGACGAUAAAUUCAUAUACGAUCCAGAAGCAGAGUAGAUUCUAUUAUUAAGGUCAGUUGAUUUGUAUUAUCCGCUAUAACAAGCUCCUCCUUUUUUUUUCAAAUAAUAAUUUUGCAGUCACUCAUAUGAUUCCGUUUUCACAAGUCAGAUUGUAUGUUGAGGCUAUUUGCCUUUUAAUUAUAACACUUAUUGGAGUAUAAUAUUUUGGAGCAAGCAUACUUGAAAUUUCUGUCUUCAAUAUUUUGAUGCUUUUUUAAUUUUUGAUCUAGUAAAAAUACAUAGCCUUCACCGGCAGGAUUCUAGUCUUGGCUUUCACCUCUCUAACUCAUCGUCCCCACUGGGAUUCCAGAAAUUGAAAUUUCUGUCUUCAAUGGGUUUUCAAAGCCUCGCCUCUCUUCGAUUUUUAUGGAUCGCUUCGAUUUUUGCACAAAUCUCACAUCAUUUCCCGAGGUCGAGGAAAAGAGCGGCCCAAACUUGCUCGCAUCCCUUGGGUUAUGAUAGAUGGAAAAUUCAUAUACGAUCCAGAGUCAGAGGUGUUGAUUCUCUUAUUAAGGUCAACUGAUUUCUAUUAUCCACUCUGACAAUCUCCUAUUAGUGUUUUUCCUUUUCUUUUUCAAAAUUUUGCAGUUCUGUAUAAUUGAAAAUGCCACUCACUUGUUUCCUUUUUCGCAGGUCAAAUAGUGCGUUGAGGCUAUUUGCUUUCUAUCGGUGUUUGUUAAGGUAAUUAGUGCUCCAUCAUAGGUAUGACUGGAUUUUUUUCACUUCCGUAAAUAUUGCAUUUCUAUCGGUGUUUGACUGGAUUUUUUUCACUUCCGAAAAUAUUGCAUUUUAGACUGGCAAAUUUAGCAGUAAUUUUAAUACAAUUUUGUUGGUGCCUUUUGUUCCAGAAGCUAGAAAAAUGUGUAGUUUUCAGAUAAGGAGGCUUGUCAGUUCUCUAAUAAGAAUCCAAUAAUUUGCUUUUGCACGUCCAUCUAAUUUGUGGAUCCUUGCAUCAGAAUUUGAUCAAUCCAAAAGGAAUUGCUUUUAGACAGAGGAAGAAUAGCAGUACCUAGCCUAUGUCAUAGUGUAUGGAACCGCAAACCUGAAACUAUUAGAUUGAGGUAAAAAAAUCAUUGACCCCCUCACAUGUUAACUUCUUCUAGUUACUUUCGUUGGAAAAAAAAACAUUUAAGGAAUUUGCAAUUUGUUGUUGGUUAUGGUAUCUGAUGUUCUUUUCUGUUUUAGUGUUUGUAGAAUCUACUGUAUUAUGUGUUGGCAGUUGCCGUAUCUGAGGUAACUUGCCUUUAUUUGACAAAGAUUUAGAGAAGCAUCUCAAAACACUUAGUAAACUUGACAAACUUCAAGAUGCACUUGCCCCCACGCCUUAUUCUCCACAACGCAAAACUUGUGAGUACACCUAUGCCUGCAAUUAUUGUGAAGUGUUUUCAAUUUUGAUGCAGAGAAAUGGUUUCUUGAUGCAAAAUAUUAAACUGUUAAGAUUUAUCCUGCAGGCUUGUUAGAUGCUGUAUGCUCGAAAAGCCAACAACAUCCAGAACUAGAACUCCAAGACCAGCUUUGCGUUAAUUCAGUCAACUGUAAUAAUAAUGCAAAUGACACUAUAUCAAGCUGGACUUAGAGACUAGUCAGAUCAAUCAUCCAUUUCAUCAACGGUUAAUGUCAUGAUGGUGGCUAUCAGAGGAAACAAAAGAUGUGUCGGAAUCUAUACGAACAUUGAGAAGCAUGAGAGGAGCUUUGAUUUUGAGUAGGGUCAAUGAACUCAUGUUGGUAAGUGGUAAUUAAAGAAAUUUGUAAGCUUAGUAGAGUUUCAGUAUUUUCUGUUUGGAGUAUAGUUGAUAAGUUGACUCUGUUUAAUAAGCCCGAUUAUAGUAGCUGACUGUAUUAACCUUUUUUUUUUUGGUCUACUGUUGUUUUUGGUUUCGAUUAUUUUUUCAACAUUGGGUUGAUCUGUUGAAGAACAAGCUUGGGUUCGAUUCUGCUUUAACUACAAGGAAGAGCCAGACUUGGAUGCAGGCGUUAAGAUUUUAAUGGGUAAGAACAAAUGAAUGCUUUAACCAUGUUUCUCACUAAUUAAAAUGCACGGAUUGAAGGCAUCUGGGUUGAUCCUGACAAUGUGAUGGAAAUACUUCUCUAUUUUGUUCCUGUGUUCACAUAAUGUUUGUGGGAUAUGCUUCGACGAAGACCAGCAAUGAUGAGCAGACACCUGGUAAUAGGGUUCCUCGAGCAGGUAUAUCUUGUAAGAGUAUGGUAUUCAGGGGAGCAGGAGCAGGAAUAUCCUGCUCAUCCGCGAGCACGUCAUCCACGAGGCCAAUCUCCUGUUGGAAGCAUAAAGCCAUUCCUGCUACAUUCCUGCUAAGGGUUGAGUCGAGGAGACCCGGUCAACGACAGUUGGCGAGGCGUGCUCUCCAGUCCGAGAAUCAAGGCAUGAAGGCCACGCAACCACCCACGACUACGGAAAUGGGGCAUCCACUUUCGAGAGGUGGGAGGAUAACGAGCGCGAAUGGAAGAAGGCCCGAGUUCAGAGAUGGCCUAUAAAAAAGUAGCCAACAAAGGUAAAAGGGUUAGAAUUUUUGACAUUGUAACAGAAAAAAAGAAAGCUCUAAAGAACUGAGACUAAAAAAGAAAAGCCAUAAGAUUUGUGGCUAGUGUUCCCAGAACCUUCAUAUCUAACUUGAGCGUCGGAGGGUUUACGCCGGGAAAACAACCGGCGUACUCUGACCUAGUUCUGUGUACGCAGGAACUUCUGGAGAAGAAGCCUUACGAGGAGAGAUCCUAAUCGAGGUGGAGUUGAUCGAGCAAAGAUCCUGGUCGUAACAAGAGAGCAACCAGAAUCUCGCAUCAACAUUUUGGCGCCAUCUGUGGGGACUUGAUCAAAAAGCUUCUGUUGAUAGCAAGAAGAGGAGUGAAGCAAGUGGAAAAGCAAUGGAGGCAAGAAGAAAUAGUGCACAAUGGGGUGAUAUGAGGCUUAACGAUUCCGUGACGCUGAGGGAGAUAGCCAGUGAAGCACGGGAAAAAGCCAUGUUUGACCGGAUGGAACGGAUGGAAAAGCAGAUGCAGACCCUGACAACCAUCCUACAUGAGCUGCGGAGUGAACGAAGGGGAACCCAGGAGGAAAGGGUGAGAGGUGGUGGAGUGGCACCAGGUCAUGAUAGUACGAGGAGAAGUCAAACCACCGAGAGAUUUGGUGGUGAGAGAGGUAACCUAUCUCUACGGGGAGAAAUUCAUAGAGAGGAAGAGCAAUCCCCGGCAAGACAGAUUUUUGACGAGGACGACGGGGUGGCGAAUGCAGAGGAAACAGAGUUGAGGUAACACUUGCAUGAUGUAGAGCAAGAGCGGGAUCAAGUUGCAGCACGUGACCUUGGUCGUGUAGUGCAGCUGGAGGAGGAAGUGCGCAGACUAGCGCAGAUAAUUGAUGACAUGUAAGGAAGGAGCAGAGCUCCUGGUUGGAGGAUAAUGCUGGACGGAGAAUCACCGCUCGCAGCAGAGAUCAUGAGGGCAGUUAUUCCAAGAGAUUUCCGCCUCCCAGACCUUAGAUAUUCGGGACGAACUGAUCCGCUGGUGCACAUAGAGCGCUUCAACGACAUAACCGGGGUACAAGGAUUAUCUCAAUCCCAAAGGUGCAGGGUGUUCCCACUAUCCCUUGAGGGACGUGCACGCAAGUGGUACAGGAAACUUCCUCGGUGGAGCAUUAAAACCUUCGAGCAGAUGUGACAGGAAUUUGUAGAGCAGUUUCGUGGGGCAAUAGCACCAGAAGAUGACAUGAUGGAGUUGAAAAGCAUGAAGCAGGGGGAACAAGAAACCCUUCGGGAAUUCAUCAAGAGGUUUCAUCGUGCUGUCCUCGAUUUGGGAGCCUUCAACCAUUCUCAGGCAUUAAGGGGAUUGAAAGAAGGGGUGAAGAUAGGAAGGCUGUGGCACAACUUGAGAAGCCCAGUUAUUCAGAUGUAUACAGCCGCAUACGAGCAGGCUAAGAGGGACAUUGAGAUUGAAGAAGAAAAGGCAGCACGGAUUAAGACAGACCAGCUAGAAGGGUUGGGAAAGAAAGAGAAGAAAGCAUUACCAGGGAAUGGGCCGAUCAGGAGGAAGGACCACCAGGCCUCAGGUAGUGGUGCAAGAGGUCGAGUAACCGCUUACCAGCCUCAUCAGAGACCACCACAGUAUUAGCACAGCAGAGCACAACCUCCUCGUUCCCCAGUUAGAGAGCUUUGGAGAAGGCAUGACUCGACAUAUGGUGGUCUUCAUCAACACUCCCACGGUAGUAGAGGGAGCAGACCAGAAGCGCUGCCACCGCCUCUAACUCAGAAUGGAACAAAUAGAGAAAGGGUAGUGCACAUGAUCGACCAGAACCAGGACUAUGGGCAGUAUACUUCCUUGAAGAUGUCCCUGGACGAGGUGUACGAGGCCAUAAAGGACCGGGGAUUGAUGUACCUCCCUGCCCCAAUAACAAAGCUACCCAGCAGGACGGAUAGGGGACGCUAUUGUAAGUUCCAUGGCACUUAUGGCCAUACCACUGCAGAAUGCAGAGAUCUCAAGACCCAAGUUGAAGAUUUGGUGAGAAAUCGGUACCUGGAUGAGUUUAUAGAUGAGACUUUCCCGAUGGUGGCCUCGACAUGUGAAGGGGAGCAGAGUGAUAGAAACUUUAGGCGCGAGCAGCCUGCAGUAAGGGUAAUAGCUGGGGGCCCAACAUUGGCCGGAGAUUUCAACAGAUCGAGGAAGAAUUAUGCUAGAUACGCCAUAACUAGUAAAGAGUUACUCUUCAACACCCCAGCAGCCAAAUGAGUAAGAGUCAGACAAGUGCCAAUCAUGUGGACGGAUGAAGAUGAAGAAGAGAUUCUAUACCCCCACGAGGAUGCUUUAGUCAUCAAGGCUACUGUUGCAAGUAAGAAGUUUGACCGGAUACUGGUUGAUACAGGGAGCUCAGUUGAUGUGUUAUUUAAGUCAACUCUGGAGGAGAUGGGAAUAGCAGGCCGGAAGUUGGAGUACACCAAUACCUCCUUGAAAGGGUUUGGAGGAGGAAAGCUGGUCCCUCUGGGCGUGGUCGAGCUGCCUAUCACGAUUGGGAGCUCCCCGACAAAAAGGACUAUGAUACUGGACUUUGUGGUGGUGGAUGAAGAAUGUCCUUACCAGAUGAUCUUAGGUCGGCCAUUUCUGAGGAUGAGCAAAGCGGUACUGUCCAACCAUUAUCUGGCUCUCAAGUACCGAGUGAAUGUGGUAGUUGGAGUGGUACGAGGAGACCAGAGAAUAGCACGAAGCUGCUACUCCUUGGCAGCAAGGGAAGCAAUGCAAAUAACAUCCCUUGAUACCCGAGUGGAAAACAUGAAUGGCAGACAAGAACCUGUAGAGGAGCUGGAGACAGUAAGCCUGGGACCAGAGAAUCCGGGAAAAACGAUCAGAAUCGAGUCGAGACUUAAGGAAGAGCAGAAGCAGGAGUUGGUGAAAUGCUUACAGGCUCAUGCAGAUGUGUUUGCUUGGACACAUGAAGACAUGCCAGAGAUUGAUCCUGAGGUAGCAUGUCAUAAGCUGGCAAUAAAGAAAGGUGCUCGGGCAGUAAGGCAGAAAAGGAGGUGCUUCAACCAGGAGAGGUAUGAGGCUAUAAAUGGCGAGGUGGAGAAGCUCUUGAUAGCAGGGUUCAUUUGCGAAGUCGAUUAUCCUGAGUGGAUAUCGAAUGUGGUGUUGGUAAAGAAGGCAAAUGGCAAGUGGAGGAUGUGUGUAGAUUUCACAGAUCUCAAUAAGGCGUGCCCGAAAGACAGCUUUCCUUUAUCAAAGAUCGACCAGCUAGUAGAUUCAACGGCUGGACACGGCCUGCUUAGCUUCAUGGACGCGUUUUCGGGAUACAACCAAAUUCCCAUGUAUGAGCAGGAUGAGGAGAGCACGGCUUUUAUUACUAACCAGGGUUUAUUUUGUUACAGGGUAAUGCCAUUUGGUCUUAAAAAUACUGGGGCCACGUACCAGAGGCUGGUGAAUAAAGUCUUUAAGCCAUUGAUUAGGAGAACCAUGGAGGUGUACGUGGACGACAUGAUAACCAAGUUGAACAUCCCGAAGGAACAUGUCAGAUACCUCGAGGAGACAUUCGGGCUUUUGAGGAAGUAUAAGAUGAAGCUCAACCCGGAAAAGUGUGCUUUUGGGGUCGAGUCAGGGAAAUUCCUUGGAUUCAUGGUGAGCCAUAGGGGGAUCGAAGCAAAUCCCGAGAAGAUCCACGCGAUCGUGUAAAUGAGGUCACCUCGUAGCCUGAAGGAGAUGCAGAGCCUCACGGGGAGGUUGGCGGCAUUGAGCCGAUUCAUAUCCAAGGCUACUGAUAAGUGUCAGCCAUUCUUUCAAGUGAUAAGGAGGGGAAAGAAAAUAGAAUGGACCCCAGAAUGUGAAGAAGCCUUCCAGAACUUGAAGCAGUACUUGCAGCAAGCACCUCUACUGUCCACACCGAGGGAUGGGGACAAGUUAUUUUUGUAUUUGGCGGUAUUAGAUCGGGCCGCAAGUUUUGUUCUGGUGAGAGAGGAAGAAGGGGUUCAGUAUCCGAUAUACUACACCAGCAAGGCUCUGCUCGACCCUGAGACCAGAUACCCACCGUUGGAGAAAUGGGCAUUUGCCCUUGUGGUUGCUGCUCAGAAGCUGAGGCCAUACUUUCAAGCAUUCCCAGUCUCGGUAAUAACAAACCAGCCAUUGCGUCAAACUCUGCACAAGCCAGAUGCUUCUGGUCGGCUCGUCAAGUGGACUAUAGAGCUGAGCGAGUUCGACAUAGACUACAAACCCCGAGCAGCGAUAAAGGCUCAGGCGAUGGCCGAUUUCAUAGCAGAAUUCACAGAGCCCGAAAUAUGUUUGGACCAGCGAGAUGUAGCUACAGACAGCAACGAAGCCCGAGUAUGGCAGAUGUCUGUAGAUGGAUCAUCCGGGGAGUAGGGAUCAGGAGCAGGAAUUGUUUUGGAAGGCCCAGAAGGGGAGGAGAUCUCUUAUGCUGUAAAGUUAGAAUUCGCAGCCACAAAUAACCAAGCAGAGUACGAAGCCUUGAUAGCAGGUUUGGAAUUGGCUAAGGCAGUGAAAGCGGAUAGAGUGAAGAUCAGAACUGAUUCCCAGCUGGUCGCAAAUCAUGUCAGUGAAAGAUUUCAACCGAGAGAGGAGAAGAUGGAGCAGUACCUGAAGAUAGUCAGGCAUAUGAUGGGGAAAUUUGAAGCGGUUUAGGUGAUACAAAUCCCCAGGGAGCAGAAUAGUCGAGCAGAUAUUUUGACGAGGAUGGCAGCGGUAGCAGACCCAAAAAUGCCAAAGUCGAUCCCUCUGGAGGUGAAGUCCAGCCCGAGCAUCGAGCAUAAUUUGGGGGUGCUGCGGAUAGAACAAAAAUGCUCGUGGAUGGACCCGAUAAUUUCAUACCUUAGAGACGGGGUAUUACCACCAGAGAAGCUGCGAGCUCGGAAGAUUAGAGCCCAGGCCUCGAGAUACACGAUGAUUGACGGGGUAUUAUAUCGGCGAGGAUAUACGCUACCUUUCCUUCGGUGUUUGGAUGAGGACGACGCGGACUACGUACUGAGAGAAGUACAUGAAGGAAUUUGCGAAAAUCACUAUGGUGGGAGGUCCCUGGCUCACAAGGUUCUAAGGCAGGGAUAUUUCUGGCCGACAAUGCACCAGGAUGCGCAAGAGAAGACCAGGAGCUGUGUAAGCUGCCAGAGUUUUGUGAGUUUCUCUAACCAACCACCAGAGAAGCUCACCUCUAUGGCCCCCCCCUGGCCAUUUGCUCAAUGGGGAAUUGAUCUGAUCGGCCCGUUGCCAAAGGGAUGAGGAGCAGCAACACAUGCAAUAGUUGCGAUAGACUACUUCACGAAGUGGAUAGAGGUAGAAGCCCUUAGUAGGAUCACAGAGAAGAAAACAACAGACUUUGUAUGGAGAAACCUGGUCUGUCGAUACGGGAUCCCUUAUGCCUUGGUAACGGAUAAUGGCAGGCAGUUUGAUAAUCACAGCUUCAGGGAUUUCUGCCAGAACCUCGAGAUAGAGUUGAAGUAUUGCUCGCCUGCUCACCCUCAAUCUAAUGGACAAGUAGAAGCAGCCAACAAGACCAUCAAGAGGCUUUUGAAAACCAGGCUUGGAGCAAAAAAGGGUGCAUGGGUUGAUGAGCUGUCAGGUGUCCUAUGGGUAUACAAGACAACCCACAAAACAGCAACUGGGGAGACACCGUUCGCCUUGGCUUUCGAACAUGAAGCGGUCGUACCAGCCGAGAUAGGAACGACCACGCACCGGACAGAUCAUUUCAAUGAGCAGGAGAACGACGAGCAGAUGUGUUUGAAUCUAGAUCUGCUAAUGGAAAAGAGGGAGCAAGCAGCCGAGCGAUCAACCAUUUGCCAGCAGAGGGUUGCUCGGUAUUAUAACCAGAAGGUGAAUGUACGGCAGUUCAAGGUCGGAGAUUGGGUGUUAAGAAGAGUGAAUCAGAAUACGAAAGACUCGGCUCAGGGAGUACUUGGACCAAAUUGGGAGGGGCCAUAUAGGGUCAAGCAGCUAGUUGGACCCGGAGCUUACAAGCUGGUUCGCUCGGAUGGCCACGAGGUGAAACGCCCAUGGAACGCAACACACCUCAGGAAAUAUUUCCAGUAAGAAUUGUCCAUGUUUUCAAGUUAUUUCUGUUCGUGUUUGUUGUUAUUUAUUUUAUGUCAAAACAAUUUCAUGUAAGUUGAAUCCUGCAAUUAAUGAAACGUCGAGGAAUUUCAUUCACUUGAAACUGUGAAAAAUCUACUAAGGCAUGCUAAGGCUCACUGAGUCUCAAAGCCUGUUUAUGGAAAGACCAGAAGCCAAGUGUGCCAGGAUCUGCUCGACCACGCGAAGGCCAGCAGAAUCCCAAAUCAUUGAAGAAUCUACCAAGGCAUGCAAAGGCUCGUCAAGUCUCAAAGCCUGUUUAUGGCGAGACCAGAAGCCAAGUGUGCCAGGAUCUGCUCAACCACGCGAAGGCGAGCAGAAUCCCAAUCAUUGAAGAAUCUACCAAGGCAUGCAAAGGCUCGUCAAGUCUCAAAGCCUGUUUAUGGCGAGACCAGAAGCCAAGUGUGCUAGGAUCUGCUCAACCACGCGAAGGCGAGCAGAAUCCCAAUCAUUGAAGAAUCUACUAAGGCAUGCUAAGGCUCACCGAGUCUCAAAGUCUGUUUAUGGCGAGACCAGAAGCCAAGUGUGCUAGGAUCUGCUCGACCACACGAAGGCGAGCAGAAUCCUAAAUCAUUGAAGAAUCUACCAAGGCAUGCAAAGGCUCGUCAAGUCUCAAAGCCUGUUUAUGGCGAGACCAGAAGCCAAGCAUGCCGGGAUCUGCUCGGCCAAGUAAAGGCCAGCAGACUCCCCAACAUCAAAAAAUUAUCCAAGGCAUGCAAAGGCUCGUCAAGUCUCAAAGCCUGUUUAUGGCGAUACCGGAAGCCAAGCAUGCCGGGAUCUGCUCGACCAAGUGAAGGCUAGCAGACUCCCCAACACUGGGAAAAUUAUCUAAGGCAUGAGAAAGCUCGUCAACUCUCAAGGCCUCCUCUGUGACGAGGUCAGAAGCCAAAUGGAUAAAUAAAUUAAAAUUCCAAUGCGAGGAAGCAAAUAAGAACAAUUUUAUUAAGCUCUUAAAAGUCUGCAAUUCUGUUACAUACAACGCUAAAAAAGCAAUUACAACGCAAGACAAGUUCAGGAGGACGGCGGAUCAGUAAACCGAGUAGCUUCGGUUGGCUGGUCCACUUCAGGGGUCGAGGGGGUGUCACCAGUUGCGUCCGGGGGGGUACUCGCCUCACCAACGUUAGCAGGGACUGCAUGAGGAGGAGAGUUUUCCUCCUCAACCACGAUUGGCUCCACCCCUUCGGCAUCCUCCUUUGCCGCCUCCUCGUCCAUGUGUUGAACAAUACUAGCCGCAAGGUCAUCCAUCUUCAGAUCAGGAUGCUGCUUCCCGAGGACGGCCAUGAUGCAACGAUAGGAAUGCCGAAGUCCCUGGUCGUACUGGUUGUCGGCUUCCUUCUCCAAGUUCUUGACCUGAACUCGGUGGGAAUCGCGGAGAGAUUCGAGCUGAGCCUCGUACAUAAUUUUCUGCCUUUGCAGAUCCUCCUUGACCUUAGUCAGCUCUUCCUCGAGAGUAACGGCCUAUGCUUGAGCAAGAGAUUCUUGCUCUAUCAGCUUCAGAUUCUCGAGAUUCAAGUCUCCCGCUUUCUUCUCGGCAGCAUCGGCUCUGGUCGUCGCCGAUUGAAUGUCCUCCUUCAUCUUCCGGUCGUAACGGCCAACCUUGGCCUUAUAGUAAGUGGUCAUGCAGCUGAGGUGGAAAGCGCUAUACUGCAUGGCCCCCACCAGCUCACCUAGGGUGCAGCCAUCAAAGUCCUCCAGGUCCUUCUUGCUCACGAGUUUAAAUAGCUCAUUGAGAUAGGGGACCAAGUGUUCUGCUCGGUGGUCAGAUAAACGAGAUCUAGGCCCGACAGGAGGAGAAGAGAAAGCAGGAUCAGUGGCAGCUCCACUAGUCUCUCUGACUUUGGCAGGAGGAGGAGGAGGUAGAGUCUGCAAGGGAGCAACCUGUUGCACGAUGUUCACCUGCUUUGCAGUAGGAGCAUCUUUAUUCUGGUCCUGCUUGGUCGUUGGAGGUCGAGAACGUUUCCUAGUCAGAGCCCCAAUCACAGCAUCCUCCAUCUUAUGGCCGGGAGGCACCAAACAAGACUCGAGCAGGUUAUAAGUAGUUAUCAGCUCUCGGCUCGAGCAGGAAUUGGCUAGUACAGCCUCGACCCGUUUGAGCUGGUCAGGUUUGAGCGGGAAGUAAACACCCCAAGAACCUGCAACACAAAUAGACACUUGGUUAGAGACAAACCAGUAUAGCGAGAACAAUUAUGGAUACAAGACAUCUAAAGCGAGCAGGCAACCUGAGAUCACGAAACGGGGUGGGACGCAAGAAUCCUUCCCGUCAAUUUGUGCAACUUGACCCCAGGAACCCCCAGCAAAAAAGAAUUUUUUCUUCCAAUUCCCACCACCACCAGUAAGAAGAUCGGUUAUGGGUUUCCUGGUCUUGGUACUAGAUUGGAAGUAGUACCAGCCGGCAUCUUUGGGGCUGCUCUUUAGCUGGUACAGGUGCUUCACCUCAUCAACUGUGGGCUUGCUUUGGCAACAUCUGUCCCACAAUAUGAACAGACCAGAGAGUACUUUCCACCCGUUGGGGUUCAGCUGACCAGGAGCUAGAUUUAGCCCGUUAAGCAUCCGGGCAAAGUAGGGUUGCAAGGGACACCUCAGCCCAUACUUAAAGCUCUCUAGAAACAGGGUAACGUAUCCCCUAGGAGGCCGGCUAGGGGUAUCCUUCUUUCCUGGGAUCUUAAGAGGUAUUUCACCAGGAAUACUAUACUUAAGCCGGAGGUCAGUGAGCUCGUCAAACGUGGUCGUGCACGUCAUGUAAUCAAUAGCGUAAUCCCGCGAUAGGGCUCUACCUCCUACUGUACUCUGCCCUUCUGGUCGCGAUGUUCAUAAUGGGGACACCUCACCAGAAUCACCUCUUCGAUCCUCACUCAGGGUGUUUUCCGAGCCAGAAAACCCCUCCUCACCGCUAUUUCUGCUCGAGGAGGUUGUUUGGGGGGACAUCCUCCUAGCGCUAGUACCAACACUAGGUCUAAUGGGUUCUAAGGGGAUCCCGGGGUCAAAAGCAGGAUCGGUGAGCAGACUAGGCAGGAAGUCCAACUCAUUGUCAUCAACCUCAAUGACCUUCUCUUUACCUUUCGACAUUCCCUAAGCUAUAACUAGAACACCACCACCAACUACUACCCAAGCAAAGCAAAGAGAAAAGAAAUUAUCUACAGCUAUCCGAGACUGAGGAGAUAGAAGUAAUACCUGAAAUAGUGGUUCAGUCGGAGAAGGACAGGGAUGGAGGCCUUUAUGCCGGAACUUCUUUGCCAGGGAGACAGGGACAGAGACGGGGUAAAUGACGAAUUUUCCUUUGGAGAGGUUUUAGGUUUUCCUAAUGGAGAAUAAACUCUUGGGUUGCCAGCAUUUAACAGCACCAAAUCCCGAGGGUCUCGUAACCGUUGGUUUGAAAUUCAAAUAGAGAGGUAGAUUUCUGUCACAUCACCUCGUCCGCAAUUAAAUGCGACACAACUCUUGGCAGCCUUUUUCCUAUCCCGCGCAAGCAAGAGCUGUCAAGUUUCUACUAUCGGCUUACUACGUUACCCAACACCAGAAACUGGGGGAUCGGUGUUUGUGGGAUAUGCUUCGACGAAGACCAGCAAUGAUGAGCAGACAUCUGGUAAUAGGGUUCCUCGAGCAGGUAUAUCUUGUAAGAGUCUAGUAUCCGGGGGAGCAGGAGCAGGAAUAUCCUGCUCAUCCGCGAGCACGUCAUCCACGAGGCCAAUCUCCUGUUGGAAGCAUAAAGUCAUUCAUGCUACAUUCCUGCUAAGGGUUGAGUCGAGGAGACCCGGUCAACGACAGUUGGCGAGAUGUGCUCUCCAGUCCGAGAAUCAAGGCACGAAGGCCACGCAACCACCCACGACUACGGAAAUGGGGCAUCCACUUUCGAGAGGUGGGAGGAUAACAAGCGCGAAUGGAGGGAAGGCCCGAGUUUAGAGGUGGCCUAUAAAAAGGUAGCCAACGAAGGUAAAAGGGUUAGAAUUUUUGACAUUGUAACAGAAAAAAAGAAAGCUCUAAAGAACUGAGACUAAAAAAGAAAAGCCAUAAGAUUUGUGGUUAGCGUUCCCAGAACCUUCAUAUCUGACUAGAGCGUCGGAGGGUUUACGCCGGGAAAAGAACCGGCAUACUCUGACCUGCUUCUGUAUACGCAGGAACUUCUGGAGAAGAAGCCUUACAAGGAGAGAUCCUGAUCGAGGUGGAGUUGAUCGAGCAGAGAUCCUGGUCGUAACAAGAGAGCAACCAGAAUCUCACAUCAACACAUAAUAUAAUAUAUAUAUAUAUAUAUAGAAAGCUGAAUUUAUUUAUUUACGCGCAUGUGCUAGUGCCCACUGGCAUCCACUUGAUUUGUAUCGGUUAAAUGUAUCAUACAAUACAAUAUUAGCUUGACUGUAGAAAAGAGGAGAACGAGUUGGUGUUGGUCUGAACUCUUAUCUUUGAAUCUCACGUGACUCCACUACUUUUUACUUGUUCUGUAGUCCAUUGUCGGCAGCUCAUACAAGGUCUUUUAGCUUUUUAAAAAGUUUUAGCUUUUUGGAUAAAUUACUGAUAAUUGUAAUCUAUAAAUAAUGAAAGGAAUUAAUUAAAUAUUUGGUAAAUUUUAUUUUUUAAAGUGUUAUGAGUUUUAAAAACGGUUGUAUGUAUAUAAAUUUAUUUACACAUAUAUUUAUAAAUAUGACUAUAUAAUAAUAUUUUAUGUGUACAUAUAAUAAUUGAUAACUAAAAUAAAUAUUUUUAUUUUAUUAAUGGUUUUUUCGUCUCAAUGUAGUUGGUAAUAAUAAUCUCUUGAGAUGUAACGAUUUUAUUUCCUAACUGAAUAAGGAAAAUUUUAGAUUUUUAUAAUAAAUGUUAAGAUAUAUUUAGAAUUACAUUAAGUAUGAAAUAAUCCUCAAAAUUAGAUUUUGAAAAGCAAUUCUUUUCUUGCCUUUAAAAAUAUGUCAUAUGAUGAGAUGAUUUUACUAAAAGUGAUUUUUUUUUAAAAAAUUACUAAACAUCAAAAUUAACUCUUAACUUUUUAAAAUCAUUUCUAAUCUUCUCAUCCUAAGUUCUCUAUUAUUUUGUACAAAAUCCAAGGUUUUGACUUUAAUAAAAUGCCCACUCAAAAAGAAAUUAUUUUCUAAUUAAGAUUUGUUGUUAAUGUAUAACUCGAAGUAAUAUUAGAUAUUUGUAAUUUUAUUUCAAAAAAUUUAUUCAAAUGAUAUGGCAAGCAAUGAACAAUAGUUGAUAGCAAUUUUUUUUUCUUUAACAAUGUUCAAAUCAAUCAGUUGCAUUAUCUCACCAUUUUUAUGAUGCCAUGUUAUUUUAAACGAUUUUUUUUUUAUAUAAAACAUACGACGUGUUAACAUCAUUUGCAUAACUUGACCUUUUUUUUUUUCCCUACAAAUAGUAAGUCAAAUUUACUCACCCUAUUUCUACCUAAAAUCUACCUAAAACUCAUGCAUCACUGCAAAACAAAUCCAAAGAUUGCGGUGCGUUUUUCUUGGUCAGAAAUCAAUAAUUAGGUCAAGUACUACUACUAAGCGUGCACAAUUAAUUCUAAAAUACGGUGAUCAAAAUCAUACUUUACGCAAGAGGAUCAGGGCUAAACUUCAAUUAGGCAUUAUUCAUCCAAAAAUCAUUGACUCGGCAUUCUUUGCAAGUUGUAGCAUGGGACAGCUAAGAUAAUUAGCAAAUGAUAUGGACCAUAUGCACCAAUACAUUUGUGACAUGUGAAUCUUGGCAUUAAAGGAAAGGCAAUGUGUCAAAAUUUAAUAGAGCCCAACUCUUCAUUGAAUGAUUAUCAGAUCCAAUACGCAUCCUUUGAUUGGAUUAUUUUAAGUCAAUUAUUGGUGGAUUGGGGCCCACUUGACUCUACCAAAUCGGGCUCGACCAUAUCACCUAUUAACGGCCACCUGUCCUUAUCAUAAAUAGCAAAUGUCACUUGUUUUAUUUUCUAUUUUACCAAAGUAAAGUCACUACGAACGCAAAAGAAAGUGACCUCAAUUUUGGGGGUCAUGAACUUUGGAUUAUUAUGGACACAAGAGACAAGCGCAAUGUUUCUCAUUUAUCACUGGAUAAGAUUUAAGUUAUCAACCCAAUAUUAAUAAAUUCUGCUUGAAAAGUAAAGUUUGAAGCUUCAUUUUGCGAAUAUUCAAUGGUUAACAUUUAAGUAAUUAACCUGAUAUUAAUCCAAUUAAACUUUUUAUGUAAUCCAAGUCAAAAAUAUAUUGAUAAACCUAAACUAAUCUAAUUGGACAUAUUAUUUCAACUUGAAAAGGUGAAUUUAUCAUUUUUCAAUUAAUUUUGAAUCAAGCUAUGUAAAAUAUAAGCUUAUUAAAGACAUAUUUGAAAAUUUCAAAUUGAAUUAUUUGACAAUUACAUUUCAACUAAGUUGUACUGCUAAUUAACUUCCUCAACUUAAAAUGUAUUUUUCUCAAUUAAUUCGUAACAAAGAAUGUUAGAUGUUUUGUUCGAAUGAUAACAUUCAACAUCCUUAUUCUUUAUGAUUAUUGCAUAAAAACAUAUUUUAUCCAUUUACGUCACAUAUGUUCCUAAAUUGUAUAAGAAAAUCACCAAAUUUACUCUUGUAAGUUACUAUAUCAAUGAACAUGAAACUAACUAAUCAUUAAAGUCUCGGAAUGACAUCAUGAGGGGGAUUCCGUUACAUUUAUUGAUAGGAUUAGAUAUAUGUCUUCCCAAAUAUUAGUAGGAGUAAUUAAACAGAUGCAGCUAUUAAAAAUAUGGAAUUACUUAUCUCGUCAAUAACUAACGAUAUUUUUUAUCUAUGCUCGAUAGGCGUCUGAGCUAUAUUAUAAAUUGUAAUAUUUGUAGAUUGUAACAAUUAUAAAAAAAAAAAAAAAAAGCUCCCUAAGACUAAACGACAACAGGACUGUUUUGAAAUAGAUAGAUAAAGUAUGCCCUUAUUUGAGAAAAGGUAAAACACUAGGGAUCUAAAUGUUAUUAUAAUCCCAUGCACAAAAAUGCUAGAAAAAACUAAUAACAACUAACCGAAAAUCCCAGGCGUCAUAUUCCUUUUUACCGCGUUUUAAAAUGCACAACAAUGAUAUUCUCACAAAAGUGGGUACAAAGGUUUGUACAACCAGGGUCUCUUUGUAAAUUAUUUCAAAGUUUUGUGUUAUUUUUUAAAUUUAUGAUUUUUAUUAAUUUUGAUUCAUUGGAGCAUUUCUCCUUCCAUCUCUUCUACAUCUAUUUUUAAAGUUUUUUAAAAUUUUGACUAUAUCUUUAUAGAGUUCUAAAUGAUUAUCUUUUUUCAUAAAAAUCUAUACUUAAAUUAAUCCUUGAAUUUAUAAUCAUUUAUCUUCUUUGAGUCAUAGACCAAAUUUUUUCUUCUAACAUAUCUAUGUAUACUCCUAAGCUAUCUUCAUGGCUUAGAUACAUUCUAUCAAAGCUUUCACAUAUAAAUUGUGAUUUGAGAUCUGCAUCUUGAAUCAACAUCUCUAUAUUAUCCAUUGUUUUACGCUCGAGGGUAGUUAAAAUUGAUUCUAUUAAUGCUAUCGUGUUUCUCCUUCAAAAGAAUCAAAUAUUUCUGGAUUAUUAAUUUCUUUUAUUUCUUCAUACAAGCAUUCGUUUGCCGUUAAUCUUGUUUUAAUCAAGGAAGCUGUAUAAGCAACUUGAUAUUCUUGACAAAAGUCUAAAUGAUCUAUUGCAUCUAGAAAUUUAUUAAUAGAUCUUUCCAUUUUUAAGAAAUUGAGUUACUCUUAUCACUUCCAAUCUUUUAACAUCUCAGAAAACAAACAAGGCCCAGCAUGCUUCCGUUUGUAGCUCAAAUAAAAGAAGAGUUCAGAUCACUAACCAAUGUACUAUCUCUCGGAAGUCUGAGAUAGACUCACUAAUUGCCUCUAACCAUAGAGAGGUCCAUGGUCAGCACCACCAUAGCUCCACACAUCAUACAAGAUCACUUCAACGACUGUUCCACAUGGCCUAAUGCAACACACAGCAGACUGGCCUAAUAGGAUAUGUCUAAGUGAUUUUCUUGCAGUUGUCUCUGGAAGAGUGCUUAGUAAUAGAAAAUCUUCUUCGUUUAGUACAAGUAUUGGUAUGUAAGGUUCUUGAUUAAUUUUCAAAAGAUGUAUAAGUGUUAGAGUGCAAUUUAUGCACUAGUUUUGCAUUAUUUACUUCCCUUAAUAUCAAUGUUUUGCACUUAAUAAUAGUGAUUUACUUGUGUUUUACUUUUGUAGGUCCAAUUCUAUUGAUUGAUGAUAAAAUUGAGCUAUAAGAUGAUGUUUAAGGAUGAUUGUUCUCUUGGAGAAAUUAUGAGCGUCAGAAGAACUUUGUUGAUAAGGCGUGGGCGCGUGCUGUCAAUUGCGGACCUGCAGUUUUUAGUUUAACGUGUUUUGUAUUUUUGGUUAUUUUUGUAAUUACGAAUUUAAUAUUUCAGAUAUUAAGAUUUUAUUUUAAAUAGAAUUCUAAAAGAGAAGAGAGAGAGAGUAUUUAAGGGAGGAAUCUAUUGUGAAAAAGGGGGAUUUUGGAUUGGAGAAAGAAAGAAACCCUAGAUCUAAUUUUUCUCUUCUCUCUAUGAAGAACUAAACUUAUUUUUCUAGUUGAAGGUUAACGAAGCUUUGAUUCAUCACUACUGUGAGAUCUUUCUUAUGCUUUAAUUGUUUUAUUACUUUUUGGAUAUUUGUUUAUUCUCUGAAUUUUUUUCAUGAUUAUGUUUGUUAAUUAGGUAAUUGGCCACUAUUUAAUUAUCAACUUAAUCUAUUGUCAAUUAAAGGAUUCAUCGUAUGAAGAAUUUAAUAUUUGUGACAAAUAACAUAGCAGAGAGUUGUGUUGUGAGAAUAAACAAUCUAAUUUAAAUGAAUCAUCAUAUGUGUUGAUUAGGAUUUGGGUCUCUCUGGUUUUUCAGGCUGUCAAUGAAUUAAAUCCUAUGAUCGUAUCUAGGGUUGUCCAUUGAUUAGGGAAAUAACCAACGGUCGUACCUUGGUUAUCGACUAGUAAAGGAGAGAUUGGCUAUUAGAGGGUCUCAAUAGCUAUAACCGGUCUAUUCAUAAGUAAUAAUAAUCUAUAUUUGAAUCAAUGAUCAGUAGUAGAAUCAAGCUGAGUUAAUUCCUUCAACCAGAGCUUUCUCCAAUUUGAAUUACAACUUUAAUUUGCAUUCUUGUUAUUUUGAUUUGAUUUUUAUUAUUGUCAACAAUUCCCCCAUUUUACGUUUUACGUUUCAAAAGGAUUUAAAUAAUUACCGAUCUCUGUGGACACGACCCUGCUCAAUCACUAUACACAAUUUAUUUAGAGUAGGAAUUUAUUUUUGUUCGCUUCGACACCACUGCUGCCUCGCCAACUAUUCCUUCUACAUCCGCACCACCUUUGAGCAUUCAGUUAGAGAAAAUAGAGCACAAGCUGAACAAGAUGGAGCAGAAUUUGGCCGCAUACUUCGAGAGUGUGGGUUUUACCCCACCAUUUCCGCCAAGCCCAUAGACGUUAUGUGGAUCAAAGCUCACAAUUCAGGGAAGUUUCUUUUUGCCCUUAAUCUUUUAUCCUUACGCUUUAAUUUUUAUGUGAGCUUUAAUUAUCUUACAUUGGGGACAAUGUAAGUUCUUGGUGUGGGGGAGGGAUUUUUGCAUUAUUGAUGUCUGGAAGUAUUAUUUUCACUCUACUCAUCUAUUUUCAUUCUACUCGUCCUUAAAUGAUUUUGGAGUUAGUAUGCUUCAUAUAUUAUUAUUUUUCUUUUCUUUUCUUUCUCACUACUUUUUUCCCAUCUAUCUCAAAUUAUUUACAUCUAUUUUUAUUCUAUCAUACUCUUUCAUCACUCACAUUUUAUCUUUCACUUUUCAUAUUACUACAUACAUCUUUCUCACUUCUUAUCAUUUUUACCUUUCCUUCACUCAUACCUUCUUCUCAUUCUACACCACUAUUGAUGGUUGAUUCAUUUGAAGAGUGUACAUGAUUUGAUGGCAAAUUUACCAACUUUGUGAGGAUUUGAGCCUAUGAGCAACCACUUUGCUCUAAUUAUUUUUAUUAUGUGAAUAUCAAUCUUAGUUUGUUUAUUCUAGAACUUGCUUUGUUAUGCAUGUUGAAGCCACAUUACGGGAUUUUUUGCAUUAAAAUGAUAAGGGCAAACCAUUUACCAUUUUUCUAUUCUCGCAUUUUCUUUUUUUUUUCUCUACCCGAAGACCUUGAUUUACUAUCUUUGUUUGAGCCUUAACCAUUACCCAUCUAAUUCUCUCCGUCUACUUAACCAUUUUUCUUCUUUUUUAGCCUCAAUUUAAGGAGAUUUUUGGACUCAUUGUGUGGAUAUAUUUUGUAUAUAUUUUGUUGCUUUUUCUACCUUGUAUUAAAGUUUCUCAAUUAGAUCAACAAGCAUUAUGCUUGAAUUAAAUUGUGCAAGGUUCAUUUCUUUUGUUUGAUUCAAAAAAAAAAAAGAAAGAAAAAGAAAAGGAAAAAGAAAAAAAAAGAAAAAAAAAGAAAAAUCGAAAAAAAAAGAAAAAGAAGAAAAAAAAAUGUUUACAUUCUUGGUGACUUGAGUAGAAAUAAGCGUUUCGAUAUCAUAAAGUUCGUUCAAUGAGUUCAUUCUUCUCAUUUUGAUCUCUUUUUCUUUCAUAAACCUUUCUUUUUCAUUUAACCCAUUUAACCCCGUUACAACCUUUUAAGACCCUUAGAUUUUUGUAUUUAAUUCAUGUUUUGUGGAUUGAAAUGUGAUAUAUAAGCAAGCUUAUGGUAAUAGCAUUCUUUGAUUUGAUUUGAGUGAAUAAAUGACACCCUAAACACUUUGAGUGCAUGGAGUGAAGUCAAUGAGAGGGCUAUUAAAUCUUGUUGCACUUGAAUUUUGAAUGGAUCUUCUUGGUGGUUGAAUGUUCUUAUUCUAUCUUAUGAGAUUCUAUGCUUUAAAAUCCUUGUCUCUCGAAUGUUGAUCGACUUAAUUUCUUGAGGUAUACUUGCUUAAAAUUGUUUUUGGAUGAGUUGAGAUGAGAAUUGAGUGGAGAUUUGGGAUUAGUCUUGAGUUAUAUGCUUGAGGACAAGCAUCAUCUUGGUGUGGGGGAAUUUGUUAGAGUGCAAUUUAAGCACUAGUUUUGCAUUGUUUACUUCCCUUAAUAUCGAUGUUUUGCACUUAAUAAUAGUGAUUUACUUGUGUUUUACUUUUGUAGGUGCAAUUCUAUUGAUUGGUGAUAAAUUAAGCUACAAGAUGAUAUUUAAUGAUGAUUGUUCUCUUGGAGAAAUUAUGAGCGUCAGAAGAACUUUGUUGAUAAGGUGUGGGCGCGUGCUGUCAACUACGGACCUGCAGUUUUUAGUUUAACGUGUUUUGUAUUUUUGGUUAUUUUUGUAAUUACGAAUUUAAUAUUUCAGAUAUUAGUAUUUUAUUUUAAAUAGAACUCUAAAAGAGAAGAGAGAGAGAGUAUUUAAGGGAGGAAUCUAUUGUGAAAAAGGGGGAUUUUAGAUUGGAGAAAAAGAAAGAAACCCUAGAUCUAAAUUUUUCUCUUCUCUCUAUGAAGAACUAAACCUAUUUUUCUGGUUGAAGGUUAAUGAAGCUUUGAUUCAUCACUACUGUGAGAUCUUUCUUGUGCUUUAAUUGUUUUAUUACUUUUUGGGUAUUUGUUUAUUCUCUGAAUUAUUUUCAUGAUUAUGUUUGUUAAUGAGGUAAUUGGCCACUAUUUAAUUAUCAACUUAAUCUAUUGUCAAUUAAGGGAUUCAUCGUAUGAAGAUUUUAAUGUUUGUGACAAAUAACAUAGCAGUGAGUUGUGUUAUGAGAAUAAAUAAUCUAAUUUAAAUGAAUCAUCAUAUGUGUUGAUUAGGAUUUGGGUCUCUCUGGUUUUUCAUGUAUAAGAUAUCUAGAAGAUGAUAAUUUCACUCAAAAGAGUUUUAUUUAUUUCAUUAUUGAAAUUGUUUACAGAGGAAGGUUACAGAGAAUACAGAGGUAAUUGAAGGUUAGACAUAUGAUAUCUUUCCUUUCUUACAUGCUUUCAUUUAUAUAUCUCUCUAGAGAUAAGAUUAUCUCUUUUACAUAACACAUGUUCGAUCCUUGUGGUGGAAUCUCGAUUUCCUUUUGAUAAGGUGACCCCUUCUUCAUCAUUGAAGCCAGUAGUUGUCUUCUUUUCAUGUUGCCAGACAACCUUUAUCUUGUUCUGGUGAGCUUUUUCUUUUUUGGAAUCUCUCUUUUUGAAUUAUUGAUACUUUUUGGAUAACACCUUUUAUCUUUUUCAGUAGUCCCCGUCACAUGCCAAUUAUCAUAUCUUCAUCUAUAGACAUGUCUUCCCCACUAGAAUCUCCUUUUUUUUUUAAUCCUUCGUAGUAGUAGCCACAUGAUGACUGAUGCUUUAGCACCUUAUAUAUCUCGUGGUGUGUCAGCAAGGUGGAUUCCACGAGAUUUUCGAAUAUGCCCUUUUUCUUUUUUAAUAUGGUAUGUCUGGCUAAAAUAUUUUCUUUUCUACUCAUAGAAAAGAUUAUAUGCUCUUUUGUGGCUUCAUGGAGCCAUAUUUUCUCCUUGUUUAUCCUCUCAAGAGAUUCAUAGAGGACUUUCAUUUCUAUGGCCCUUUUGUUGGUGAGAGCUUUUGGCUCGAAUAAUUCAGGAUCAUAAUCAUUGUAGACUUGAUGUAAAUCAAUGGUUGGACUAACUUUUCUACUGCUAAUUCCAACUUGAAUCAAGUGCUGUGCUGGAUACCACUUGUUACCAUAGUAUUCAGGGCAAGCAGUGAGGAUCUUGACAAAAAUCACUUCUUUUGUUUUAGACAUGAUUUUGAGAUCAUUAAUAGCCUCUGCAACUUUUGUGGGAAGCUCUUUUAUUUCUCUGCAAUCAUCACUUACAUAAACAAGGUUAAGAAAACCAUAUUCAAACAUGUCUUUUAUUAGUUUUAGAUUAGCUCCUGGCACAACGUUUAUCAUUGGAUAUAACCCUAAAUGAUCUAGUAUAAUAGUCUGGCUAGGACGAAUCCCAUAGGCUAUUUUACCAAUUCUUUUAUAAUCAUAAGCGUAGUCGCUUCCUAUUGGUAUUUUAACCAUAGGGACAGAUUGUCUGCUUUUAUCAUAUUGGGGUCUUAGGCUUACUGAAGAUCCCUGAGAUUCUUUUUUCUUUGUACAUUGAUCUUUAAGAUCAUUGAUUGUGAGAUAUCUCUCUGAAUGUGUGACCAUUGAUCUUUAAAAUACCAAUAGGAAGAGUAGUCGCUUCCUAUUGGUAUUUUAACCAUAGGGACAGACUGUCCGCUUUUAUCAUAUUGGGGUCUUAGGCUUACUGAAGAUCCCUGAGAUUCGUCUUUCUUUGUACAUUGAUCUUUAAGAUCAUUGAUUGUGAGAUAUCUCUCUGGAUGUGUGACCUUUAAGCUCUGCGAAGAACUCGAGGCAUUUUGACCCUCAAUUUGAUCUUUAAAAUGGACAUUUUUUUAGCAUAUUGCUAAUAUAUUGUUAUGAAGUUUGGAGUUCUGGAUGAUCUUGCAAACUUUUGUUUGGGCAAAGUUUGCUCAAUUCUUCAUGGGCAUCAUCUAUCAUGGCAAGCCCAUCAUAAAUCAUACUAUUGCCUUUGAGAAGUUAUUCUUGACCUUCAGAGCACAUUAUUAUGCCCUUAAUUAUUUUGGAAAUGCUCUGCUCCAUUGUAUUCUUGGCAAAGAUUAGAUCCUUUAAUAUAUUCAAUUUCAAAAUCAUAUUCAGCAAAAAACUGCUGCCAUCUAAUUAAUGUUUUCUAUUGAGGAAGAUUAGGCAAUUUAUUGAAUAUAAAUCCUUUGACUUGAGUGUUAUCGGAUCUUACCUUAAAUUUCUUUGGUAACAAAAAGAAAGUAAAUUUAGCUAUUCCUUUUUUAAUAGCUAAUAAUUCAUUUUCAUUACUAUGAUAAUUCUUUUCUAUGGGUUUGAAGGUCCCGCUAGAAUAUCUACAAAUUUUUUCUUGAUAUGUUUUUAAGACUGCUCGCCAGUGAUUAUCUGAAGCAGUAGUUUCAAGAAUUAAAUUAUCACUAGAGGUAGGGAAUCCUAACCUUAAGUAAAAAGCCAAAAAAAUUGACUUAUUUUAUUAAGUCAAUUUUUGAAAAUAUAAAUAAUGCAAAAUAUAAGAAUAUCAUCUACAUGAUCUAUCUUAUUAUUUGAAAAUAUAAGAAUAUCAUCUACAUAAAUAAUGCAAAAUUCAUGAAAUUUUUUUAAGAUGCUAAAUAUCUUUUUAUUUAUUAUAGAAGUAAUUAAUGUAUCUUUAUGAGGUAAAAAGUAUCCAUCGAAUUUGGUAUAUUUAUUUAAUUCUUUGUAGUUAAUGACCAUAUGAGCUUUUCCUCGUUUAAUUUCAGCAUGAUUUCUAACUGAUUAGUAUUAAAAAUUGUUUAAUUAUCAAGCGAUAAUAUGUUAUUUUAUGCUUAUGUUAUAAUUUAUAUUUGUGUUUAUGUAAUAUAUUAUGAAUUAUGAAUUAUGUUUUAAAUAUAUUUAAUUUUGUGUAUUUUUAUGUGUUUAUUAGGAAAAUUAUUAAUUUCACGUACUUUGAGGCUCCAAACAGAUAAACGGAGGUCAAAUUUGGAUUCCGGAGGUCCGAAAACCUUAAGAUCAGUCAAGAUCGGCUUAAAAUUGGGCUUGUGUAAAAAAAGUUGACUUUUCCUGUUGACCGAGCACUGAUUGGAUGAUGAAAUGAGCUUACAAUAGAUAUGAGUGCAUGGGAUAACUGGCAAUCUUGACUAAAUCUCAACCGUUCAUGAUUCAAUGGCCAUGAUUGUGCCACGUGGCAAUGGUUGGUGAAGCAAGUUGGAGGAUCCGAAUCUUUGUAUUCGGGUCGACCCGAUCCACCCAUUAACCCGCCAAAUCUCAACCGUUCUUUGGGCAAAUCGGACGAGUCAAAUGAUGCCAUGUGUGAUGUUGACUUUUGAAGUUUGACCAGCCAUUGGAUCUUGAUCUAAGGGUUGUGAGGAGCACAUGCAUGAAGCCUAUGAUGGACCGCAAAGCACUGGAUUAUGAAUUUAUUUUUCUAUAAAUAGGGCCUCAUUUUUAUGUUUUAAUCAUCUCUCUACAACUCUCUUCUUCUCAAAUUCUCUCCAUCUCCUUGUAAUCUUGAUUUCCAUAUGUGUUUUUAAUAUUUUGUAUAAUUAUUUUCAUUAAUAAAAUUAGUUUUAUUUCCAAUUUUAGUUGUUUUUAUUUCUUUUAAUUAUAAGUAAUUCAAUUUUACUACUUCUUUUUAUUUUAAUUAUGCUUAACUAAAUAAUAUUAGUUAGGGGAAGGUGAAACUCUUAAGAAAUAAAUAUGAUUUAAUCAAAUUCUAUGUUUAAUUUUAUAAAUUAAAUUAUUUUCUAUUUAAUUUUAUACAUGUUUUAUAUUUUGAAAAUUUAAUUUAUUGUAGACAAACAAAUGAAUUUGGCACAAUAAAUUCUUAAGAUCUUAAUAUAAGGCAUGGUGAAAUGGUAUUUUGACUUAUUGUAGACAAAUUAAAUUUUGGCACAAUAAAUACUUAAUCCAUCAUAAAAUUAAAGGGAAAAUAAUAAUAAUUUGUAUAAUUAAUCUUUUGAGUAAUAAAUCUAAAACAAAUUGGCAAAAAGAAUUUAUUAAGUUUUAUUUAUUUCUAAGAGUGGAUCCAUAACCCUAACUAGUUCAAUUCCAUAGUUUCAUUUAAAUUAAGUUGUUUAUAUUCAAGUUUUAAUUUCAAUUUUUAGAUAAAAUAAAAUAAACUAAUUAAAUCUUUUCUCUGUGGAUCGACCUCGGACUCACCGAGUUAUAAUACAACAAGACACUCUUAUACUUGGGAGUUAAAAUUUACUUUUAAGUUGUGUCAAGUUUUUGGCGCCGUUGCCGGGGAAAAGUUUUUUAUUUGGUUUGUUUUUCCGUUUUUUAUUUUUCUCUUAUAUGUAAAACUUCGUUUGCCCCCUUUUCCUUUUCUUAAAUUCUCCUUAGUCCCCAUGUCUUUCAUAUUUCUCGUUUCACCCCAACAAUUUCCUUUUCUAGCCCAAUCUUCUGGUAAUUACGUUCGGACCCCAACAUCUUUCAACUGUUUCACUUUCAUCCCAAAUUACUAAUUCUAAACUUCUAAAAAUUACAUUUUGACCAUAAAAUUAAAAAUAAUUUGCAAUAGAAUCCCUAGACGAAAUUCCUCAACAUAAUCAAGACUUGGACAUAUUUGGACAUACUUUGGACAUAUUUGGACAUAUUUGGACUUAUUUUGGACCAAACUAACUUUAACUACUAACUCUAAUUACUAACUCUUAACUUACUAACUGCUAACUGCUAACUGCUAACUUUUAUUUAAUUUCAGUUAUUUAAUUUUCUGCAUUUAUUUUAUUUCGUAUUUAUUUAUUUGUUUUUGCUUUAUUGGUGGGUUUAACCACCAAACUAACUACUAACUCUUAACUUUUAUUUUCAGUUAUUUAAUUUUCAGUAUUUAUUUAAUUUUGUAUUUUUUAUUUUUUUUAAUUGGUGGGUUCAACCACCAUUUUUUUUUAUUUUGCAUUUAUUUAUUUAUUUAUUUUUUACUUUGUUGGUGGGUUCAACCAUCAAAAUUGUUAUUUAAUUUUCUUUUGUAUACUUAUAUUAUUUAUUUAUUUAUUUUUUUAUUUUAUUUUGUUAUCAAUUUGUGUAAAUAUUAUCUUUAUAACAUAACCAUUGCAUGAGACGUUGGUCUCGAUCUUCAAGUGGCAGGUUAAUUCGUAGAUCUCAAUCUCCACCACCAAUCAUGGAUGAGAAUGAAGGCGAAAACGUUUUGGGCGAACUUAAUCCUCAAAUUGAUCAGGGAGACAACCAAUCUCAACAUGGGCAUGAUCAGAAUCAACCAAGGACUCUGAGAGACUACAUGAAUCCAACCAGAACCGGAGCACCGUCGUGUAUAGUAUUUCCUCCAGAAGCAUCUCGAUUCAACUUUAAACCAGGUAUUAUCCAACUUUUACCAACAUUUCAUGGUUUAGAAUCUGAGAAUCCGUACUUGCAUCUAAGAGAUUUUGAGGAAGUUUGUAAUACAUACACGGACCAAAAUUGUAGCAUGAACAUAAUUAGAUUAAAGCUUUUUCCUUUUUCAUUAAAAGAUAAAGCUAAAACUUGGCUACAAAACCUUAGAUCUGGAUCAGUAAGAACUUGGAAUAACAUGCAAGAACAGUUUUUUGAAAAAAUUCUUUCCACCUCAUAGAACAAAUUCUUUUAAAAGGCAAAUCACUUCUUUCACUCAAAAAAAUGGAGAAACAUUAUACCAAUGUUGGGAUAGGUUUACAGAGUUGCUUAACAUAUGCCCACAUCAUGGUUUUGAAACUUGGCGAUUGGUCACUUAUUUCUACGAGGGCUUAAUACCCCAAAGUAGACAGGUUGUUGAAAUGAUGUGUAAUGGUGAAUUUAGGGAUAAAAAUCCUGAAGAUGCACUAGAUUACCUUGACCAAUUAGCUGAAAAUGCACAACAUUGGGAUACUGUUGGAACUUUUGAAUUGACAAAUAAGCAACAAUCAUCUCCAUCUAGUGGAGGAAUCCAUAACCUUAGGGAAGAUCAUGAUUUACAAGCAAAAUUUGCAUCCCUAGUUAGGAAAGUUGAAGCUUUGGAGCAUAAAAAGAGUGAUCAAGUAAAAUCUGUUCAAGAAAUUGCAUGUAACAUAUGUAAUUCGAAUGAUCAUUUCACUCAAGAGUGUCCCACUUUGCCUGCACUUAAAGAAUGUCUAAAUGAUCAAGCUAAUGUCAUUAACACUUUCAAUAAACCAAACCCAUAUUCACAGACUUAUAAUCCUGGUUGGAGAAAUCAUCCGAAUUUCAGUUGGAGGAAUAAUAAUAAUGCACAAUCUUCACAAGCACCACCUCCACAAAAUUUUCAAAAUCCUCAGCCUUAUGCACCAUAUGUUCCACCACCCUGGAAAAAUCUGGAAGACACAAUGCAUUCAUUCAUCAGAAAGCAAGAUGUUAUUAACAAUCAAAAUGCACAAAAUUUUUCUGAUUUGAAAGAUACUCUUGCUAAAAUUGCUUCUGCACUCACCAUUCAAGAAAAAGGAAAAUUUCCAGCCCAACCACAACCAAAUCCUAAAAUUCAACAAAAUCCACCCACAGACCAAGUCAAGUCAGUUAUAACUCUUCGUAGUGGUAAGGUUGUUGAUAGACCUAUGCCUGAACCUUAUGAAAAUGAUGAAAAUUCAAAGGGUAAGGAAGGACUAAAUGAACUUACACCUAGUGAAGAAAUAACUAGUGUUCCACCUGAACCACCAUUUCCGCAUGCAUUGAAUAAACCAAAGAAAUCAAACCACUCUUCUGAAAUUUAUGAAAUCUUUAAGCAAGUGAAAGUUAACAUUCCUCUAUUAGAUGCAAUCAAGCAGGUUCCUUUAUAUGCCAAAUUUUUAAAGGACUUGUGCACUGUUAAGAGGAAAUUGAAGGUAAGAAAGAGUGCUUUCAUGGCCGAACAGGUAAGUACAAUUCUGUCUACUAAUAAUAAGUUGAAAUAUAAAGAUCCUGGUUGUCCUACCAUUUCUUGUAUUAUUGGUAACCACAGAAUUGAGCAUGCUUUACUAGAUCUUGGUGCUAGUGUUAAUUUGCUUCCAUAUUCAGUUUAUCUUCAACUUAAUCUUGGUGAGUUAAAAUCAACUUCAACUACACUUUUGCUUGUCGAUAGAUCAGUUAAAGUACCAAAAGGAAUAGUGGAAGAUGUUUUAGUACAAGUUGAUAAAUUUAUUUAUCCUGUGGAUUUUAUUGUCUUGGAAACUGAACCUGUUGUGAAUAAUUACAAACCAAUUCCUGUAAUUUUAGGUCGACCAUUUUUAGCAACUGCUAAUGCUUUGAUUAAUUGUAGGAAUGGUUUAAUGAAUUUAUCCUUUGGGAAUAUGACUUUGGAAUUGAAUGUUUUCAACAUGUGCAGGCAACCUAAUGAAGAAAAUGAGAAUGAAGAUGAUACUGAUGAACAAAAGGAAUUGUUUGAAUCUUGUAUCGAGGAAAAUAUUCAAAAAGGGGAUUUUUCUGAACUUUCAAAUGUUUGUUUAGUUAAUUCAAUUGAGUCAAAUAAGCAACUUGAACUUGAUAUUUCUAAUAUAAAUUCGUUGCUUGAUUCUGUGCAGACUUCACAAAAUUAUGAUGACGAGCCAAAAUUUGAGGAGCUUGGAAGUAUUGAAAAGACAGAACAACAAGAAGCACCUAAAAUGGAAUUGAAACCUUUGCCUGAAGGAUUGAAAUAUGCUUUUCUUGGAGAAGAACAAACUUAUCCUGUUGUGAUUUCUUCUACUUUAACAAGCGACCAAGAAGGUAAGUUACUUACUGUUCUUAAAAAGCAUAAAAAUGCAAUAGGAUGGACUUUAAAUGACAUUAAAGGCAUUAAUCCCUUAAUCUGCACACAUAGAAUUAAUUUGGAAGAAAAUGCUAAAAUAUGUCAACAACCUCAAAGAAGAUUAAACCCACACAUGAAAGAGGUAGUCAAAACAGAAGUCCUUAAAUUACUUGAUGUGGGAAUUAUCUACCCUGUUUCUGAUAGUAAGUGGGUAAGUCCUACACAAGUAGUGCCUAAAAAAUCUGAAAUCACUGUUGUUAAAAAUGAAAAAGGUGAAUUAAUUCCAACACGAAUUACAUCUAGUUGACGCAUGUGCAUUGAUUAUAGAAAAUUAAAUGAAGCCACUAGAAAAGAUCAUUUUCCAUUACCAUUCCUUGACCAAAUCUUAGAAAGAGUAGCAGGACAUCCCUACUACUGUUUUUUAGAUGGAUAUUCAGGUUAUUAUCAAAUUCCUAUAGCACUUGAGGACCAAGAAAAGACCACAUUCACAUGUCCUUUUGGAACAUUUGCAUUUAAAAGAAUGCCAUUCGGGCUUUGUAAUGCUCCUGCAACAUUUCAAAGAUGUAUGUUAAGCAUUUUUUGUGAUAUGGUUGAACAUUGUUUAGAGGUCUUUAUGGAUGAUUUGACUGUGUUUGGGAAUUCUUUUGAUGAUUGCCUUGAUAAUUUGGAGAAAGUUUUAAAAAGAUGUGUUGAAAAAGAACUCGUGUUGAAUUGGGAAAAAUGUCACUACAUGGUUACUUCUGGAAUUGUUUUGGGUCAUGUUGUUUCUAUUAAAGGAAUUGAAGUUGACAAAGCAAAAAUCGAAGUCAUAUCUAAAUUGCCACAACCAAAAACAGUUAGAGAUGUGCGAUCCUUUUUAGGACAUGCAGGAUUUUAUAGGAGGUUUAUAAAAAACUUUAGUGCCAUAUCUAAACCACUUUGUAACCUCUUAUUAAAAGAUGCACCGUUUGAAUGGAAUGAUGAUUGCCAAAAAUCUUUUGAAAAAAUAAUUUGUCUUUUAACAUCUGCACCUAUUAUGCAAUCUCCUGAUUGGUCUUUGCCAUUUGAAUUAAUGUGUGAUGCAAGUGAUUUUGCUGUUGGUGCUGUUUUAGGACAAAGAAGGGAUGGUAAGCCUUUUGUGAUUUAUUAUGCGAGUAAGACUUUAGAUAGUGCUCAAAUGAAUUAUUCUACAACUGAAAAAGAAUUACUUGCUGUGGUAUUUGCAUUAAACAAAUUCCGUUCAUAUUUGCUUGGCUCCAAAUCUGUUGUGUUUACUGACCACGCUGCUGUGAGAUAUUUGAUGAGUAAACAGGAUGCCAAACCGAGGAUAAUUCGUUGGAUUUUGUUACUACAAGAAUUUGACCUUACCAUCAAAGAUAAAAAGGGUGCUGAAAAUGUUGUUGCGGAUCAUCUAUCAAGACUCACAUCCGAAUUCUGCAAUGAUAUAACACCCAUAAAUGAUUCUUUCCCUGAUGAAUUUUUAUUUUCUGUUACUUCAAUGCCAUGGUAUGCUAACAUUGUUAAUUUCCUUGUUACAGGUAAAAUGCCUUUGCAAUGGAAUGCUCAAGAGAAGAAGAAAUUUUUUGUUGAAGUAAAGAAAUUUUAUUGGGAUGACCCUUAUUUGUUCAAAUAUUGCCCAGAUCAAAUUUUUCGGCGAUGUAUUCCUCAUAAUGAGGUAAGUAGUGUCAUUAAUUUUUGUCAUUCUGAAGCAUGUGGUGGUCAUUUUUCUUCAAGAAAAACUAUUGCUAAAAUUUUACAGUGUGGAUUUUAUUGGCCUACCAUGUUUAAAGACACAUAUGAAUUCUGCAAAAGUUGUGAAAAAUGUCAAAAAUUGGGAUCAAUUACAAAAAGAAACAUGAUGCCCUUAAAUCCCAUACUUGAAAUUGAAAUAUUUGACUGUUGGGGAAUUGAUUUCAUGGGUCCAUUUCCAUCAUCUUUUGGAUUUGUGUAUAUAUUAGUUGCAGUUGAUUAUGUCUCAAAAUGGAUUGAAGCAAUUUCUUGUCGAAAUAAUGACAGUAAAACUGUGAUUAAAUUUUUAAGAGAAAACAUUUUAAGUCGAUUUGGAAUCCCUCGAGCCAUUAUCAGUGAUGGAGGUAAGCAUUUUUGUAAUAAGUCAUUUGAGUCUUUAAUGAAGAAAUAUGGAAUUACACAUAAAAUUGCUACCCCUUAUCAUCCUCAAACAAAUGGUCAAGUUGAAUUAGCAAAUAGGGAGAUAAAACAAAUUUUGGAAAAAACGGUUAACCCAAACCGAAAAGAUUGGUCUCUUAGACUUAAUGAUGCACUUUGGGCUUACCGCACUGCAUUUAAAACAUCAUUAGGAAUGUCACCCUAUCGGUUAAUUUAUGGUAAACCUUGUCAUUUACCUGUUGAACUUGAACAUAAAUCACUUUGGGCUAUUAAAGCUUUUAAUUCAAAUUUGGAUGAUGCUGGUAAUGUGCGAAAAUUGCAAUUGAAUGAACUUGAGGAAUUAAGGAAUGAUGCAUAUGAAAAUUCAAGAAUUAUUAAGGCAAGAACAAAAGAAGAUUAAACCCACACAUGAAAGAGGUAGUCAAAACAGAAGUCCUUAAAUUACUUGAUGUGGGAAUUAUCUACCCUAUUUCUGAUAGUAAGUGGGUAAGUCCUACACAAGUAGUGCCUAAAAAAUCUGAAAUCACUGUUGUUAAAAAUGAAAAAGGUGAAUUAAUUCCAACACGAAUUACAUCUAGUUGACGCAUGUGCAUUGAUUAUAGAAAAUUAAAUGAAGCCACUAGAAAAGAUCAUUUUCCAUUACCAUUCCUUGACCAAAUCUUAGAAAGAGUAGCAGGACAUCCCUACUACUGUUUUUUAGAUGGAUAUUCAGGUUAUUAUCAAAUUCCUAUAGCACUUGAGGACCAAGAAAAGACCACAUUCACAUGUCCUUUUGGAACAUUUGCAUUUAAAAGAAUGCCAUUCGGGCUUUGUAAUGCUCCUGCAACAUUUCAAAGAUGUAUGUUAAGCAUUUUUUGUGAUAUGGUUGAACAUUGUUUAGAGGUCUUUAUGGAUGAUUUGACUGUGUUUGGGAAUUCUUUUGAUGAUUGCCUUGAUAAUUUGGAGAAAGUUUUAAAAAGAUGUGUUGAAAAAGAACUCGUGUUGAAUUGGGAAAAAUGUCACUACAUGGUUACUUCUGGAAUUGUUUUGGGUCAUGUUGUUUCUAUUAAAGGAAUUGAAGUUGACAAAGCAAAAAUCGAAGUCAUAUCUAAAUUGCCACAACCAAAAACGGUUAGAGAUGUGCGAUCCUUUUUAGGACAUGCAGGAUUUUAUAGGAGGUUUAUAAAAAACUUUAGUGCCAUAUCUAAACCACUUUGUAACCUCUUAUUAAAAGAUGCACCGUUUGAAUGGAAUGAUGAUUGCCAAAAAUCUUUUGAAAAAAUAAUUUGUCUUUUAACAUCUGCACCUAUUAUGCAAUCUCCUGAUUGGUCUUUGCCAUUUGAAUUAAUGUGUGAUGCAAGUGAUUUUGCUGUUGGUGCUGUUUUAGGACAAAGAAGGGAUGGUAAGCCUUUUGUGAUUUAUUAUGCGAGUAAGACUUUAGAUAGUGCUCAAAUGAAUUAUUCUACAACUGAAAAAGAAUUACUUGCUGUGGUAUUUGCAUUAAACAAAUUCCGUUCAUAUUUGCUUGGCUCCAAAUCUGUUGUGUUUACUGACCACGCUGCUGUGAGAUAUUUGAUGAGUAAACAGGAUGCCAAACCGAGGAUAAUUCGUUGGAUUUUGUUACUACAAGAAUUUGACCUUACCAUCAAAGAUAAAAAGGGUGCUGAAAAUGUUGUUGCGGAUCAUCUAUCAAGACUCACAUCCGAAUUCUGCAAUGAUAUAACACCCAUAAAUGAUUCUUUCCCUGAUGAAUUUUUAUUUUCUGUUACUUCAAUGCCAUGGUAUGCUAACAUUGUUAAUUUCCUUGUUACAGGUAAAAUGCCUUUGCAAUGGAAUGCUCAAGAGAAGAAGAAAUUUUUUGUUGAAGUAAAGAAAUUUUAUUGGGAUGACCCUUAUUUGUUCAAAUAUUGCCCAGAUCAAAUUUUUCGGCGAUGUAUUCCUCAUAAUGAGGUAAGUAGUGUCAUUAAUUUUUGUCAUUCUGAAGCAUGUGGUGGUCAUUUUUCUUCAAGAAAAACUAUUGCUAAAAUUUUACAGUGUGGAUUUUAUUGGCCUACCAUGUUUAAAGACACAUAUGAAUUCUGCAAAAGUUGUGAAAAAUGUCAAAAAUUGGGAUCAAUUACAAAAAGAAACAUGAUGCCCUUAAAUCCCAUACUUGAAAUUGAAAUAUUUGACUGUUGGGGAAUUGAUUUCAUGGGUCCAUUUCCAUCAUCUUUUGGAUUUGUGUAUAUAUUAGUUGCAGUUGAUUAUGUCUCAAAAUGGAUUGAAGCAAUUUCUUGUCGAAAUAAUGACAGUAAAACUGUGAUUAAAUUUUUAAGAGAAAACAUUUUAAGUCGAUUUGGAAUCCCUCGAGCCAUUAUCAGUGAUGGAGGUAAGCAUUUUUGUAAUAAGUCAUUUGAGUCUUUAAUGAAGAAAUAUGGAAUUACACAUAAAAUUGCUACCCCUUAUCAUCCUCAAACAAAUGGUCAAGUUGAAUUAGCAAAUAGGGAGAUAAAACAAAUUUUGGAAAAAACGGUUAACCCAAACCGAAAAGAUUGGUCUCUUAGACUUAAUGAUGCACUUUGGGCUUACCGCACUGCAUUUAAAACAUCAUUAGGAAUGUCACCCUAUCGGUUAAUUUAUGGUAAACCUUGUCAUUUACCUGUUGAACUUGAACAUAAAUCACUUUGGGCUAUUAAAGCUUUUAAUUCAAAUUUGGAUGAUGCUGGUAAUGUGCGAAAAUUGCAAUUGAAUGAACUUGAGGAAUUAAGGAAUGAUGCAUAUGAAAAUUCAAGAAUUAUUAAGGCAAGAACAAAAGCAUUUCAUGAUAAAAGAAUUUUUCGAAAAACAUUUGAGAUUGGUCAAAAAGUGUUGCUUUAUAAUUCUCGUCUUCAUUUAUUUCCAGGAAAGUUAAAGUCAAAAUAGAGUGGCCCAUUUGUUGUAAAAAAUGUAUAUUCAUAUGGGGCCAUAGAAAUUGAGAAUCCAAAUAACGGUGUCACAUUUAAAGUUAAUGGUCAAAGAUUAAAACCAUAUCUGGAACAUCACCCACGUGACGAGGACACCGAAAUUAAUUUGGAUGACCCACCAGUUCUUGAUUAAGUCUUUAAUGAUUUUUUUUUUUUUUACUAUUAUUUUACCGUUUCAUUGUUUGAUUUUUUUUCUUUAGAUUGAUGCACUGUACAUAGUUUUUUUUUAACAUUGUUUUUCUUGUGUAAGCGUGUUUGUUUGACAGUUGUACAUUCUCUCAUCAAUUUUCAUUUUACAUCAUGAGCACCUCAAUGAGAAAAUACCUAUUCGCACAUCUUAAAAGAUUUCGGCGUAUAAAAUUUCACUUAAGAGGCCUAAUACAAAGCUGUAAAUCACAUCCACUUUGGGAUCUGCAACCACCAGAAUUCGUGUCCUAUGUUGAGGAUCUAGAAGGACAACUCAGAACAGUAGAGAGUGGCAUAUAUGAAUUUCAAAUAGAGCUUGAGGUUAACUCAAUGAGAGGACGAAUGUAAGUUCAUUUUCCUUUUAUAUUGUGUGCUUUUUUUUUGCUCGCUUUCACGCUUGAUUUGAUUUUGCAGAUUUGAUUUUGGUGUGUUUUGAUUUAUUUUCCCGUAUAAAUGGCGGAUAACGGUACUCCGUGACUUCUUAAGUCGGUAUCUUCAGUUUCCCACAAUAACUGAAACCCCAAAAUCAAACAUGGAAGAAAUACAACAUAAACUCCAUAAGCAUUUUCCCUCUCUCCCUCAGAAUGCCCUCAGGAAAAUUUACAAAGCUCGUUGUGAACGACUGCGUUUGUUAAUGAUCAAUGGCAUUCUUUCUGACAUUCGUUGGUUAAUUGAAGCAAAGGUCUGAUUAGCAGGUGAGUUUUCUAGUCAAUUUGUUUCUUACAUGCCUGGUUUUGGUAAAAGUACGUUUGCUAAGAAAAGGAGAGCUAAACGACUUGGCUCAAAAUGUCAUAACUGUGUAAGACUUGGUUGCAAACGACCGGAUUGUAAAUCUUUAGGAAUGGUUUCUGAUACUCGUGAAGAUAAAAUUAAAUUCGUUAAAGAUGGCAUGAGUAAAGAAUCGUUGGAUGAUAUCUUACGAUCUCUUGAGACGCAUCGAAGCGGAAUUGUGCAAUGUGAGAUUUACAAUUUGUGGAUACUAUUCCAAAAACAAAGUGCACAGUUAAGUCUUGGGAAUCUGACUCAAAAAGACCCUGUUUGCCAGUUUAUAAGAAAACUGGAUGGGAAGCCGAUCCUCGACCCAUAGAGGGCGUUCAAGCCGUUACUGGACGUAAAACCAGAGGAAGAUGUGAGCCACAAUCACAACUACUAGUAAAUAUCCUUUCACUUCACUGUUAUUUUACUUUACUGUUAUUUUAUCAUUUGAAUUAUUGCAUUUAGCGAUGUGAUUUUGUAUUUAUUUGGUUUCUUUUACUGUUUGCUUUUUCUAAUCAUUACUUUUUUUUUUACUAUUUGUUUUUGAAUUAUUGAGCCACGAGCUUUCCUCGUCAUUUGACAAAUAUGCCAACCCAUUUACAGCUGUUUCUCUUUAUUUAUGUCACCAAGAUCUUUAAAUAUGAGCUCGUUUUUCAAACACUCACAACUUGUUUUUGAAAAAUUAGUCCAAUGGCAGCAUCUUCAAGUAAACAAUUCAAAAAUAUUUGUGUGCUUUCUGGGUUUCACUAUGGAAAGUACAAAGAGUUCGUUCAGGUAGCUGUAGAUCUUGGUCGUGUCAUAGCAGAGAGGAAACUGCAUCUUGUAUAUGGAGGAGGUGAACGAGGGUUAUCAAGACUUGUCUCAGAAGCUGUUUUUACCAGAGGAAGCCAAGUACUCGGCAUUAUCCCAAAACCCAUGAAACCGCUAGUGUGCAUGUCUGGCCCACCAAUUGGAGAAGAAUUAGUGGUAUCAAGUAUGCAAGAGAGAAUAUCUGAAAUGAUGAAUCAUGCUGAUGCUUUUAUUUUCUUGCCAGGAGAUCUUGCAACUUUUGAGGCACUAAUUACAUUUGCAUCUUGGGCCCACUUGAACAUUCAUCAAAAGCCCAUCGGUUUGUUAAAUGUUAAUAAUUUUUAUGACGGCUUGCUAACUUUUAUUAAUCAUGCAAUAAAGAAUCAUUUUGUUCCACAUUCUGUAAAAAAACUCUUUAUCUCUGCUUCUACUGCUAAUGAGUUACUUGAUCUUUUACAAGCUUAUACACCAGAGCCAGAUCCACAGACUGUUGCACUGAAUUGGUCGACUAAUGAUGGUAACGGUAACAGUAGCAGUAAUAAGAAGUGCGAUUUAGAUUUAACUCUCCGUUUGUAAAUAUUUGCUGUUGUAGUGUUCAUGUGAUGUCUUCUACACUCUUUCUAUUUCCUUUUAAAACAUUGAGGACAAUGUCUUUUUCAGGUUGGGGGGAGGGAAUAGUUGAUAAUUGUGGAAUGUCUUAGUCCUGGUUAUGUGUUUACAAAAAAAAAAAAAAAAAAAACAAUAACAAAAUUUUUUUUUUCUGUAAAGACUAACUUAGGACAAAUUUGAGUCGAAGAUGGCAGGAUAUAGAGAAUGUAGUCUCUCUAGAAACGCAUCUUCUUAAUCUUAAGGGUGUUGUUAAAAAAAAAAAAAAAUUGACUUUUUCUUCAUCUUUGUUAUCUACUUUUAAGCUUCUGCAUCAAGUUAAGGUGAGAUCUCCUAUUCUUCUUCUUUUAUUAUUCUCUUUUAUUUUUAUUUAUUAUUAUUAUUAUUUUUUUGCAUAUCUGUAAAAUUAUAAAAUGUUAGGAUAAUGUUUAGAUUAGGUUGUGGGGUGGGGAUAAUUGACGUAUGUUUUAAAUAUGUAUGUUGUUUUUUUCUCUUUUCUCUUUUCUUUUCUUUUCUUUGCCAAAAAAAAAAAAAAAUUGUUUUUUGUCUAGGAUGGCCGUGUAAAGAGUCACGACUUUUGAGACGCAUCCUAAUAGUCUUGUUGUAUUAUAUUUUGAUUUUGAGAUUCAUGGUAAGUUGUUUUUGUUCCCUUUUCUUUGAAUUACUCAAAUUUGUGAACUCUCCACUUGGUUAUUAAGUUAUUUAAUUGUUUACUCAUUUAACAGGUAUUAUUGAAUCAUUCUUCACACACACAUUAUGACACAUACUAGUGGGUUGUAAGUUAAAAUUUUACAGCAUUUAGUUCUUUUGAUUUAUUAGGAAAAGUAUCUAAGGUAGUAGAAAGUGUAUAGUUCCAAAAAAAAAAAAAAAAGUAGAAAAAAAAUUGUUUUUAAUUUUUCUAUAUCUAGAACCCGAGUAAUUAAGUCCGUAGGGGUGUUUCAACACCUAGUGCCCUAAGGUCAACUGGUCUGGGAGUCACUGGCCUAAAGCUCACUACAUGGGUAAUAGAUAUAUUGUUUGUUUAUUAGAAACCCGAGUAAUUAAGUCCGUAGGGGUGCUUUAACACCUAGUGCCCUAAGGGCAACUGGUCUGGGAGUCACUGACCCAAAGCUCGCUACACGGGUUAGAAAUGUAAUAUAUAAAAAAAAAAUGUGUGAAUAAUCUAUUGCCUAAAGAUAUAAUUUCUAAUGAAUUUUAGAACGAAAAUGUUGUUUUUCUUUUAAUGAAGCCCCAUAAGUAUUGUGUUAAUUACUUGAGCACAAAAGAAGGUUUGAUGAUAUUCUGGAUAAUGAGUGAACAUCAAUGUGGUAAAGGAAUUUGGGAGAGUUCAUUUAUUUGGUAAUUUAGAGGAUAGAUGAACAACUAUUAACUUGCAUGUGAAUUUUAUAAAUCUUAAUAUAACGCUUUAAUUGCUAGAGGGCUAGCAAUAAGCUGGUUGGGGGGUGUGAUUAGUAUUAAAAAUUGUUUAAUUAUCAAGCGAUAAUAUGUUAUUUUAUGCUUAUGUUAUAAUUUAUAUUUGUGUUUAUGUAAUAUAUUAUGAAUUAUUAAUUAUGUUUUAAAUAUAUUUAAUUUUGUGUAUUUUUAUGUGUUUAUUAGGAAAAUUAUUAAUUUCACGUACUUCGAGGCUCCAAACAGAUAAACGGAGGUCAAAUUUGGAUUCCGGAGGUCCGAAAACCUUAAGAUCAGUCAAGAUCGGCUUAAAAUUGGGCUUGUGUAAAAAAAGUUGACUUUUCCUGUUGACCGAGCACUGAUUGGAUGAUGAAAUGAGCUUACAAUAGAUAUGAGUGCAUGGGAUAACUGGCAAUCUUGACUAAAUCUCAACCGUUCAUGAUUCAAUGGCCAUGAUUGUGCCACGUGGCAAUGGUUGGUGAAGCAAGUUGGAGGAUCCGAAUCUUUGUAUUCGGGUCGACCCGAUCCACCCAUUAACCCGCCAAAUCUCAACCGUUCUUUGGGCAAAUCGGACGAGUCAAAUGAUGCCAUGUGUGAUGUUGACUUUUGAAGUUUGACCAGCCAUUGGAUCUUGAUCUAAGGGUUGUGAGGAGCACAUGCAUGAAGCCUAUGAUGGACCGCAAAGCACUGGAUUAUGAAUUUAUUUUUCUAUAAAUAGGGCCUCAUUUUUAUGUUUUAAUCAUCUCUCUACAACUCUCUUCUUCUCAAAUUCUCUCCAUCUCCUUGUAAUCUUGAUUUCCAGGUGUGUUUUUAAUAUUUUGUAUAAUUAUUUUCAUUAAUAAAAUUAGUUUUAUUUCCAAUUUUAGUUGUUUUUAUUUCUUUUAAUUAUAAGUAAUUCAAUUUUACUACUUCUUUUUAUUUUAAUUAUGCUUAACUAAAUAAUAUUAGUUAGGGGAAGGUGAAACUCUUAAGAAAUAAAUAUGAUUUAAUCAAAUUCUAUGUUUAAUUUUAUAAAUUAAUUUAUUUUCUAUUUAAUUUUAUACAUGUUUUAUAUUUUGAAAAUUUGAUUUAUUGUAGACAAACAAAUGAAUUUGGCACAAUAAAUUCUUAAGAUCUUAAUAUAAGGCAUGGUGAAAUGGUAUUUUGACUUAUUGUAGACAAAUUAAAUUUUGGCACAAUAAAUACUUAAUCCAUCAUAAAAUUAAAGGGAAAAUAAUAAUAAUUUGUAUAAUUAAUCUUUUGAGUAAUAAAUCUAAAACAAAUUGGCAAAAAGAAUUUAUUAAGUUUUAUUUAUUUCUAAGAGUGGAUCCAUAACCCUAACUAGUUCAAUUCCAUAGUUUCAUUUAAAUUAAGUUGUUUAUAUUCAAGUUUUAAUUUCAAUUUUUAGAUAAAAUAAAAUAAACUAAUUAAAUCUUUUCUCUGUGGAUCGACCUCGGACUCACCGAGUUAUAAUACAACAAGACACUCUUAUACUUGGGAGUUAAAAUUUACUUUUAAGUUGUGUCACUAACUAUAAAGGCUGGGUUACUUUGAGGACUUUUAGAUUCUCCAAAAUUUUUAUCAAGUUUUUCUAUUUUUUUUUUCAUAAUCUGAUAUAAUUUGAUUGAUUUUUAUAUUGUAUUCACCACGCUGGCUGCUUCGAAAAUGUAAUUUUCGAGUUGUUUACCUAAUAAGAUUAUAAAUUCUUGGUGUGGUGAUGGAAUGAUUACAUGGUGUUGUAAGAGUAAUUCUUUCGUUAGUCAUUAUAUAAAUGAACUGACAAAGGAAAUUGACUUCUAAAAGUAUAUAUGCUCCUAUAUGAUUAUAAGACCAUAAUAUAUGGAUACUUAAAAUGUAAUCUUCGAUUUGGAUUAAAGUUUUUAUCCUACAUGUUCCUAAAAUGAUUUGUUCACCAUUUAUUCCUUGUCCUGUUAAGGGUUUAUAAUCUUUCGAAUAUGAUUUUGGAUAAAUCCUUAAAUUAGGUAAGCUAACUCCUGAACCAGUGUCUAUUAAAGCAUGAAACCAUUCUGGCUUAUGCUUAUAAUAUGGUUUAAUCACUUUUAUAUAAACUAUAAAAAGAUUAGACAUAUCUUGAUAUGGUUUGCUUAAUUCCUUCAACUGUUAAGCUUAUUUUUCUAUCUCCUAUAGAAUAAGGAGUAAAAUUCUCAAGAAAGUUCAUCCCUAAUAAUAAAGGACUUAUUUAUGUUUCAUAAUCUGGUUCUAUGAAAAAAGAAAAGAUGAAUUCUAUCCCUUUUAUUCUUAAUAGUAUUUCACUAUAUUGACUUAAUGUCUUUCUUUCUCCAUUAAAUCCUACAUAAGUAUGAGGCUCAAUUAAAAUUUUUCUUUCUAAAUAUUUAAUAAUUUUAGAAUCUACAUAAGAUUUUGCAGCUCCUGUAUCAAGGAUAGCAAAAGUCUCGUGCCAUGAUUUUCCAUUAUUAUAUUCAAUCUUAAUUUUUAGAUUUUGAUUAUCCAGUAUUGCUAAAUUUACUGGACUAUUUGUCCUUUCUCGAAAAUGAGCUCUUAUCAUGACUUGAAUUCCUCCGAUAUGAACAUAUCCAAUUUUAAGUCUAUCACUAGAUUUUAUCUCAUUUAUCUUAUCUUUUAUAUCAGUUUUUAAUAAUAAUGGUAUAUUUGUAUUUCCUCUAGCAUACCUAAUUUCAAUAGGUUCUUCUCUUACAGUAGCACUAAGAUACAUUAUAUUUUUUCUUUUAAUCAUGUUAGCAAUGCCUUGUGCUAACUUAUUAACCGAAGUCAUAGAUGAUUCCAAUCCUUUUUUAUUAUUCUUGAGAUAUUGCUUUUUAUCAAAGAUUAAUUCUCUAUUAAAAGAACCUUGUUCUUCUAACUCUUCAUCUUGAUAUAAAUCUUUAUUUUCUAAUUCUUCUAUACUCAUUCUGAAUCAGAUUCUAAAUCAGAACUUCUCAAAGUUUCAUUAGAAAGAUAAUAUAUGCUAUCAUUUUCACUAAUAUCUUUGCUAUCGGUGAUUAAUUCUAAAUCAUUGAAAUCUUCAAAUAUUUUUAUAUUUGCUUUCUUCGUUUUAGGACAUUCAUUUGCAUAAUGUUCUUCUUCAUUACAUAACUAGCACUUGCAUUUUUUAGGUGCAUUGGUUUUGGAUCUUCUUUUAAAUUUAUUUUUCUUGUAGAAUUUCUUUUUAUAUUUAUUUUUCUUGUAAUAUUUCCUGUUGGCUUUAAAGAAUUUCUUCUUUUUGAAUUUUUUUUCUUGUGUUUAUAGAUUUUAUCUGAACAUCCAAAUCUUGGCGGAUCUUCUAAUUUAGAACAACAUAAUUCUCGAUUUUGCCUUUUCAUAAGUCUUCUAUCUCUUAUUUCAGAACACUAUUCAUUUAUUCUAUUUUGAGCAAAUCUAAUCCUAUUUCGUAAUGUAUAAGUUUCUGUAGUAUCUUUGUAUUCUUUGUUAUAUUCCAACAUAAUCCUUCUACCCCAUGGGUCUGGUAUCUUUACAAAAUAUAGAUCAUGGUAAUAGCAUAUGUUAUCCUCAUCUUUAUCAAAUUCACAUUUAUAAUAUAAUUCUUCGAAGCUACAUGUAUAUUCUUCUAAAUAACAUAUAUUACAUAUUUCAAGCCUUGUUAGCUUCAUUAAAUUUUCUAUCUGUUUUCUUUUUAUUUCUUGUUGAAAAUCAGUUUCCCAAUCUUCUCCCAAGAAUUUUUUUCUUAUUUCAUUUUCGAAUCUAUUUAAAACCUGAUCAACACUUUCGUUUCGAUUAUUAUUUUCUCCAUACAAUAUUCUAUUUUUAUGAUUAUCAUUUAAUCCCAUAAACCAAUGAGAAACAAUUCCUAUAAACGAAAUUUUAAGGAAUUCUAUACUAUUAUCCCUAUCAAUUUUGUGAAAUGCAAAAGCCAUUUUCAUAGAUUUAACCCAAGCGGUAAUCGUUUUAUCUCUAUCUUUGAUACAGUCUAAACCUAACCAUACACCAUCAUGGUUGAUUGGUCUUUCUCUAUAUUCUCCUGGAGUUUUAUGAUCUUUUUUAGGUUUGUUAAUCCUAAAAUAUUGACCUUGUGCUCUUUCCUGAGUUGGUAUUUCUUCCCUAACAUAGGAAGCUCUAUUACUAGUUUCUCCUUGUUAAAAACCGUUUAACUUUGGUUCAUUCAUUUUUAGAUGUUCUAUUCUAUUUUCAAUAUCCUGCAAAUUAAUGACUAUAUCAUCUUCUUCUUCGGAUUCAGAUUCUUUAUCAGAUAUCUCUUGAUUAGGUAAUUCUAUGUUUUCACUUAGCAUUCUUAGACUUAUUAAUUUUUUGUCUUUGUUUAUUUUGUUAAAUAUCGGUUUAGAUGUUGUUAUCAUUUCUUUAUCUUUAAGUUCAUUAUAGUAAAUUAUGGUAUCUUGUAAAAUUUUAUUUUGUUUAUUGAUCUUCUGUACUUCAAUCCUUUUGUAAUUUUCCAUUUAUGCUUAUAGCGAAUUUAUUACCAAUUUUUUCAUCGAUUUUUUCAAUUUUUUGUAGUUGAUUUCAAUCUUGUUGAAUUUAUUUUCAAUUGAACUUUUGUUCACAAUAUUAAAGAUUUCUUGUUUUAAUCUAUCUUGAUCUUCAAUAUUAAAGUCUUUUAUUAAUAGCUUAACAAAAUCAAAUUCUUCACUCAUUCGCUAUCCUAUCAUUUUGACUUGUCUUAUAUUUUCGGCAUCAAAGCUUUUAAUCUCAAGUAUCUUAUUUACACUUUCUAUAUCAUCUAUGGUUAAAUUAGGGUUUCCUAAUUUAUUUAAUAAAUAUAAUGAGAUCCAAUUUAAUUGAUUAUUUCCCCACAUAUCAGAAUCAUUUACUAAAUCAAAUGGUUGAAAUCUUCCAUAAGUAAAUCCUCUAUGCCUAUAGCUAGAAGGUGGUAAUAUGUUGGUUUCAAUAUUUCUAUAUACUUCUCUCCUGAUCCUAAAGAGAAGAAUAGGAUCAAUAUUUAAAUUUCUAAUUUUUAUUAUGAUGAGUUCUCCAAUUUUAAAUUCAUGAACUCUAACUAAAUAAAAUUGUAUUAAUUGUUUAUCAUCCAAUAUAUUAACUUCUGAAUAAUAAUAUUGUUUAUGUUUUGUUAUAUUAUCUUUAACUCCACACUUGUUUAAAAUUCAACACACAGAUGUGCCUCUUUCUUACUAUACUGGAAUCCUCGGUAAACUUUUUGUUUGCGCAAUUUAUGUGAGCAAAUUGUGUCUUCUUUUUCAUAUGUAAAUGUUUUUGAUAUCUUGAUGUGAAGGUAGAAAAUUGCAUGUUUUGAGUUUUUGCAUAUUUGAUGGAAACACAGAACUGUACCUGAAUCUUUCAGAACCCCCUUUUCUUUGAAGUUUGAACACUUUUCUUGAAUGUAUCAACUUUAUUUAUGGGAUAUGUUGCCAAAUUGGCAAAUCUAUUCGUUAUAAAACUUUCCUUUGACAGUUUAAUCUAAGCAGAUGUUAAUUAUGCAAAUAGAGUGUGCCUAAGAUUAGUUUCAUAGAUUUGUCUCCUUCUGUACAGUAAAAACUUUGAGCAUUUUCGCCAUAUUCUGAUCAAUACACUCCAACUAGUUAGUUCUUGAGGCGUUUUAUGGUUUCGUGGAGUGAGGCAAGAUGUAUACGUUUGCAAAUUGGCAAUGUCUUUUGCUUGAUGGGUUGAGAGUUGUGAGUGUCAACAGGAAACAAGACCUCUGUUUUAUGAACUCCAAAAAGUUAUUCUGUUAAAAAGAUCGAGACAGAGGCCAUACUAUAUUUAUUAUUGCUAUAAAAGUGUGAAAAAAUAUUCUUUGUUUAAUAUUCUAAACGAUUGAGCCAUUUAGUUAUGAUACUCUGCUGUAUUGGGGCUAAUAAUCUAAGUCGGUUCAAAGUGGUAAAUUUAUAAAUUGAUAGGUAUGCCUGGUAUGACCGCUUACGUUGGAUUUUAUGAGGUCUGCUCUCCUAAGCAAGGAGAGUGUGUCUUCAUAUCCGCAGCAUCUGGUGCAGUUGGACAGCUUGUGGGGCAGUUUGCAAAGUUAUUGGAUUGCUAUGUCGUCGGAAGUGCUGGAAGCAAAGACAAGGUAUGUAAUCUGUGUGAAGUACUUGAUUGUUUCCAUGUUACUUUCAAACAUUUAAAUUAAAAAGGAAAUUUUCAUAAUCUUGCCUUUUCUAUGAUUUUCAAAACCAAGGUUGAUCUACUGAAGAACAAGUUUGGGUUCGACGAGGCAUUUAACUAUAAAGAAGAAGCUGAUUUGAAUGCAGCAUUGAAAAGGUUAGCAUCAAUAAAUGCCUUAGCUUGAUGCAGCUUGAUGAAGUAUGAUACACAUUUCUGACCAAUAUACUGCGUUCCCUGAUCUCUUACUUGAAAUAUCUUGGUUUGAGAAUCUCAUGCCAAUGCCUUUAACAUUUUGGCAGGUACUUUCCUGAAGGAAUUGAUAUAUAUUUUGAAAACGUUGGUGGAAAAUUGCUUGACGCAGUGCUACCCAACAUGAAAAUCCGUGGUCGAAUUGAUGCAUGCGGUAUGAUCUCACAGUACAAUCUUGACAAGCCUGAAGGUGUGCACAACUUGAUGUAUCUUGUUUCGAAACGGCUUCGAAUGGAAGGAUUCAUUGUUCUCGAUCACUAUCACCUCUAUCCAAAGUUUCUGGAAAUGAUCAUUCCUCACAUCAAAGAAGGGAAGCUUGUAUACGUCGAAGACAUGGCUGAAGGUCUUGAGAGUGCUCCGGCAGCUCUCAUCGGUCUAUUCUCUGGCCAGAAUAUUGGGAAACAAGUGGUUGCUGUUGCUCCUUAAUGAAGAACAAGUUAGUGUUGUCUGUCCUUUUACCCUUUGACACAAAACUUCAAUGUUAAAGAGAGAAUGCUGUUCAUAUAUACUGCUUUAUAAAAUAAUCAAGUGAGUGCAAGUUUCAUGAUAUUUGCUGAAUAAAAUAUUGGAAAUUAAGCAGCUAGCCUAGCUCCUUCUUGUAGUUGCAGUUUGAAUGAUGCUGCUGCACAACUGCUGCCGAAAAAAUCCUUAAUAGAUGAUUAGCAAGGUUUCAAAAAUAAAAAUAAAUGUUUGUGCAAUGUGUCGAAUAUGACAGCCACAAAGAAAGAGCACACAAAUUGAUUGGUUUUAUGUCUUCUCUAGGAGAAAGCUACAAUACAAGAAAUUGUACUGAUGGAGCCAUGGACCAAAUUUCUUAUUUAAACUUUUAAUUUUUUUAUUAAAUUACUUAUGUUAUUAUGGUUUAUAAUUUUAGAAAUUCUUUAGAAAUUAAUACAGAACUAGUAGCAAGUUGAGAAAUCUAUUGAAUGGUCAAGAUAUGAUCAUGUUUAUUGAAUUAAAUUGACAAUCAUCAUUUUGAUAAAUUAUUGUCAGGAUGUUUGAUUCAUGACACGUGUAAGCAACUAAAUGUGCUAAAAAAAAGUUAAUGAGUUGGGCGUGUUUGAGUUAAUGAGUUGGGCUUGUUUGAUAUUCAUUUGUUGUAAUUCUUUUAAUAAUUAUUGGGGAAAAAAAGUUAUAAUAAAAAAAAUUAUAAUUAUAAAAUAAAAAUUAAUAAUAUAUAAUAAAUAAGAUUUUAAAUAAUAAUUUUAAUAAAAUAAUAAAUAUAUUAUAAAUUUUUUAUGAUUAAUUUUUAAAUUACAACAAUAAAUAUUUAACAAACACCUUAAUACCACAACUAACACCACAACUUUUGAAUUAUGAUAGUACAAUCUAAAUGCCACAGGCCUUAAAAAAUAAAAUUACAGUCAAGUUUUAAAACUGUUAAUGAUAUUCACAAAGACUCUGGAACAAUAUUACAGAAGGUGCUCGUCGUGUAAGCAACACAUGGGACCCAACCAAUAAAUGUUUCUGAUCCUCAACUUUCCUCAUCACUGUCCCUGGAAACAAUUCUGAUUUUCUUGUCUGAUUAAACAACUGAGAAACAAUGGCGGCCGACCAAGAAGCUGGGAGCAAUAAGCGGGUGAUUCUAAGCAACUAUGUGACAGGUUUUCCAAAAGAAUCAGACAUGAAGAUAACAAGUUGAUCAAUAAAGCUGAAGGUAGCAGAGGGUGUUUGGGAGAAAUACGUCGACGAGACCAGGCAUGGUGAGCAGAUAUCUGAUGGCAGAGUUCUGCGAACCGGUGUGUUCCGUAAAAGCCUGGUGCGCGGGGGAACAGGAGCAGAAGUAUCCUGCUCGUCCACGAGCACGUCAUCCGCGAGGCCAAUUUCCUGUAAGAGGCAUAAGGUCAUUCCGGCUAGAGGUCGAGAGGCGAGGAGACCCGGUCGACGGCAGUUGGCAAGACAUGCUCCCCAGCCCGAGAAUCUAGGCACGACAGCCACGCUUUCCCCAGAACCGUGGCGUAACACGCAAGAUCUCACAGAACCACGACAGCCACGCUUUCCCCAGAACCGUGGCGUAACACGCAAGAUCUCACAGAACCACGACAGCCACGCUUUCCCCAGAACCGUGGCGUAACACGCAAGAUCCCACGUUUGCCCAUAACGCAGCAGUCAGAGUCCCAUACCGUCUCGAAAAAAGCGGAAAACUGGGAUUCAGGGGAAGCCUAUAAAAAGGUAGCCAACGAAGGUAAAAGGGUUAGCAUUUUUGAGAUUAGAAAAGAAAUGAAAAAAGAAGAGAAAACCACGAAAAAGCCAUAAGAUAUGUGGCAAGCGUUCCCCGAACCUUCAUAUCUGACUUGAGCGUCGGAGGGUUUGCGCCGGGAAAACAACCGGCGUACUCUGACUUGUCUGUGUGCGCAGGAACCUCUGGAGAAGAAGCCUCACGUGGAGACCUCCUGGUCGUGAAGAAGUUGAUCGGGCAGAGAUCCUGGUCGUAGAACGAGGAGAACCGGAAUCCCGCAUCAACAUUUUGGCGCCGUCUGUGGGGACCGGAGCAAAAAGCUUCUGUUGAUAGCAAGAAGAGGGGUGAAGCAAGUGAAAAACAAUGGAGACAGGAGGAAGUAGUGCACAAGGGGGUGAUAGGAAGCUUAACGAUUCCGUGACGCUGAGGGAGAUAGUCAGUGAAGCACGGGAAAAAGUCAUGUUCGACCGGAUGGAACGGAUGGAAAAGCAGAUGGAGACCUUGACAACCAUCCUGCAUGAGCUGCGGAGCGAGCGAAGUAUAAUCCAAGAGGGAAGGGUGAGAGGCGGUGGAGUGGCACCAGGUCCCGAUAGUGCGGGGAGAAGUCAAACCACCGGGAGAUUUGGUGGUGAGAGAGGUAACGUACCUCUGCGGGGAGAAUUUCAUAGAGAAAGAGAGCAGUCCCCGGCAAGACAGACUGGCGACGAGGACGACGGGGUGGUGAAUGCAGAGGAAACAGAGUUGAGGCAACACUUGCAUGAUGUAGAGCAAGAGCGGGAUCAAGUUGCAGCACGUGACCCUGGUUGUGCAGUGCAGCUGGAGGAGGAAGUGCGCAGACUAGCACAGAUAAUCGACGACAUGCAAGGAAGGAACAGAGCCCCUGGUUGGAGGAUAAUGCUGGACGGAGAAUCACCGCUCGCAGCAGAGAUCAUGAGGGCAGUUAUUCCGAGAGAUUUCCGCCUCCCAGACCUCAGAUACUCGGGAAGAACUGAUCCGUUGGUGCACAUAGAGCGCUUCAACGACAUAACUGGGGUACAAGGAUUAUCUCAAUCCCAAAGGUGCAGAGUGUUCCCACUAUCCCUUGAGGGACGUGCACGAGAAUGGUACAGGAAACUUCCUCGGGGCAGCAUUAAAACCUUCGAGCAGAUGUGCCAGGAAUUCGCGGAGCAGUUUAGUGGGGCAAUGGCGCCGGAAGAUGACAUGAUGGAGCUGAAAAGCAUGAAACAGGGGGAGCAAGAAACCCUUCGGGAAUUCAUCAAGAGGUUUCAUCGGGCUGUCCUUGACUUGGGAGCCUUCAACCACCCUCAGGCGUUAAGGGGAUUGAAAGAAGGGGUGAAGAUAGGAAGGCUGUGGUACAAUUUGAGAAGCCCAGCUAUUCAAACGUAUGCAGCCGCAUACGAACAGGCUAAGAGAGACAUCGAGAUUGAAGAGGAGAAGGCUGCACGGAUUAAGACAGACCAGUUAGAAGGGUUGGGGAGGAAAGAGAAGAAAGCAUUACCGGGGAAUGGGCCGAUCAGGAGGAGGGACCACCAGGCCUCCGGUAGUGGAGCAGGAGGUCGGGUAGCCGCUUACCAGCCUCAUCAAAGGCCACCACAGUAUCAGCGCAGCAGGGCGCAACCUCCUCGUUCCCCAGCUAGGGAGCCUUGGAGAAGGCAUGAGUCGGCAUCUGGUGGUCUCCAACAACACCCCCACGGUAUCAGAGCGAGCAGACCAGAAGUACUUCCACCGCCCCCAACUCAGAGCGGGGCAAACAGAGAAAGAGCAGUGCACCUGAUCGACCAGAACCCGGACUAUGGGCGGUACACUUCCUUGAAGAUGUCCCUGGAUGAGGUGUACGAGGCCAUAAAGGAUCGAGGGCUGCUGCACCUCCCUACACCAAUAACAAAGCUACCCAACAGGAGGGAUAGAGGACGUUAUUGUAAGUUCCAUGGCACCCAUGGCCAUACCACAGCAGAGUGUAGAGAUCUCAAGACCCAAGUCGAAGAUUUGGUGAGAAAUCGGUACCUGGACGAGUUUAUGGAUGGGACUUUCCCGAUGGGGGCCACAACAGGUGAAGGGGAGCAGAGUGGCGGAAACGUUAGGCGCGAGCAGCCCGCAGUAAGGGUGAUAGCUGGGGGCCCGACAUUGGCCGGAGAUUCCAACAGAUCGAGAAAAAAUUAUGCUAGGUACGCCAUGACCAGUAAAGAGGUACUCCUCAACACCCCAGCAGCCAAACGAGCAAGGGUCAGGCAAGUGCCAAUCAUGUGGACGGAUGAGGAUGAGGAAGGGAUUCUAUACCCCCACGAGGAUGCUUUAGUCAUCAAGGCUACUGUCGCUAGCAAGAAGUUUGACCGGAUACUGAUUGAUACAGGGAGCUCAGUUGAUGUGUUAUUUAAGUCAACCCUGGAAGAGAUGGGAAUAGCCGACCGGAAGUUGGAAUACACCAAUACCUCCUUGAAGGGGUUCGGAGGAGGGAAGCUGGUCCCUCUGGGCGUGGUCGAGCUGCCUAUCACAAUUGGGAGCUCUCCGACAGAAAGAACAAUGAUACUGGACUUUGUCGUAGUGGAUGAGGAAGGUCCUUACCAGAUGAUCCUAGGUCGGCCAUUUUUAAGGAUGAGCAAAGCGGUGUUGUCCAACCAUUAUCUGGCUCUGAAGUACCGGGUGAACGGGGUAGUAGGAGUGGUACGAGGAGACCAGAGGAUCGCAAGAAGCUGCUACUCCUCGGCAGCAAGGGAAGCAAUGCAGAUAACAUCCCUCGAUACCCGAGUGGAAAACAAGAAGGGCAGACAAGAACCUGUAGAGGAUCUGGAAACAGUAAGCCUGGGACCAGAGAACCCGGGAAAGACGAUCAGAAUCGGGUCGAGACUUAAGGGAGAGCAAAAGCAGGAGUUGGUGAAAUGCUUACAGGCUCAUGCUGAUGUGUUUGCUUGGACACAUGAAGACAUGCCAGGAAUUGACCCUGAGGUAGCAUGUCAUAAGCUGGCAAUAAAGAAAAGUGCUCGGGCAGUAAGGCAGAAGAGGAGGUGCUUCAACCAGGAGAGGUAUGAGGCUAUAAAUGGCGAGGUGGAGAAGCUCUUGAGAGCAGGGUUCAUUCGGGAAGUCAGUUACCCUGAGUGGAUAUCGAAUGUGGUGUUGGUAAAGAAGGCAAACGGCAAGUGGAGGAUGUGUGUGGAUUUCACAGACCUCAAUAAGGCGUGCCCAAAAGACAGCUUCCCUUUACCAAAGAUCGAUCAGCUAGUAGAUUCAACGGCUGGACAUGGUCUGCUUAGCUUCAUGGACGCGUUCUCGGGAUACAACCAGAUCCCCAUGUACGAGCAGGAUGAGGAGAGCACGGCUUUCAUCACUAACCAAGGUUUGUUCUGUUACAGGGUAAUGCCAUUCGGUCUCAAAAAUGCCGGGGCCACCUAUCAAAGGCUGGUGAACAAAGUCUUUAAGCCGUUGAUUGGGAAAACCAUGGAGGUGUACGUGGAUGACAUGAUCACCAAGUCCAAAAUCCCGGAGGAACAUGUCAGACACCUCGAGGAGACAUUCGAGCUUUUGAGGAAGUAUAAGAUGAAGCUCAACCCGGAGAAGUGUGCUUUUGGGGUCGAGUCAGGGAAAUUCCUUGGAUUCAUGGUGAGCCAUAGGGGGAUUGAAGCACAUCCCGAGAAAAUCCAGGCGAUUGUGCAAAUGACGUCUCCCCAUAACCUGAAGGAGAUGCAAAGCCUCACGGGGAGGUUGGCGGCGUUGAGCAGAUUCAUAUCCAAGGCUACAGAUAAGUGUAAGCCAUUCUUUCAAGUGAUGAGGAGGGGAAAGAAAACAGAAUGGACCUCAGAAUGCGAGGAAGCCUUCCGGAACUUGAAGCAAUACUUGCAGCAAGCUCCGCUGCUGUCCACACCGAGGGAUGGGGACAAGUUAUAUCUGUAUUUGGCGGUAUCGGAUCGGGCCGUCAGUUCUGUUCUGGUGAGAGAGGAAGAAGGAGUUCAGUAUCCGAUAUAUUACACCAGCAAGGCCCUGCUCGACGCUGAGACCAGAUACCCACCGUUGGAGAAAUGGGCACUUGCCCUUGUGGUUGCUGCUCGGAAGUUGAGGCCAUAUUUUCAAGCAUUCCCGGUCUUGGUAAUAACAAACCAGCCAUUGCGUCAAACUCUGCACAAGCCAGAUGCCUCUGGUCGGCUCGUCAAGUGGGCUGUAGAGCUGAGCGAGUUCGACAUAGACUAUAAACCCCGCGCAGCGAUAAAAGCCCAGGCAAUGGCCGAUUUCGUAGCUGAAUUCACAGAGCCCGAAGUAUGCUUAGAUCAACAAGAUGCAGAUAUAGGCAAUGACGAAACUCAAGUAUGGCAGAUGUCUGUGGAUGGGUCAUCAGGGGAGCGGGGUUCAGGAGCAGGGAUUGUCUUGGAAGGCCCAGAGGGGGAGGAGAUCUCUUAUACUGUAAAAUUGGAAUUUGCAGCCACGAAUAACCAGGCAGAGUAUGAAGCCUUGAUAGCAGGUCUGGAAUUGGCUAAGGCCGUGAAAGCAGACAGAGUUAAGAUCAGAACUGAUUCCCAGCUGGUUGCGAAUCAUGUCAGUGAAAGAUUCCAACCAAGAGAGGAGAAGAUGGGGCAGUACCUGAAGAUAGUCAGGCAGAUGAUGGGGAAGUUCGAAGCAGUGGAGGUGAUACAAAUCCCCAGGGAGCAGAAUAGUCGAGCAGACAUUUUGGCUAGGAUGGCAGCAGUAGCCGACCCAAAAAUGCCAAAGUCGGUCCCUCUGGAGGUGAAGUCCAGCCCAAGUAUCGAUCAGAAUUUGGGGGUGUUGCAGAUAGAACAAAAAUGCUCGUGGAGGGACCCGAUAAUUUCAUACCUUAGAGACGGGGUAUUACCACCAGAUAAGAUGCGAGCUCGCAAGCUUAGAGCCCAGGCCUCGAGAUACACGAUGAUUGAUGGGGUACUGUAUCGGCGAGGAUAUACACUACCGUUCCUUCAGUGUUUGGAUGAGGACGACGCGGAUUACGUACUGAGAGAAGUACACGAAGGAAUUUGCGGAAAUCAUUCUGGCGGGAGGUCCCUGGCCCAUAAGGUUCUAAGGCAGGGAUAUUUCUGGCCGACAAUGCACCAGGAUGCGCAAGAGAAGACCAGGAGUUGUGUAAGCUGCCAGAGUUUUGUAAAUUUCUCUAACCAACCACCAGAGAAGCUCACCUCCAUGACCUCCCCCUGGCCAUUUGCUCAAUGGGGAAUUGAUCUGAUCGGCCCAUUGCCAAAGGCACGGGGAGCAGCAACAUAUGCAAUAGUUGCUAUAGAUUACUUCACGAAGUGGAUAGAGGUAAAAGCCCUUAGCAGGAUCACAGAGAAGAAAACAACAGACUUCGUAUGGAGAAACCUGGUCUGUCGAUACGGGAUCCCUUAUGCCUUGGUAACGGAUAAUGGCAGGCAGUUCGAUAAUCACAGCUUCAGGGAUUUCUGCCAGAACCUCGGGAUAGAGCUGAAGUAUUGCUCGCCUGCUCACCCUCAAUCGAAUGGACAAGUAGAAGCAGCCAACAAGACCAUCAAGAGGCUUUUGAAAACCAGGCUUGGAGCAAAAAAGGGUGCGUGGGUUGACGAGCUGGCAGGUGUGCUAUGGGCAUCCAGAACAACAAAACCGCAACUGGGGAGACACCGUUCGCUUUGGCUUUCGGACAUGAAGCGGUCGUGCCGGCUGAGAUAGGAACGACCACACACCGGACAAAUCAUUUCAAUGAGCAGGAGAACGACGAGCAGAUAUGUUUGAAUCUUGAUCUGCUAACGGAAAGGAGGGAGCAAGCAGCCGAGCGAUCAGUCAUUUACCAAUAGAGGGUUGCUCGGUAUUAUAACCAGAAGGUGAACAUACGGCAAUUCAGGGUCGGAGACUGGGUACUGAGAAGAGUGAAUCAGAGCACCAAAGAUUCGACUCAAGGAGUGCUGGGACCGAAUUGGGAAGGGCCAUAUAGAGUCAAGCAGAUAGCGGGACCCGGAGCUUACAGGCUGGUUCGCACGGACGGCCACGAGGUGAAACGCCCAUGGAACGCAGCACACCUCCGAAAAUACUUCCAGUAAGACUUGUUCACAUGUGAAAACUAUUUUUGCUCAUGUUCAUUACCGUUUAUCUUUCACGCUUAUUGUCCAAACAAUUUCAUGUAAGUCGAAUCCUGCCAUUAAUGGAACGUCGAGGAAUUUCUUUCACUUGAAACCGAGAAAAUUUCCCAAGGCAUGCAAAGGCUCACCAAGUCUCAAAGCCUGUCUUAUGGUGAGACAGAAGCCAAGCAUGCCAGGAUCUGCUCGGCCACGAGAAGGCAAGCAGAAUCCCAAUCCUCGAAGAAUCCAAGGCACGCAAAGGCUCACUAAGUCUCAAAGCCUGUCUUAUGGCGAGACAGAAGCCAAGCAUGCCAGGAUCUGCUCGGCCACGAGAAGGCAAGCAGAAUCCCAAUCCUCGAAGAAUCCAAGGCAUGCAAAGGCUCACCAAGUCUCAAAGCCUGUCUUAUGGCGAGACAGAAGCCAAGCAUGCCAGGAUCUGCUCGGCCACGAGAAGGCAAGCAGAAUCCCAAUCCUCGAAGAAUCCAAGGCACGCAAAGGCUCACCAAGUCUCAAAGCCUGUCUUAUGGCGAGACAGAAGCCAAGCAUGCCAGGAUCUGCUCGGCCACGAGAAGGCAAGCAGAAUCCCAAUCCUCGAAGAAUCCAAGGCAUGCAAAGGCUCACCAAGUCUCAAAGCCUGUCUUAUGGCGAGGCAGAAGCCAAGCAUGCCAGGAUCUGCUCGGCCACGAGAAGGCAAGCAGAAUCCCAAUCCUCGAAGAAUCCAAGGCAUGCAAAGGCUCGACAAAGUCUCAAAGCCUGUUUUAUGGCGAGACAGAAGCCAAGCAUGCCAGGAUCUGCUCGACCACUAGAAGGCGAGCAGACUCCAAAGCAUUCGAAGAAAUGCCCAAGGCAUGCAAAGGCUCGACAAAGUCUCAAAGCCUGUUUUAUGGCAAGGCAGAAGCCAAGCAUACCAGGAUCUGCUCGACCACGAGAAGGCGAGCAGACUCCAAAGCAUUCGAAGAAAUGCCCAAGGCAUGCAAAGGCUCGACAAAGUUUCAAAGCCUGUUUUAUGGCGAGACAGAAGCCAAGCAUGCCAGGAUCUGCUCGACCACGAGAAGGCGAGCAGACUCCAAAGCAUUCGAAGAAAUGCCCAAGGCAUGCAAAGGCUCGACAAAGUCUCAAAGCCUGUUUUAUGGCGAGACAGAAGCCAAGCAUGCCAGGAUCUGCUCGACCACUAGAAGGCGAGCAGACUCCAAAGCAUUCGAAGAAAUGCCCAAGGCAUGCAAAGGCUCGACAAAGUCUCAAAGCCUAUUUUAUGGCGAGGCAGAAGCCAAGCAUGCCAGGAUCUGCUCGACCACUAGAAGGCGAGCAGACUCCAAAGCAUUCGAAGAAAUGCCCAAGGCAUGCAAAGGCUCGACAAAGUCUCAAAGCCUGUUUUAUGGCGAGACAGAAGCCAAGCAUGCCAGGAUCUGCUCGACCACUAGAAGGCGAGCAGACUCCAAAGCAUUCGAAGAAAUGCCCAAGGCAUGCAAAGGCUCGACAAAGUCUCAAAGCCUGUUUUAUGGCGAGGCAGAAGCCAAGCAUGCCAGGAUCUGCUCGACCACUAGAAGGCGAGCAGACUCCAAAGCAUUCGAAGAAAUGCCUAAGGCAUGCAAAGACUCACCAAGUCUCAAAGCCUGUUUUAUGGCGAGACAGAAGCCAAGCGUGCUAGGAUCUGCUCGACCGCGCGAAGGUGAGUCGAAUCCCAGGCAUUGAAGAAUCUCCAAAGGCAUGUGGCAAAACCAUGAGCCAAGCCGGAACCUGCUCGUCUAGACAGAGACAAGCAGAUUCUCAACCGAAAAUUAAUUCAUAAUUACAACACAAGAAAGUAAUCAAAAACCAUUUUUAUUAAUUUGUUAAUAAUUAACAGAGGGGAUAAUCUUUAUGAACAUUGUUCAUUACAAUACAAGAAAUAUAUCAGGAAGAUGGUGGACCAGUAAGCCCGGCAGCAUCGGUUGGCUGGACCUCCUCAGGUGCAGGAGGGGUAUCACCAGUUGCGUCCGGGGGGGUGCUCGCCUCGCCAACAUCAGCAGGGACUGCAUGAGCAGGAGAGUCUUCCUCCUCAAUCACGAUCGGCUCUACCCCAUCGGCAUCUUCCUUGGCCGCCUCCUCGUCCAUAUGUUGAGCAACACCAGCUGCAAGGUCAUCCAUCUUCAGAUCAGGGUGUUGCUUCCCGAGGACGGCCAUGAUGCAACGAUAGGAAUGCCGAAGUCCCUGGUCGUACUGGUUGUCAGCCUCCCUCUCUAAGUUCUCGACCUGAGCUCGGUGGGAGUCGCGGAGAGAUUCGAGCUGAGCCUCAUACAUAGCCUUCUGCCUUUGCAGAUCCUCCUUGACCGUGGUAAGCUCCUCCUCGAGGGAAAUGGCUUUUGCUUGAGCAAGUGAUUCUUGCUCUAUUAGCUUCAGAUUCUCGAGAUUCAGGUCCUUCUUGCUCACGAGUUUAGUUAACUCAUUGAGGUAGGGGACCAGGUGUUCUGCUCGGCUGUCAGGUAAGCGAGAUCGAGGCCCGACAGGAGGAAAAGAGGAAGCAGGAUCUGUGGCUGCUCCACUAGCUUCCCCGACUUUUACAGGAGCAGGAGGUAAAAUCUUCAAGGGUGGGACCUGCUGCAUGAUGUUGGCCCGCUUUGCAGCAGGGGCAUCCUUACUCUGGUCCCUCUUCGUGGUUGGAGGUCGGGAACGUUUUCGGGUCAGAGCCCCAAUCACAGCGUCCUCCAUCCUAUGGCCAGGAAGUAUCAAGCGAGACUCGAGCAAGUUGUAUGUAGUUAGCAGUUCUCGGCUCGAGCAGGAAUUGGCUAGUACAGCCUCGACCCGUUUGAGCUGGUCAGGUUCAAGCGGGAAGUGGACACCCCAAGAAACUACAACACAAACAGACACUUGGUUAGAGACAAGCCAAUAAAGCAAGAACAAUUAUGGAUGCAAGACAUCUAGAGUGAGCAGGCAACCUGGGACCGUGAAACGGGGUGGGACGUGACAAUCCUUCCCGCCUAUUUGUGCAACUUGACCCCAAGGACCCCCAGCAAAAAAGAAUUUCCUCUUCCAAGCCCCACCACCACCGGUUGGAAGAUCGGUUAUGGGUUUCCGGCUCUUGGUGCUAGAUUGGAAGUAGUACCAGCCGGCAUCUUUGGGGCUGCUCUUUAGCUGGUACAAGUGCUUCACCUCAUCAACCGUGGGCUCGCUUUGGCAACAUUUGUCCCACAAUAUGAACAGACCAGAGAGCACUCUCCACCCAUUGGGAUUCAGCUGACCAGGAGCUAGAUUUAGCCCGUUAAGUAUCUGGGCAAAGUAGGGUUGCAAGGGACACCUCAGCCCGUACUUAAAGCUCUCUAGAAACAGGGUAACGUAUCCCCUAGGAGGCCGGCUGGGAGCAUCCUUCUUUCCUGGGACCUUGAGAGGUAUCUCACCAGGAAUGCUAUACCUAAGCCGGAGGUCAUUGAGCUCGUCAAACAAGGUCGUGCACGUCAUGUAAUCAAUGGCAUAAUCGCGCGACAAGGCUCUGCCUCCUACUGUACCCCGUUCCUCUGGUCGUGAUGUUCCAGAUGGAGACACCUCACCAGAGUCACCUUCCCCAUUCUCACUUAAGGUGUCCUCAGAGCCAGAAGGUCUCUCUUCACCAUUGCUUCCACUCGUGGAGGUUGUUUGGGGGGACAUCCUCCUAGCACUAGUCCCGACACUAAACCUAAUGGGUUCUAAGGGGAUCCCGGGGUCAAAAGCAGAAUCAGUGAGCAGACCAGGCAGGAAACUUAGUUCGUCGUCAUCAAUCUCAACGACUUUCUCCUUACCUUUCGACAUUCCCUAAGCCCUAACCACAACACCACCAACUACUACCCAAACAGAAGAGAAGAGAAAUUAUCUACAACUAUCCGAGACCAAGGAGAUAGAAGAAAUACCUGAAGUAAUGGUUCAGUCGGUGAAAGUCAGAGAUGGAGGCCUUUUAUGCCGGAACUUCUUUGCCGGAGAAACAGAGACGGAGACGGAGUGAAUGAUGAAUAUGCCGUUCGAGAGGAUUUGGUUUUCCUAAUGAGGACGGACUCUUGGGUUGCCAGCAUUUAACGGCGCCGAAUCCCGAGGGUCUCAUAACCGUCGGUUUGAAAUUCAAAUGGAGGGGGGGAUUUCUGCCACGUCACCUCGUCCGCAAUUAAAUGCGACAUGACUCUUGGCAGCCUUUUCCAAUCCCACGCGGGCGAGUACUAACGAGUUUCUACUGCUGGUCCACUACAUUACCCAACACCAGAAACUGGGGGACCGGUGUUUGGGAGAAAUACGUCGACGAGACCAGGCAUGGUGAGCAGAUAUCUGAUGGCAGAGUUCUGCGAACCGGUGUGUUCCGUAAAAGCCUGGUGCGCGGGGGAACAGGAGCAGAAGUAUCCUGCUCGUCCACGAGCACGUCAUCCGCGAGGCCAAUUUCCUGUAAGAGGCAUAAGGUCAUUCCGGCUAGAGGUCGAGAGGCGAGGAGACCCGGUCGACGGCAGUUGGCAAGACAUGCUCCCCAGCCCGAGAAUCUAGGCACGACAGCCACGCUUUCCCCAGAACCGUGGCGUAACACGCAAGAUCUCACAGAACCACGACAGCCACGCUUUCCCCAGAACCGUGGCGUAACACGCAAGAUCUCACAGAACCACGACAGCCACGCUUUCCCCAGAACCGUGGCGUAACACGCAAGAUUCCACAUUUGCCCAUAACGCAGCAGUCAGAGUCCCAUACCGUCUCGAAAAAAGUGGAAAACUGGGAUUCAGGGGAAGCCUAUAAAAAGGUAGCCAACGAAGGUAAAAGGGUUAGCAUUUUUGAGAUUAGAAAAGAAAUGAAAAAAGAAGAGAAAACCACGAAAAAGCCAUAAGAUCUGUGGCAAGCGUUCCCCGAACCUUCAUAUCUGACUUGAGCGUCGGAGGGUUUGCGCCGGGAAAACAACCGGCGUACUCUGACUUGUCUGUGUGCGCAGGAACCUCUGGAGAAGAAGCCUCACUUGGAGACCUCCUGGUCGUGAAGAAGUUGAUCGGGCAGAGAUCCUGGUCGUAGAACGAGGAGAACCGGAAUCCCGCAUCAACAGAGGGUUCAAAAGACACGGUGCUUUUGAAGAAUCUUUAUCUUUAUUGUGAUCCUUACAUGCGAGAGCGUAUGAGCAAGCUUGAUAGACCUUCUUUUGUUGAUUCAUUCCAUUCUGGUGAGGUUAGUUCAUCACGACCUCAACUUAGAUUUUGGGAUGGUUUACGAUUCACUCUCAGUUUAUGCAGAAAAACAAUCUAGUUUUAAUUUGGCAGGGUUUUUCCUUCUCUCUCCUUUUCUUCCUUUUCUUCAUUGGUUUCUUCCUCUUUUAUAGCCGCUAUCCCACGUUUUCGUUCAUCCUUCAUCCCCAUUUUUCGGGUAGUGGCAGCCCCUCAUGGGACUCCAACUGCUACAUUAUGGGUAAAUGUGGGACACCGUAUCUCCCUCAAUGGUUUUAGAAAAAGCGCAACUGUCGUGAUUUCGUGAGAUUGUGUUCCCGUUCUUUGGGGAAUGGAUAUCUGCUCGGUAUAUGUCUCUGGUCGGCCUAUAUUUAUAGAAGGCUCAUUAUCAGUAUUCUACUUAUACCAUUCAGCUGAGGUGAUCUACCUCGAAAUGAGAAUGAUAACAUGACUGACCUGAUGCUCUUAUUUACUUAACAGUAAAUUUUCUAUGACCCUACAGGUGACUAAUUAAUGAGAACUUGACAAUGACAAAAGAAAGUGUAUGAGCUUUGCAGGCUGGCAUGCCAAUAUUGACUGUGUGGCACCAUCCACCAUCUGCAAUUGAAUAUCAUUAUUGUUUAAUCAAUGUGGUGGAGUCCACUGGAACCACACCACAUGGUCAGUCUUAUCUCUAUUCCUCAAUUUUCAGUAUUCCAUACAUCAAACCAAUUUCAUGUUUGUUAGCAAUUAUAAUUUCAUUGUUGGUGACGAUUCUGAUUCCUUUUGUUGAGAAUCAAAUAAAACGGCAUUGAAUGAAGCUUUCAAAGACAGAAUCUGCACUUGUCAAAGGGGUAAUCUGCACUUGUCAAAGACAAGAUCCGCGCCGAACGGAUUGACACAUUUCCUUCCGUAUUCACAUAUGUAAUCUUUGAAAAAAUGUAGCCUCUGCAUCUAUAAAUAACUCUCAAUGUAUAAUGCUUUAUUUAAGAAAUGAAAACACGUUUCUUCAUGGUAUCAGAGCCAUGAAUACGCUCAAGUUUCUUCAAGUUCCGCUGCUCUGUUUGUAACAAAAAUAGAGGAAACCAAAUUCCUCCCACAACCAUUUUUCCCACCAUUUUCUUUCUUAAACCCAUUCCUACCAUUACAGAUAUCCAUGCCGAUCAAGAAACAAGCCACCCAUACGUAAAAAACUUGAGUUUACAAAUUUAUCAACAAUCCCAUCAAUUUUCUGAGAGUGUGUUCCUAAAAAACCAAGAACACCAUCAAAUUUCUCAGUUUUCAGUGAGGAAACUGUAAAAAUUUCGCAUUUAAACACAUUCCCACGCGCUCCCACGCGCCACCCGAAGCCACGGCCAGUCAACCACGCGCCUCUGUCAUCAUUCACGCGCUCUCACGCGCUCCAGAGGUUGAAGAAGACGCCAGCCGACAUGUCGUUCUUAUCUCAGAAGUUCAGCAGUCACAAAACGACGUGUCGUUUUUUGUUAUAUUAAAAUCGACAUGUCGUUUUGUAAAUUAGAGAUAAAACGACGUGAUGCUUAGUCUCCAGAAGUGCAGCAGGAUUAAAACGACAUGUCGUUUAUAUUCCACCAUAAUCGACAUGUCGGUUUGGCAAGCAGUGGCCAAACGACCUGGCGUUUUGUUACCUAAAAAGGUUAUUUUUUUUCUUCUUCCAAUCUAGAUGGAAAAAAAAAAAACAAACAAAAAAAAGAAAAAAAAGAAAAAAAAGAAAAAAAAGAGAAAAAAAAAAAAACAAAAAAAAAUGGAGAAAACUCCAACUGAAUCUAGUCCUGUUGUCAUUCAAUCUGUUCAAUCUGAUGGAGUAUUUAAUGCUGGAAUUAUCCUCACUGAGACAAACUACGAUGUUUGGUCUCAAAUAAUGGAGAUGCAUCUUGUAGAAAGAGAAAAACUCUCAUAUAUUCGUAGCAGCACAAAGCCAUUUGAGGAAUCUUCAAAGGAAUAUGAGAAAUGGUAUAGUGAGAACCAAAAAGUAAAAAGAUGGUUACUCAUAUCCAUGUCUCCGGAGAUCAUGAAGCGAUAUUUACGAAUUCCUACAGCCUACGAAAUCUGGGAUGCAUUAUCAAAAGCCUUCUAUGAUGGAAGCGAUGAAUUACAAGUUUUCACUCUAAACCAGAAGGCAUUCUCUACCAAGCAAAAUGGACAACCACUCUCUAAAUUCUAUGGAGAAUUGGUCGAAAUAUUUCGAGAACUUGAUCACCGAGAUAAAGUGGUCAUGAAGGAUCCAGAAGAUAUUGUAAUAUACAGAAGGUCUGUUGAAAGAUUGAGAGUGCACAUUUUUCUUGCUGGGCUAGAUGAAGAAUUUGACCAAGUUCGUGGAGAAAUUCUACGAAAAGACAUUAUCCCAGACUUAGAAGAAUGUUAUUCUUUGAUCCGAAGAGAAGAUAUACGGCAAAGCAAACUAAACAAGAAGGUCGACUCAGAAACGUUUGCAAUGAUAGCACGACAGCAGCCUCAAAGGAAGUUUGUUGACAAGUCAUCACUCCAUUGCACUCAUUGUAGAAAGAAGGGUCAUACGAAAGAACAAUGUUUUGAAAUCAUUGGAUAUCCUGACUGGUGGGAUACUCGAAAGAAGAACACCAAGCAUGGAUCAAAAACUGCAGUAGCUGAAUCCACAUCCACUACAGAUCUUAGAAAAGAAUCUUCAGUGCAAAUCGCAACCUCUGUCAGUCCAGGUAAGGCCCUUAAAACUCUUACACCUGUUAUUAAUAGUACAUGGAUAAUUGAUUCUGGGGCAACUGAUCAUAUGACUUUUGAUUCUCGACAAGUUUCUCAAUUGAAACCAUCUUCACAAAAAUAUAUUUCCACUGCAAAUGGAACCACAACCUCAGUUAUUGGGGAAUGAUCUUUACGACUCACAAAUGAAUUAAAUUUAGACGCUGUGUUAAUUGUUCCAUCUUUAGAUUAUAAUCUUUUAUCUGUGUCUCAAUUAACCACUUACUUAUCAUGUGUUGUAAUUUUUUGGCCUGAUCAUUGUGUGUUUAAGGACAUCCAAACGAAGCAAACGAUUGGUUAUGGUAUUAGACGAGGCAGCUUGUACUACUUGGAGAUGUCAUCAACAAACACUGGAAAGCUAAGCCCCGCACUAGUUGCAGAUAGUUCCAUAAAAAAAGGGAAAUCAGAAAUUUGGUUAUGGCAUAGACGUUUAGGGCAUGUGUCAUUUAGUUACUUAAAAAAAUUAUUUCCUAGUUUGUUUCUGAAAUUUGAUGUUUGUAACUUUAAAUGUGAUGUUUGUGAACUUUCAAAAAGCCAUCGAACUACUUUUCCAUUGUCCUUAAAUAAAAAUCCAGUUCCUUUUAUGGUAGUACAUUCUGAUGUAUGGGGGCCAUCUAAAGUUUCUACAAUUGGAGGUGCUCGUUGGUUUGUUACAUUUAUUGAUGAUUGUAGCAGAAUGACAUGGAUUUUUCUGAUGAAAUCGAAAGACGAAGUAAACUCUUUAUUUCAAAGAUUUCAUAAGAUGGUGACAACUCAAUUUCAGACACAAAUUCGAGUUCUACAUACUGAUAAUGGAGGUGAGUAUAUGAGCACAGCAAUUCAACAGUUUCUGAAAUCACAAGGAUCUGUCCAUCAAACCACUUGUGUGGGGACACCCCAACAAAAUGGCGUUGCUGAACGAAAGAACAGACAUUUACUAGAAGUUGUUCGAGCAUCACUAAUCCAAGCCCACAUGCCAUUAUCUUAUUGGGGAGAAGCAUUGACAUCCGCAGCAUACUUGAUCAAUCGAACACCUUCAAGCUCCCUUGGAUUCCAGACUCCUUUCCAAGUUCUGAAUGAUGCAAUUAUGUCACCAAAUGUGCCGAAUCUGCCCCCACAUGUGUUUGGCUGUGUUGCCUUCGUUCAUUUGCCGCAACAAGACAAAUUAUCUCCUCGAGCACUACGUUGUGUGUUUGUAGGGUAUGCCUUACAUCAAAAGGGAUACCGAUGCUAUCAUCCACCAUCAAGAAAAAUAUACAUCACCAUGGAUGUCGUUUUUCAUGAAGAUAUCAUGUACUACUUGUCAGAGUCUGAAUUUCAGGGGGAGUAUAAUGAAGAGGAAAUUCAUACUCUUACAUAUCUUCCACCUGAAGAAAGUCAAUCUUCCAUUGAGAUAGUAAACCUUCAAGAUACUGGAAAAGCAAAUGGUGAUGAUUCGCAAGCUGAGAUAUGUGAAAACACAUUUGGGGAGCACAAUACUCAGACACAACUGCAAUCGAGAAUGAGUCACAUGAAGAAAUACCUAACCAAUCGUCUGCAGAGGAUGUUCCUACCACAAGUCCAAUCAGAAGAAUUCUUCCCCAGCGUCAAAAUAGAGGUAUCCCUAAACCCACAUAUGAGCCUGACUUCUCUAGUAGAGUCAAAUACCCUAUGAGUCAUUUUGUGUCUAACCAUCGCUUGUCAGAAUCAAAUCAGUCAUUUGUGAAUCAAUUAUCUGCUGUAUCUAUUCCUAACAGUGUGCAGGAAGCUUUAAAAGAUCCAAAGUGGAAAGCGGCUAUGAAUGAUGAAAUGAGAUCUCUUCAGAAAAAUCAAACAUGGGAACUAGUUGAUCUUCCACCAGGAAAGAAACCAAUGGGUUGUCGAUGGAUCUACACUAUAAAAUACAAAGCAGAUGGCUCUAUUGAACGAUACAAAGCAAGACUCGUAGCUAAGGGUUACACCCAAACCUACGGGAUUGAUUAUACUGAUACGUUUGCACCGGUAGCAAAAAUUAAUACUAUUCGUAUCUUAUUAUCAUUAGCAGUCAACUUGGAUUGGCCAGUGCAACAGUUCGAUGUAAAGAAUGCUUUCCUCCAUGGAGACCUGUCUGAAGAAAUUUAUAUGGAUCUGCCACCAGGAUGCAGUGGACCAGAACGACUCAAUCAGAAAGUAUGCAAAUUGAAGAAAUCAUUGUAUGGGUUGAAGCAAUCCCCAAGAGCAUGGUUCGGGAAAUUCACGAAGGCUAUGGUUCGUUUUGGGUAUAACCAAAGCAAUUCAGAUCAUACCUUAUUCAUUAAAAAACGACAAGGUAAAAUCACUGCCCUUAUUGUCUAUGUGGAUGAUAUGGUAGUUACAGGCAACGACGAGGAAGAAACAAAGGCUCUUCAGAAGUACUUGUCAAGAGAGUUUGAGAUGAAGGAUUUAGGUGCCUUAAAAUACUUUCUUGGAAUUGAGGUUUCUCGAUCUAAGGGAGGAAUCUUUCUGUCUCAAAGGAAAUAUGCCUUAGAUCUAUUGCACGAAACGGGAAUGACAGCUUGUCAGCCUAUUGACACCCCAAUAGAAGAAGGACUGAAGUUUUGUAUUACUUCAGACCAAGUUCCAGUAGACAAAGGAAGAUAUCAAAGGCUGAUUGGAAGAUUGAUGUACUUGUCCCACACAAGGCCAGAUCUUGCUUAUGCAUUGAGUGUUGUAAGCCAGUUUAUGCAUAAUCUCGGAGAACAACACAUGAAAGCAGUAAUGCGGAUCCUGAGGUACCUGAAGACAAAUCUAGGAAAAGGAAUCUUAUUUUCCAAAAAUGAAGAUUACAGCAACAUAGAAGUUUAUACUGAUGCAGAUUGGGCCGGGUCAGUUAGUGAUAGACGCUCUACUUCAGGAUACUUUACCUUUGUGGGAGGAAACCUUGUCACAUGGAGAAGCAAGAAACAACAUGUCGUUGCCCGUUCGAGCGCUGAAGCAGAAUAUCGAGGCAUGGCCCUUGGGAUAUGUGAAGGGCUAUGGAUAAGUUUUAUCUUAAACGAUUUGGGCUAUCCAUCACAACAACCAAUACAACUAUACUGUGACAACAAAGCUGCACGAGAUAUUGCUCAUAACCCAGUUCAACACGAUCGAACAAAACAUGUGGAGGUAGAUAGAUUUUUCAUCAAGGAGAAAUUAGAUGAAAAAAUCUUAGAAUUGCCGAAAAUUCGAUCAGAAGAUCAACUUGCAGAUAUUUUAACGAAGGCCAUUUCAAGCAGGGCAUUUACAAAAUUCCUAGACAAGUUGGGUAUGCAAGACAUCUAUGCACCAGCUUGAGGGGGAGUGUUGAGAAUCAAAUAAAACGGCAUUGAAUGAAGCUUUCAAAGACAGAAUCUGCACUUGUCAAAGGGGUAAUCUGCACUUGUCAAAGACAAGAUCCGCGCCGAACGGAUUGACACAUUUCCUUCCGUAUUCACAUAUGUAAUCUUUGAAAAAAUGUAGCUUCUGCAUCUAUAAAUAACUCUCAAUGUAUAAUGCUUUAUUUAAGAAAUGAAAACACGUUUCUUCACCUUUCUUUCUCACAAAACGGAACCAUGGUUGCUAUUGGAGAGAUCUUACUCAACGCCUUCUUUCAGGUGUUGUUUGAUAGGUUGGCUUCUUGUAAUUUUCUCAGCUUUGUGCGUCAACUCCAAGGCGGGGUUGAUUUGGAACUCAAAAAGUGGGAGAAAAAGCUGAAGAUGAUUCAGGCUGUGCUCUACGAUGCAGAGGAGAAGCAACUGAUCGACGAGGCUGUGAAGACGUGGCUGGACGAACUCCAAGACUUGGCUUAUGACGCUGAGGACAUUCUUGAUGAGUUUGCUACUCAAGCUUUGGAAAGCGAGUUGAUGGAGCAAAAUCAGGAUAGCUCUGGCCAGCUUCUUAGUUUCAUCCCAGCUAGUUUGAGUCCGAAUGCUAUUAUGUUCAAUUAUAGCAUGGGGUCCAAGAUUAAAGAUAUUACUAGCCGGUUGGAGCACCUCGGCCAAGAAAGAAUUGAACUUGGUCUGCAACGGAUUACUGGAGGGGCAUCAUCAUCUACUGCUGCCGCACACCAGAGGCCACCCAGUUCGAGUGUCCCAACAGAACGUGAAGUAUUUGGAAGAGAAGAAGAUAAGGCCAAAAUUCUUGAUAUGGUUUUGGCCGAUACCCCAAGUGAUCAUGCCAAAUUUGUUGUAAUACCCAUUGUUGGCAUGGGCGGAAUAGGAAAAACAACUCUUGCUCGGGAGGUCUACAAUGACAAGGCGUUGAAGAUUCCAAGUUUGAUGUAAAAGCAUGGGUUUGUGUCUCUGAUGUCUUUGAUGUUUUGGUCAUCUCAAAGGCACUUCUGGAGUCAAUCACCCGCAGGCCUUGUGUUCUAAGCAAUUUAAAUGAAGUGCAGGUUGAGCUGAAAAUAGUUGUGGAUAAAAAAAGAUUUCUACUGGUCUUAGAUGAUGUUUGGAACGAGGACUACAGCUUGUGGGUAGACUUAAAAGCUCCUUUCAUGGCUGCUGCACCAAACGGUAAAAUGAUCAUCACCACACGCAAUUCAAAUGUUGCAUCAAUAAUGGGACCAAUUGAACAUUACAAUCUCAAGAGUCUGUUAGAUGAUGAUUGCUGGUCCAUUUUCAUACAACAUGCACUUGAAUCUAGAGAUCUUAACGCAAAUCAAAUUUCAGAAUCAUUCCGCAAGAAAGUUGUUGGCAAGUGUGGGGGCUUGCCCCUGGCAGCAAAAACACUAGGGGGCCUUCUGCGUACUACGAGGCAUGAUGCAUGGGACGAUAUAUUAGAUAGCAAAAUAUGGGAUUUACCUCAACAAAGUGGCGUUCUCCCUGUGUUAAGAUUGAGUUACCACCAUCUUCCGUCUCAUUUGAAAAGAUGUUUCGCUUAUUGUGCAAUCUUUCCAAAAGAUUAUGAAUUCAAUGAGAAGGAGCUGACUUUCUUAUGGAUGGCUGGAGGAAUUAUUCGACAGUCAAGAAAGAAUGAGCAGCUGGAAGAUUUGGGCGGCAAGUGCUUUCAUGAUCUAGUGUCAAGGUCAAUUUUUCCACAAACCAGCUCGGGUAGUUCUAAAUUUGUAAUGCAUGACCUUAUCCAUGAUCUUGCUGAACUGGUUUCUAGAGAAACCAUUUUCAGAUUAGAGGAGGCCAACUUGUCAUCAAGAAGAUUUGAAAGGAUCCGCCAUGCUUCCUAUACCCGUGGUUGGUAUGAUGGUAAAAAUAAGUUCAAGGUUUUCAAUGAAAUUGAACAUCUACGAACAUUCCUACCAUUACACGAAAGACGAGGAUAUUACAUACCUCGAACGGUUCUAUCUGAUUUGCUGCCAAAGUUCAGAAGGUUGAGAACGCUAUCUUUACAAGGAUACUGUAUUGGUGAGUUACCAAUGUCAUUUGAAGAUCUGAGACUUUUAAGGCUCCUCAACCUUGCUGACACUGACAUAAGAAGUUUACCUGAGUCAACAUGCACAUUGUUGAACUUGGAAAUUUUGAUAUUAAGAAAUUGUUCCCGUUUGAUAAAGCUUCCGCCCAAAAUGAGGAAUUUGAUCAAUUUACGCCAUCUCGAUAUAAGAGGUGCGAAGUUGCUGAAGGAGAUGCCGUUCGGAAUGAAGGAGUUGAAGAAUCUUUUACAAGUUUGGAAGAUUUAAAAUGUUUAAACUUUCUUUGUGAUGAACUCUGCAUGAGUGGAUUAGAGAAUGUGAAUAAUCCACAGAAUGCAAGAGAAGCCACAGUAUGCGAGAAGCACAAUCUUGAAGCAUUGACUCUAGAUUGGGGGUCUCAAUUUGACAAUUCUCGAGAUGGAGUAGUAGAAGAGCAUGUACUGGAAAUUCUACAGCCCCAUAAAUGUAUAAAAAAGGUGGCAAUCAGGAACUAUGGUGGUGCAAGAUUUCCGCAUUGGAUCGGAGAUCCUUCGUUCUCCAAGAUGAAGGUCCUUAAAUUGGAGAACUGUCACAAUUGUGUAUCGUUGCCGUCGCUUGGCCUGUUGAGUUCACUUAAGCACCUUGCUGUUAAAGGGCUGAAGAAACUAAAAAGCAUAGAGUCUGAGGUUUAUGGGGAGGGUUUCUCAAUGCCUUUUCCAUCACUGGAGAUUCUAAGUUGCGAGAAUUUGCCAGAAUGGGAGCAUUGGGAUACCGAGAUCAAAGGAAAUGUGCCUGUUGAUAUAUUUCCUCGUCUCCAAGAACUUUCCAUUGCAGAAUGUCCCAAACUCUCUGGACAACUGCCUGAGCUCCUGCCUUCCUUGGAGACACUUGUUGUUAGUAAAUGUAAAAAGUUGGUAGUUCCAUUGUCUUGCUAUCCGAUGCUCUGCAGAUUAGAAGUUGAUGAGUGCAAAGAACUAGUCUGCCGGACUCCGAUUGAUGUUAAGUUGAUAAAGUCCAUGACUAUUUCAAAUAGUUCAUUAGACCUGAAUGGAUGUAAGGGGAUGCUAUACGAUGGUCCAGCUGGCUCUUCACUGCCAAAGCCCAUGACUACUACAAAUGUUUUGGAGUUUGGAAAAUUAUUGAAGCCUGGAUUUCAGAUAUUCGAAACUUUGGUAAUUGGCAAUUCUGAACAGCUCAAGUCAUGGAGGCAGCAUGGGGAUUUUCCUAAAAAAUACAUGGUCACUGACCAUAGGUUUAAGAAACCAGUACCAGGGCUGAAUAUGCUCGCUUCCCCUGAAGAGGUAAAAAUUGAAGAAAGCUGCGUAAGUCUUGUUUUGUUUCCAGAGAUCAAUUUUUUUCCCAGAAAUCUACGCUCUCUUCUAAUUAAAAACAGCACAACUUUAAAAUCCUUACCCGAGGAAAUGAUGGCAACAAUUCACAACUCGAAAGGUUGUAUAUCAGAGAUCGCGACUGUCUAACAUUCAUCGCAAGACGGAGGCUACCGGCAUCUCUUAAAAGGCUUGAGAUAGAAAAUUGUGAGAAAUUGCAACGUCUGUUCGAUGAUGAAGAGGAUGCUUCUUCUUCUUCUCCUGCAUCCUCGUCGUCCCCAGUGAUGCUGCAACACCUGAGUAUAGAGAACUGCCCAGAGCUCACCAGUUUAUCAUCGGGUGUCCAAUUCCUUGAGGCGCUUGAAUUCCUCGAGAUACGGGAUUGCCCAAAGCUGGAGUCAAUACCGGAUGGCCUGCCCAAUCUUAAAUGUUUACAGAGCAUUUAUAUAUGGAAAUGUCCAAGUCUUGUUCCUUCCCAGAAAGAGGGCUUCCCAACACGAUUUCAAGGGUUGGCAUUGGCGAAUGUGACAAGCUCGAAGCCUUGCCCAAUGAUUUGCACAAAAUCAACUCUCUUCGAUAUUUAAGCAUACAGCUGUGUCGAAAUCUUGUAUCGUUUCCAGAAGAAGGUUUUCCUACCAGUCUAACAUCACUUAGAAUUGGAGAUUUCAAAAUGUAUAAGACCCUCGUCCAGUGGGGGUUGCACAGGCUUACCUCUCUUAGACGCCUCUAUAUCGUUGAUUGUGAUGACGAAGCAGAGUGUUUUCCAGACGAGGAGAUAGGAAUGACGCUGCCCACCUCUCUCACUGAUCUGUACUUAUCGGGAUUCCAAAAAUUGAUAUCCCUGUCUUCGACGGGUUUUCAGAGCCUCAACUCUCUUCAAUAUUUGUUGAUCGCGGGUUGCCCAAAUCUCACAUCAUUUCCAGAGGUGGGCCUUCCAUCCUCACUUUUGGGAUUAUUCAUUUUCAAAUGUCCAAAGCUUAAAAGAGCGUGCAAAAGAGAUCAAGGAAAAGAGUGGCCCAAAAUUGCUCACAUCCCUUGCGUUGAGAUAGACGAAAAAUUCAUAUACGAUCCCGAAUCAGAGGAGUAGAUUUCUGUUAUCCAUUAAAAACGAUCUCCUAUUAGUUUUAUUUUUUAAAUAAUAAUUUUGCAGUUCUGUUUUCUGUAUAAUUAUAAAUCCUCUGCCGUUAAUUAUUGACAAUGUCACUCACGUGAUUCCGUCUUCACUAAUCAGACUGUAUGUUGAGGCUAUUUGCUUUUUAAUCAAAGAUUAAAUUAUAACAUUUAUCUUAAAAUUGAAUAUCAUAGACAGAUAGACGAUUUUUAAAUCCAAAGUUUUUUGAUCCACUUCAAUUAGCAUUUAUUUUUUCCCCCAAAACAGGCAAGCCGAGAGUUUCAAUCAAGAAUUGGAGGAUGUGAAUGGGAUUUUUGUGAAAACAUAAUGGAUGAACGAACAUUUCAUCUGUGAUCUCAAAGUCAACAGAAUUUUAUUUACUCAUUGACUUUUCAACUCCUGUGGUUAUUUAUGGGUGAAAGAUAAGGGCAAUUACAAGAAAUUUGCAAACUUUGUCAACUUCUUUUAAUUGUACCAAUUUGUCGUUUAUGUUUUAGUUUUAUUUUUUCAGUUUUGUUUAUUGCUUAGAUGGUAGAUAUAUCGACAUUUUAGAUUUCAGAUAUUUGUCACCAGUUUCAUUCCCUUUUUUUUCGUUUUUUUAAGCUAGUUUGACUAAUUUUAACCAGAAUUAGAGCAGAAUAUUUUGGAGCGAGCAUACUUGAAAUGAUGCUUUUUAAUUUUGAUCUAGUAAAAAUACAUAGCCCUCACCGGCAGAAUUCUAGUCCCUACCGGGAUUCAAGAAAUUGAAAUUUCUGUCUUCAACGGGUUUUCGAAGCCUGACCUCUCUUCGAUUUUUGUGGAUCGGGAAUUAUAAAUUUACAGUUGUCAGAAGCUUGAAAAAGUGCGCAAAAGAGAUCGAGGAAAAGAAUAUUUCUCUGUUUAGUGAAGGAUGAAUGCUUGGAGUGGAGUAUUUGGUAACAUUUCUGUUUAGUUAAGGAUUUUGAAAUUAAUGAUGGUAAGAUGUGUACUUAUUCUUUCUUCCAGACAACCUUGCCUUCUUUCUUCGGUAGCAUAUCUAAUGAAUAUUUCUCUGUUUAGUUAAGGAUGAAUGCUUGCAGUGGAGUAUUUGGUAACAUUUCUGCCGUAGAUGAAUCCUUGAAGAAAUGCCUGCACUUCCUGAGACCAAAUACAGGUCUGAUUCAAAACAACACCUGUCCCAGAAAAUAUGAUACAAGGCAAAGCCAUGUUCUGAUAAUGUUUCCUUAAGUACAAAGUUGCAAGGAAACUUGAUUCAUUAACUACAAAUUUUUAUUUUUAGGACCUUGCAUCUGAAAGGUUCAGUGUAAUUUUUUUUUUUCAAUUUAUUGCUCAGAUCUCAGACGAGUAUAUGGUUUAGAUUACAAAACACUUACGAUUAAUUUCAUUUUUUUUUAUUUCAGGGAGAAGAAGUGGUCAGUUUCAAUCCAGAAUUGGAAUAUGGCAAUUUGGUGCAAGCACAAAUACCUGGUCACUUCGUCAGUGAACCUGAACUUUACUGAACUUUACACAGUUUUUUCAACUCAGUGAUUUUUGGAACGCAUAUUGGUGUAAGGAAAUCAAACGAAAUUUAUGCAUAGUCAAAUUCUGAUAUUUGCUAUAUUUUAUACAUUCUAAAGUUUCUCCAGUUUGUUCUCAGAUUACCAUCACUUUUUGCCUUCACCAAAAAAAAAUAUAUAUAUAUUUGAGUGGCUUUCCGGUGGAUAUUUAAUCGGAGGCAUGACUGGAUUUUUUUUCACUUCUGUAGAUCUUGCAUUUUAAACUGGCAAAUUUAACUUUAAUUUCAAUACGACUUUGUUGGUGCCUUCUGUUCCAGGAGCUAGAAAGAUGUGUAGUUUUCAGAUAAAGGGGCUUGUGAAUUCUCUAGUAAGAAUCCAAUAAUUUGCUUUUGCACGUUCAUUUUAUUUGUAGAUCCUUGCAUCUGAAUUUGAUCAAUCCAAAAGGAACUGCUUUUAGAGGGAAGAAGAAUAGCAGUACCUAUUCGAUGACAUAGUGUAUGGACCCUCACAUGUUAACUUUCAUGAAAAACACAUUUAAGAAAUUUGCAACUUUUUGGUUAGUUAUGUAUCCAAUGUUGUUUUCUGUUUUAGCAUUUGUAGAAUCUACUGUAUUAUAUUUUGGCAGCUACAGUAUCUGAGGUAUCUUUUGCAUUUAACUUGCUUUAUAUGUUUUGUCUGUGACUUAAGAACACCAAUAUUUGCCAGAGAUUUAGAGAAGCAUAUCAAGAUGCUUGGCUAACUUGACAAACUUCAAGAUCCUUCAUUCUUCACAAUGCAAAACUUGUGAGUACACUUAUGCCCGCAAUUAUUGUGAAAUGCUUGCAAUUUUGAUGCAGCGAAAUGGUUUGUUGAUGCAAAGGUUUGAACUUUUAAGGUUUACCCUGCAGGGUAGUUGGAUGCUGUAUACUCGAAAAGCCACCAACAUCAAGAACUAUACCUCCAAGACUGGGUUUGCAUUAAUUCAAUCAGCUGAAAUAAUGAUGCAAAGGACACUAUCAGCUGGACUUAGAGACCAGUCAGAUCAAUUAUCCAUUUUAUCAACAGUUAAUGUCAUCAUGGUGGCUAUUAGAGGAAACAGAGGAUGUGUCGGAAUCAAUAUGAACAGUGAGAAGAAUGAGAGGAGCUUUGAUUAUAAAUUGGCUCAAUGAACUCAUGCUGGUAAGUGGUAAUUAAAGAAAUUUGUGCGCUUAGCAGAGUUUCAAUAUUUUCUGUUUGGGAUAUAGUUGAUAAGUUGAUACUCUGAUUAAUAAGCCUGAUUAUAGUAGCUGACUGUAUUAACCAGGUUCUUUUCUUUCUUUUUUUUUUGGUGGUUUGCUGUUGUUUUGAUUAUGCUGUAACUACAAGGAAGAGCCGGACUUGGAUGCAGGCGUUCAGCUUUUAAUGGUUAAGAACAAAUGUAUGCUUUAACCAUGUUUCUCACUUAUUACAAUGUACGCAUUGAAGGCAUCUGAGCUGAUCCUGAAAAUGUCAUGGAAAUACUUCUCUGUUUACAUAAAACAGGACAAAUAGAGAUCUCUGAUCAUGCCUGAGAAUUCGUUGCAUUGAAAUUUCUACCAUUGCCAAAAAUAGAAUAAACUAGGGAUACAUUAGCGUAAGACUCAAUUUUGAGAAGGAAGUUUGUACUUGCAGCCUAAAAAAUCAUGUCUUUGUUGUAUACUUGUAUGUUUCUUUGGGAAAUGAAAGAUUCUGUGUUCUUUUAUUUCAAGUUUGCUGAAAUCACAUUUGUUUUCUUAGAUGCUUUCCAGAAGGUAACAGCAUCAAUUUCAAAAAUGCUGGGGUAAUAUGCAUCACGCAGUGCUACUCAACAUGAGAAAUCCUGGCUGCAUUAACUGUAUGUUGAGUGAUCGCACAGUACAACCUUGAGAAGCUUGUAAGGAGUAGACAACUAGAUGCGAGUAGUUUCAAUAUGGAUUCGCAUCAAAUGAUUUCUUGCCACUGAUUACCAUAACUUCUAUCCCAAAAUUCUGGGAACUGGUCAUACCAGCUAUGAAGUAUUGUAUACGUUGAAGAGCUCAAGGCCUUGCAAAAGCUCCGUCAGCCUUUGUAUUGGCAAACAGAUGGUUGUAGUUGCUUCUGAAUGAUAUGAUUAAUAGAUUCUGUAAAAAUGAAUUGUGCUAUACGCUUUCAGAGUUCUGUUAAGAUGUCUUGGUAGUUUUUGAUGCUUGUUUGAUUUAUAUUGCAUUCAGCUAUAAAUCAAAGGUUCAGAACACGAGUAUGUUGCUGAUUUCCAAAUAGAAAAAUUGCCUUGUGAUGUUAGUGUCCAUUGUUUUCACAGGAGAUCAGGUUCCUUGUUAUUGAAUCAAGAAGGCAAACGCAUCCAUGUCUGAGUUCAAUUGUGUCCCUUCUAUUUUCUAUUACUGACUCAUUUAUUUUGAUUUCUUCAUUGUGAUUGAAUUGGUUUUUUAUUCCAAAUUAGUCAAAACCUCAUAGAGUUAUUAAGUUCCGUUAGCAUUCAGAACUACGUACCAAAUGAUUAACAGGAUUAAAUUACAAUAAAGAAUUAAGUUCUUUAUUGUAAUUGAAUUUGCUUUCUCAUGUUUAGAGAUAUUAUGUUCUGGUUAGGGGUGAUUUCUUGAAGAGUCAAUCCAUUUGUGUUUAUACAUUUUUCUAUUGCCUUGAUUUCUGUUUUCUGGGGAGUUUAUACAGAUUCUUAUUUUAUGCUUCACAUGCCACAUGAAAGAUCAAAGCCUUCUGUCUGAACAUAAUAUACGUAGAAAGUUAAAUUUAUUUAUUUAUAAGCAUGUCCCAGUGCCCAGUGGCAUCCUCUUAACUUGUGAUAGUCAAAUGUAUUAUACGAUACAAUAUCAGCUUGACUUUAGCAUAGAGGAGAAUAGGGUUGGUGUUGGACUGAAUUCUGAUCCUUGAAUAAAUAUAACAGCUGCCUGAACCAGCUUAUUUGACUCCACAACUUUAUACUUGUUUUAUAGUCUAUGCCUACCUCCAUCGUCGGCAGCUUACAGUCUCUUUUAGCAUUUUAAAAAGUUUCAUGAUAUUCCAUAGUUCGCAUGGACUGCUACAAUUUAGAGAAACAUAAUUACGGCAUAUUUAAUUACCACGCGAGGAGUCUUCUUUUUUGCGCACCAAUAAUUCUUUGUACUUAAUUAGAAGAUGAGAAAUCCUUUAGCCGAACCACGAACUCACCUAUUAGUGGGGUUUUUUCCGCUUGCAUUCAGUCGCUCAAGUGAAAAUUGCGUGCAAUUUUUUCCUCAACUAAAAUUGGAAUAGAUAUUUUGUUAUUGCUGGCACAAAUUUUCCUUUAAGUCAAAUUGGAAUAGAUGUUUGUGAGAUGCCUAGACCUGAGAUUUUGUUAUGAUUAUAUGCAUUAAAGCUUUCGGUAGACCCUUGAAAUCUUAUGAUCAAUGUAUUAGAAAUUUAGAAUUGGGGUUUAUAAGAGCUAGUUUGACCAUGUUAUAACUUUUAAAAUUAUUGUUGCUAAUUGUGUUAUAGAAAUAAUUAAUCAGUUGUAAAAAUAAUUAGUUAAACAUUUGGUAAAUUUUAUUUUUAAAAGUGUUAGGAGUUUUAAAAGCAGACGUACGUACUUAGUAAAUCUCACUUUUAAAAUAUUAUAAGAAUGCAAAAGGUUUAAAUAUAUAUAAAUCUAUACAAUUUAUUUACACAUGCAUUUAUAGAUACAUGUAUAUAUAAUAAUUGAUAACUAAAAUAAAGAUUUUUAUUUUAUUAAUUUUUUUUGUUAUCUAAAAAAAGGUAAUAAUAAUAUCUUUAAUGACGUAUUUAUUAAUCAGUAAUCGGAAUGGACUGGAAUCAAAAUGGAGGAAUGGAAAUCGGAAUAAAUUGUUUACUUUAACUAUCAAUAUUGGAAUCGCAAUGAACUGUAUUAUCACUUAUAUAUUUAUUUUAUCUGAGAAUCAGAAUGGAUUGAUUUAAAUUACUAGACAGACCUUAUUAUUAUUAUUAUUAUUAUUAUUAUUAUUAUCAUCAUUAUUAAAUAAGGUAAAAAGGAAUUUUCAAUUUUUACUGAAGUAAAAAUAUCAAUUCACUUCUCAUUUUCAGCCCUAGGGAAUGAGACUCCCAUUCCACAUUCUAGAAUUUAUAGAGUCCACUCAAAUUUUCAUUCCCAUUCCCCCUCCUUGUUUUGCAAGUAAACAAGUUAAUAAUCCUAUUCUCUCAUUUCUACUCCCAUUCUCAUUCUCAAGUACUAACACAUCAAGGUAUUCGGUUCGGUUUUUGCCCAAUAGAACUGAAAUUAUUCGGUUUGGUUUGAUUUGGUUUAAUAUAAAAAGCCAAAGGGUUUAUAUUUUUAUGAACCAAAUGGUUUGUAUUUGAUUCAAUUCUAAAACUGAACCGAAAGCACAAACCAAUCGGUUCACGUAAUUUUAAUUAUUUUUAGAAAAAGAAAAACCAAAACUAAAUCGUAGAAUGUGAAUCCCUAAAAUCUAAAUCCCUAAUUCUCCUAACUAACUAAAACUAAUCACAGAACAACACAACCACAACAACCUAGCAAGCGCAGCGGUAGCCCCUCGAACCACGCUCACUCUCAAGUAUAGCAUGACAAUAGGGCUCUCUCAUGCAAUGAUAGGUAAUUUCUUAGUUUAGAAGGGAAAGUAAGAGAAACAGAGGAAGAAUAUAAGUUGAUUAAAAGGGAAAAGUCAAUUCUUAUUCCAAAAACUUGCUUAGUGCAAGUUCAAUAGGGUCUCUUAAAUAGACCUAUACAUAUAAUAAAAACUAGAAAAGACGAAAAUCACUUGAAAAUAAAAAGCAUGAUCACUUAAAUGGUAAACAUACAUAACCGCCAUGAGCUACAUGCAACCUAAGUCAAAUAAUCAACUGAAGAAACUUGAUCCCCAUGCAUAUUGAGCACAUACCAUUCCCCACCCUUUAGAAACACCUUGUUGGUGCGGUUAAAGUGAGGGUGAGCCUUUGAGAAUCACCAACAGUUCCAACGAGUGUCCUCAAUUGCUGCUCCUAUCCCUAUAACCAGUAUUGAGUUGUACGAAUGGCACAUGAUCUUCAAUCAUGAAUAGUUGCAGCUUUUAACAACAGUGUGAUACAAACUAAUAAAAAUAAUAAAAAUUAUUUAUUUUAUUUUAUUGUAUUAGUUAAUUUUGAACUAGUCAAAACUAGUUGCCCUUAUUUUGUGGAACUACAUGUAAUUAGUGGAGCAUUAUGUGAGAACAUGCUUAGUGUUACUAAUUUUUAGGUUGUAAUCCUAAAUAAACUUUUAUUAUAUAAAGCUUAAUGUUACUCAAUAAAAAGGAUCAUGAGUUUAUUAUUUUGGCAACAUAAAAGUUGUAAUUGGGAGUUUAUUGGUUUCUCGAAUAACCAAUACUUAUUUGGAGGUUUGGAUUUCCUUGAAUUAACUCCAUUUGUCAUCUAAUUUUUCUAUUUCAUUUGAUUUCUCCUUAUAAACUUUAGUGUUCGUAUCACAGUGGCCAAGAAUAAGUUUCUCGUCACAAUAAUAACACAACCCUUUUCCACGAUGAGCAUGUGCUUCUUAGUUAGAUAGUUGCUGGAUAUGAGGGGAAGCGAUGUCAUCGGCUAUUUAAUCAACCUUAGGAGGUGGACCUAAGACUCUAACAAAGCUAUUUGGGGUUGGUUGCUAUAUCACCAAAAUAGAGGGUGGUAGAGAAAAGUGACUAGUGCAUUGAGAAAGUGAAUUUCGCUCCUCAAUCAGUCUUGUCACACCAAUGGUGUUAGCCAAGGUAAAGGGCUAUUUAAUCUUGACAUCUAGUUGUAUCUCAUCCUGAAGACCUACAAUAAAACAACCAAUUAAAAAACAUUCGAGUAAGCCAUCAACCUAAUAUAAAAGCUUUUCAAAAGUUUAUUGAUAUUAAGCUAAUAAUGGAAGUCUAUUUCAGGUGCAUCAAAGCCUUAGAUGGGUCCUCAUAAUCCAUUAGUUCGAAUCGUAGAAGGACUGUUGUUGAUGCUGAAAUCUGCUCGCCCUCUACCCAACCAAAUCAUUCCACCAACAUUUGUGUAUGCAAUGGAGAGAAUACUGCCCUUUUGCCUCCUUCAGCAACUGCGGAUGCUCCAGGGGUUGGAAUCACCUUUUUCCCUUCUUUCUAAUCCUGCACUCACAGAGAUAGAUCAGAGACGCCGGUGGUUUUACCAGCAUAAACCCUCCAAUACUUAAGUUAGCACAAGGUGUUUUACGGGAAAACUAUGUAACUUGGAUUGUUUGGUUUCUCGUAAUGCUUUCUAAAACUUGUAAAGAAUAUAAUCUGGUUUCAAUUUGGCAGAGUUUUCCUUUUUCUCUCAAUUUUUCCAUCCCUUUUUUCAUUGGUUUCCCGGCUUCUUGUAACCGUUGUCCCACGUUCCUAUCUACUCCUCAUGCCCCCCCUUUUAUCGGGUGAUGGCAGGCCUUCAUGGCCUCCAACCACUGGAUUGUGGGUAAACAUGGGAUGACAUGUCCCUCUUGACGGUUUGGGGCAUAGCGAAACUACCGCAUUUUCGUGAGAUCGUGUGCCCCUUGUUUGGGUGAUGGGUAUCUGGUUGGUAUAUGUCUCUAGUCGGUACAUUCCUCUGGUCGGUGCUCGUCUCUAGUAGGCCCACUUUUGUAUGAGGCGUUUUACCAGGGCUCUUUUUGUGCCGCUCAGUUGAGGUGAUUCACCUCGGGGUGGGAAAUGAGGGCAUGGCUGAGCUGGUGCUCUUUAUUACUUAAUACCAGUCCCCUAGUUUCUGGUCUUGCGAGUGAAAUGAGUUGAGAUUAGAAACUAAGAAUCGGAUUUUAUCGACCCCGGGAAAUUCCUAUCUGGUCUUCGUGUUAUUGUGAUGGACCUGAGGUUCUGCCUUUUGUUUAGGGAGAUUUUUUAUCUAAGUAUGGGCCUUUGUGAGCAUGUCCAAUAUAUAGCUGGGCUAACAUCUCGUCAGGCCUUUUAUAACGGUCAGUGACGUGUCGUUUCUCGUCCUUUCAUAUUUGAAAUUUGAAACGACGGCUUAUCUGCCCUCGAUAUACGGCGAGUGAGCUAGCACCCGUAUAACUUAAACGCUUCCAUUUCCCUAUUUCAUUUCAAAUCCCUAAAUUGAAGCUGUCAUUGCGUUUCACUAUCCGCCAUUUCACUGUAAACUAAGUCCCUCUUUGGACUUCAAUCACACUUUUUGCGUCCGAAACCUCUAUUUGCUGGGUCCUCUCUCCGUCACAGCAGCACUACCAGUGCCAGUUUAUUCUAGGUAUCACUUUUAACUUCUUCGCUGGUUGUUGUUGAUUGGGUUCUGUGUUGCCCCUUUUUGUACCCAUACACUCGGAUUUACUGUGUUUUCCUUUUUGAGUUUUUGAUAUGUCAAACCGAAAGGGGAAACUAAUUGUAGAUGAGAGUGAUGAAGAGGUGGGGGACUCAUACCCCAACCUGUUUGGGCCUAAUGACCCCUUAUCAUCUUCUCGUAGUAUAAGUCUUUCCCAUCAUAGGGAUACCCUAGAGUAUCCUCAUCGCGUGACCACUUUGCCUUCCCCUGAAUUAGAACCCGUGGGAAACCGUGGUGGUUCAGCUUCUUGCUCUGGUGAAAAUCACAGUUCUGAGGGCUGGGGGGGUCCCUGGAAAGUGGGUGAAGGUAAGGAGAGUAGCUCCGAGCCGAGCAGACCCUCUAAGAAGAGAAACUUUGGUCAUAUGAUGGCGGGAGAUGCUUAUCCCAUUGACUAUAUCACCUGUGUUACCACCCACACUGACCUACUCAAGUUUAGAAACCUCUACCAUAUCCCUGAGGUGGUUCUUCUUUUAAUCCCUGGGAAAGGUGACUUCCCCAGUCGGCCUCCAAGGGGAUAUGUCACGAUGGGCACGAUUACCCCUUCAACCUUACUUUGCUUGGAUACUGGGUGGUAUGCAUCUGGCUCCAGGUCAGCUUCACCCGAAUGGGUGGAGGGUUCUCUCAGCCAUGUAUGUGCUAUGGAAAAAGUGUGGACUUGAGGAGCCUUCUCUUGAGGAAGUGAAGCAUUUAUACCAGCUGAUGAGCUUUCCAAGGGAAGCAGGUUGGUACUACUUCAUGUCAAGCUCUGCAAAGAGGAAGCCUGUCACCGACUUUCCUUCUUCCUGUAAAAAUUAGAAGAACAAAUUCUUCUUUGCUGGAGGAAAUUGGUGUCCAACAAUUCAUUCGCUUAGUGGUGAUAUUCACCUCCCAACACAUUUUGUCACCCCAGGUCGUUAAUUUUUCUGCAUACUUCACUUCUCUAAUCGUUACUUAUCGAGUUCCUUAACCUUGUUUGUUCUUUCAGAAUUGUGGGGUUUGAUCAAGAAACUUGACGAUAGACCACUGCUCCAGGUGGAAAUGGCUCUGGUGAACGCGUCUACCUGUCACGAUCUCAUAUCGUUAAUAAAUCUUGUCGGGUUGCACUUAGUGGACGUAGCUAUUGGGAUGGACAACAAGAUCCUCAGCGCUAUGUCUAAGAAACACACUUUGGGUUCAGGUAGCUCCAGCAACCUCCCUCCUCCUUUGAAGAAAGUCAAUGUUGGUUCCUCCAAGGCUUCUGCUCCUGCUCUGCCCCCUCCUUCACCUCGGAAGAAUGGUAGGGAGAAAGUUAGUGACAAGAGCCCCGAGGUCAGCAUUCAAUUUGGAGACCGAUCCUCUCCUCUACCGCCUCGGGACCAGGGUGACUAUCUGACCCUGUACCAGAGAGAUUACAACAAGUCGAUGGGACCAAAAAUGGUCAAGGACAUUGAAAGCAUGAACCUCAGCGAGCUAGGUGGUUCAGUUCAAAUGGUCUCCUUUAAGCUGGCUACUCUGGUUUCUUGCUACAAGAAUAGGUCUACGCGCCAAGAGAGGAGGCUUCAAGCUGAUAACGAGGACUUGAAGAAAAAGGCUAAUUCUGUUGAUCGCUCGAAGGAGAAGCAGAUUGAGCUACACAAGCAGAUCAUGGACCUGGAGGAGAAAGUGGCUAUUGCUGAGUCUAACUCCUCCAAGCUUGAGGGUGAGUUGGGUGAUCUAAAGUCCGAUCUCCAGGUUGCUCACAGUGAACGAGAUACUUUGAGGACGACCCUUGAGGAACAUAUUAGGUCCUUAGAUGAGCAGGUAGCCGAGCUGAAAGGCAAAUCUGUUGAGGUGGACAAUUGACUGGAUGCAGAAUAUAACUCUGGGCUCGCCUUUUGCUACAAGUGCAUCAUGUUUGUGCUUAAGGGAGAAUAUCCUGAGCUUGACAUGAGCAAGCUGGAGGCUGGAGUGCAGAAAUACAUGGCCGAGCCCGAUCAAGGGGAUAAGGAGCAGGGAGAGCAGGAUCAGGUGGAGGCUCCUUCAGAUGGGGUGCAGGAGAGGGAAACAGAGGAUUAUGCUCUUGAAACAGGUCAGGGGUCACUGCCUGCUCCCCCAGAAGUUGCUGGUCCACCUUUUAUCGAGGCUGCUGAACCUCAUAAUCCUUAGGCUUAUAUAUAUAUAUAUAUAUAUAAAUAUUAUUUUGUAUAAAUUCUAAACUCCCAUCUGUCUACAAAUGUUUGGAUGUUUAUAAACUUUGGAUGCUUUUUGUUUGCUUUCUUGCCAUGGUUUUGGUUGUGAAUCGUUUCUACAAGUUACCUUAACAAUUUUGAGUGACUUUGGCUGCUGGUCCUUUUGUCGUCCGAGCAGGAACUGACACUUGUUUGCCUUAGCGAAAUUUGUAAAACUUACAUUUCAGUUUUUCAAACGACUGAGCAGGAACUGGCGUUGGUUUGCCUUAACGAAAUUUUGUAAAAUUGCCUGCUGGUGCUUUAGGCGACCAAGCAGGAAUAGGCACUUGCUUGCCUUCAUAAAAUUUAUAGAUUUGCCUGCUGGUCCUUUAGGCGAUCGAGCAGGAAUAGACACUUGCUUGCCUUAAUAAAAUUUGUAGAUUUGCCUGCUGGUCCUUUAGGCGUCCGAGUAGGAAUAAACACUCGCUUGCCUUAAUAAAAUUUGUAGAUUUGCCUGCUGGUCCUUUAGGCAACCGAGCAGGAAUAUGCACUUGCUUGCCUAAAUAAAAUUUGUAGAUUUGCCUGCUGGUCCUUUAGGCGAUCGAGCAGGAAUAGGCACUUGCUUGCCUUACUAAAAUUUUUAGAACGAGGGAAUUUAUGCUGAAUUCAUCUUUAUUGAACUUUGCAUGGAUUACAAGAGGCGAGAUAUAGUCACGUGUAACAAUUCAUCAUGCUUUUAACAUAAAUAACUUAUUGAAAUAAAACUUGGUAAGGCAGUUUGCUUACUGGAAGUAUUUCUUCAAGUGCUUAGCGUUCCAUGAUCUUUUCACGUCUCGUCUAUCUGGGUAAAUCAGCUUGUACGCUCUUGGGCCAGUUAUUCAUACCACUCUGUAUGGGCCCUCCCAUUUCGGGCUAAGAACACCAUGAAUAGGAUCUCUUGUGCAUUGGUUCACUUUUCUAAAUACCCAAUCUCCUGCUCGGAACUGUCUCAUGCGAACAUUUUUGUUGUAGUAACGCAUGAUCCUUUGCUGGCAUUUGGCUGUUCUCUGCGAUGCCCCUUCUCUUUUUUCCUCCAGCAGGUUCAGGCUCAAGCAGAUCUGCUCGUCAUUUUGUUCUUUGUUGAAAUACUCUGUCCGAUAUGCCCCCACCCCAAUUUUUGCUGGGAUUACUGCCUCAUGACCGAAAGCUAAAGCAAACGGGGUUUCUCCCGUGGCCAUUUUGUGGGUUAUCCGGUAGGCCCAUAACACUCCUAGUAACUCGUCGACCUAAGCUCCUUUUUUUUCUCAUAGCCUGGUUUUCAAGAGUUUCUUUAUUACUUUGUUGGCUGCUUCCACCUGCCCAUUUGCCUUGGGGUGUGCUAGGGUACAAAACUUCAGGUCCACCCCUAAAUUUUGGCUAAAUUCUCUGAAGUUGUGAUUGUCAAACUGUCUCCUAUUGUCUGUAAUGACAGCAAUGAGGAUCUCCUAUCUGCAGAUGAUAUUCUUCCAAACAAAAUCCGUUAUCUUUCUCUCUGUGAUUUGACUGAGGACCCUUACUUCUACUCAUUUGGUGAAGUAGUCUAUAGCCACAAUUGCAUGUAUUACUUCUCCUCGGCCCUUGGGUAAUGGGCCAAUCAGGUCAAUUCCCCACUGAGCAAAAGGCCAUGGGGAUGACAUAGUGGUUAACCUUUCUGGGGGCUGAGCAGGGACUUCCGAGAAGCUCUGGCUGACUUUAUAGUUUUUUGCCAUCCCCGUCGCAUCCUGAUGCAUGGUCGGCCAGAAGUACCCUUGCCGAAGCACCUUGAAAGUCAAAGUUCUCGCCCCCGAGUGGUUGCUGCAUAUUCCUUCAUGAAUUUCCCUCAACACAUAAUUUGCUUCCUCGUCAUCCAAGCAUCUCAAAAGGGGCAAGGUGAAUCAUCGGCGGUAGAGUACCCCAUCGAGUAGCGUAUACCUUGCUGCCUGACAUUUCAACUUUCUUGCUUGCUUCCUGUCCUCUGGUAAGAUGCCCUCACGAAUGUAUAAUAGAAUGGGGUCCAUCCAGGAUUUUUCGAUGCUCACCUGCAUUACUUCUGCUUCCUCCCCUAUGCUUGACGAGGUUCUCACUUUUAGUGGAAUUGACUUGGGUAAUUUUGGAUCUGCAAUUGCGGCCAUUCUGACCAAUAUAUCUGCUCGGUAAUUCUCAUUCAGAUAUAUCUGCUUUAUUUCUAUCUCUUGGAAGAGCUCAACCAUCUGUUUUGCCUUCUUCAAAUAAAGCCCCAUCUUCUCUUCCCUCGCUUGGAAUUGAUCACUGAGCUGAUUACAGACUAAUUGGGAAUUUGCUCAGAUUUCUAUCCUUUUUGUUCGUAGUGCGUGUGCAAACCCCAGCCCAGUGAUGAAAGCUUCAUAUUCAGCUCGGUUAUUCGUAAGCUGAAAUUUAAAUUUCACUGCAUAAGAUACAUCGGCCCCUUCUAGGCUUCGUAUUACAAUUCCUGCUCCAGAUCCCUGUUUACUACGUGACCCAUCAAUUAUUACUAGCCACACCCCCUUUGAUUUCUCCUGCUUCACUGGUUGCUCCUCCCAAAUUUCCUCCCCUAAUUUAACACGGUCAACCAUAAAAUCGGUCAAGGCUUGGGCUUUGAUUGCUUCUCGGGGUUUGUAGGAUAGGUCGAAUUCGCUCAACUCCACGGACCAUUUACUAACCGACCAGAUGCAUCUAGUUUUAGAGCAUUUACCGAAGAGGCUGGUCAGUCAUCACAACUAUCGGGUGGGCCUGAAAGUAAGGUCUGAACUUGCGUGCUACUGUUAUUAAAGCUAGUGCCCAUUUCUCCAUUAGUGGAUAUCUGGUUUCUGCAUCUACCAGGGCCUUGCUAGUGUAGUACACAGGGUGCUGCUUUCCUUCCUCUUCUCUGACUAAUACCGAGCUGGUAGCCCAUUUAAAGACUGCCAAGUACAAAUACAGCUGGUCACCUUCUCCAGGAGUUGAUAGUACAAGGCGCGGGCUAAAUAUUCCUUCAGCUGCCCGAAUGCCUCCUCACAUUCUAACGUCCACUCCAUUUUCCUUCAAUUCUUUAUGAUUUGGAAGAAAUGGUGACAUUUAUCUGUGGCUCGCGAGAUGAAACGGUUCAAUGCUGCUAACUUCCCUGUAAGACUCCGUACCUCUUUAACUGUCCGGGGGGACUUCAUUUUUGUUACUGCCCGUACUUUUUCCGGGUUGGCCUCAAUCCCUCGAUGGCUCACCAUGAACCCCAAAAAUUUACCCGCGCUAACUCCAAAUGCACACUUUUCCGGAUUCAGCUUCAUCUGAUACUUCCUUAGCAGUUCAAAAGUCUCUUCCAAAUGCUUCACAUGAUCCUUCGGUUCCUUGGACUUUGUGAUCAUAUCAUCCACGUAUACCUCCAUAGUGUGACCGAUCAGUGGCUUGAAAAUCUUAUUCACCAACCUUUGAUACGUAGCCCCUGUGUUUUUCAGGCCAAAAGGCAUCACCUUGUAGCAAAAUAAACCCAUGUUAGUUAUAAAGGUGGUACUCUCCUCAUCUUGCUUGUUCAUGGGUAUCUGGUUGUAUCCCGAAAAGGCAUCCAUGAAGCUAAGCAGACUAUGACCUGCCGUUGAGUCCACCAACUGAUCUAUUUUAGGUACGGGAAAGCUGUCAUUUGGGCAUGCCAUAUUAAGGUCUGUGAAAUCCACAUACAUUAUCUAUUUCCCAUUGGCCUUCUUUACCAGCACUACAUUAGAAAUCCACUCCGCAUAUUUAGCCUCCCUUAUAAAUCCUGCUUUCAACAGCUUCUCCACCUCGGCAUUUAUGGCCUCGUACCUUUCCUAGUUAAAGCACCUCCUUUUCUGCAUCACCGGCCUUGCCCCUUUCUUGAUUGCCAACUUGUGGCAAGCUACCCCGCGAUCAAUUCCUGGCAUGUCCUCAUGAGACCAGGCAAAUAUAUCUGCGUGGGACUAUAGGCACUUCACCAGCUCAUCUUUUAUUGCUUCACCUAAUCCUGACCCGAUCUUAAUCACUCUGCUCGGGUUAUUCUUGCUCACAAAAAUCUCCUCCAGUUUCUCGACAGGCUCUUGACGACCCUUCUUAGAAUCUCUUCGGUUAUCCAGAGAGGUAACAUGUAGCGUCUCCUUGGCCGCUGUUGCGUAACAGCUCCUUGCUAUUCUCUGGUCACCUUUUACUACGCCCACAACUCCGUUUACUCUGUAUUUCAAUGCUAGAUAAUGCAUGGAUAUAAUGUAUUAGCUUGCUCUCAUAAAAGGUCGCCCUAGUAUCAUCUGGUAGGGGUUUUUCUCUUCCACCACUACGAAGUCCAGCAUAAUUUUCUUUUUAGAUGACUUCGCUCCUACGGUAAUCGGCAGCUCUAUGAUCCCCAUAGAGGUCAACUGUCUUCCUCCAAAUCCCUUUAAGGAUGUGUUCGUUCGCUCCAAUUUCAAAUCUGCAAUCCCCAUAUCAUCUAGGGCCGACUUAAAUAAUAUGUCGACCGAGCUGCCUAUAUCCACCAAUAUUUGUCGGAAUUCCUUACCCGCCACUAUUACUUUAACUACCAGUGCAUCCUCAUGAGGGUAUAAAAUGCCCUCUUCAUUAUCAUCUGUCCACAUAAUGGGAACUUGUCUUACUUUCACCCUCUUGGUCGUUGGUAAGUUGAAAAGUACCUCUUUGCUGGUCAAAGCGUAUCUCUCAUAAUUCUUUCGUGCUCUGUUUGAGUCUCCAGCCAAUGUUGGCCCUCCUGUUAUCACCUGAAUAUUUAGCUGUUCCCGCUCUAGGCUCCUUUCAACUCCAUCACCCAGCGUAUAUUGUGAUUCAAUGACGGGGGAUACUCCAUCUACAUACUCAUCCAAAUACUGGUUCCUCACCAAAUCUUCCACUUGAGUCUUCAAGUCAUGAUAUUGGCUGAUAGUGUGACUAUGAGUGUCGUGAAAUUUGCAGAAUCUGUUCUUAUCAUGUCUAUGAGCGGGUUUUGUUAUAGGGGCAGGAGGGUACAGCAGGCAUCGUCCCUCGAUUCUCUCAUACAACUCCUCCAUAGAGACUUUCAGUGGGGGUGUACUGUUUGUACGCCAAGCUUUGGUCAAUCAGUUGGACCGUUCAGCUAUCGUGGGUAUCGUUCCGAGCUGGUAUUGUAGGUAGCUGGUUUGGUUGACCAGCCCUGGAGUUAACUAUAUGCAGUACCCUGGGAGCGCUGUGAUAAGGGUGGGCGACUAACUGCCUGAAUUCUCGUUGCCACUCGGGGAAUGAGGGGCGCGGAGGCUGAGCUCAGUUGUGUUGGAGCUGUUGCGGUCUCUGAGCCAUGGGAUAAGGGCGAGACCAAGCUGAUAUUCCACACAUCACUAGCGAUUCUCCAGCUCGCCUUCCUGAUCCGCUCCCGCUCAGGGUUCUUCAAUCUCCAUGUCUCUCUUUGCCUGCUCAUACCCCGUUGAAUAAUUCUGAACGAUGGGACUUCACAAGUUGUACCAUAAUCGGCCUAUUCUUACACCCUCUUUUAAUCCCCUUAACGCCUGCAGGUGAUUGAAAGCUCCCAGAUCAAGCACGGCCCAAUGGUAUCUUUUCACAAAAUCCUGAAGGGAUUCGUGUUCCUCCUGCUUCAUCCCCAUCAAAUCCAUCAUAUCGUCAUCUGGGCCUACUGAUUAUCGGAACAGUGUUGUGCAAAUUUUAAUGAACUCGCAAGCACACGAAUCUAUUGUAGUAUAGAUCAUUGGUAACGAGUGUCGAUCUCAUGAGGAGGUGGAUUUUAAUUGUGUAUAGAAUUGAUUUUGUAAAUGGGUGGUUGGAUUUGUGGUGGAAGUGAUUCAGAUUAUCCUAAAAUUGGAAUUAAAAUGGUGAAAAUAAUUUGAAGAGAAUUCUAUUGAAAUGACGUACUUGGGUAUCUGGAUCCGUAUCAACAUGCAUCAUGGGCUAAAUAUUCCUUAUUAAUACCAAUUAAAUCAUGAGGGGGGAAUCCACACCUCAUGAACCACGCUCUAAUCAAUAUGGUGUUAAGGGCUUAUCGUGCCAAAUAAUAAUAACCUGUACUAGAGAGCCGGUGUAACCAAGGCGGUAUCUAGACAAUACUAGUAUUAUUUGUCAACGAGAAGUCAAAACAUCCAAAAAAACUAGAGGGGAAGAGAAAAUAAAUUUACCAAAUAAAGCCCAUGACACAUGUUGAGACUUCACCUUCAACCCAAGCUUGAAAGAAAAUUAGCUACUCAUAAUUGAACUAGGGGCAAAAUGGGAAUUUAUUAAAAUACGUAGAAAAUACAAGAUGGAGAGAGAAUUACAGAAAAUGGAGUCCAAAAAUGGAUUUAGGGAUAUCAAAUUAGGGGGAGAGGCCCCCUUUUUAUAGAUACAUUGAGUAAAUCGUGGUCAUCGGAUAAAAAAUAGUUUGGACGCUCAGGAUUGCGCCACGUCAUCAGUCAACAGUCCGCGUGAACAGUACACGAUUUGACCACGCGGAUGAACAGUAACACAGUUUGACCCGGGUGAACAGUGACGCAGUUUGGUUGAAAAUGAUCCUGUGUGUUGCAUGUACCGUACAUGAGAUUUUUGAUCCACUGAUAUGCUGCCACGUCAUCGAUCAACAGUGCAUAAGAAUUUUAGUCCAACAGGAUCGUGACACCUCAUCAGUCAAUGCCACAUCAUCGGUCAAUGCCACGUCAUCGAUCCGUCUAUGUGAACAGUGCCGUGAACAGUAACGUAGACAGUACCCGUACAUGUGAAUAGUACCGUAUAUGUGAAUAGUAUUAUUUUUCUUUUUAUGCUCCUCCUAAGAUUUUUGACCGUCCUAAGUUCAAAAAUGAUGUCCGUUUUGCCAUCUGAUCUCUCGUUUAUUGUGAAAUGACUGUGAUACCCCUAAAAUACAUAAAAUACUUGAUUAAAAUAAAACACACGUAAUUAAAUUACAAGUAAGGGUUGUUAGUAAGACAUUUUCUAACACUCAACAAACAGCUCGGCCAACUCUUGGUAUAUCUGCUCGUAUCCCCUUAUACUUCCUCGUGGUAGCUUACGAUACCAUUCUCUGGCUCGUCCUUCUAGUGUCAAUGGGAACACCCUGCACCUCUGAGCUGCUGUUAGCCCCUGUAUGCCCGUCAUGUCAUUGAAGCACUCAAUGUGCACUAGCGGGUCGCUUCUCCCGGAGUACUUGAGGUUGGGAAAGCAGAAAUCUCUUGGGAUAAUAGUGCUUAUGAUCUCGGCUGAUAGCGGAGAUUCUUCAUCCAGCAUUAUCCUCCAGCUUGGAGGCUUUCUCUUGCCCUAUAUCUCAUCCAUCACCUGCGCUAGCCUGCGCACCUCACCUUCCAAUUCCAAAGCACGGUCAAGGUCGCGCGCAGCUACUUGAUCUCGCUCCUGCUCGGCAUUAUGCAGUCGCUGUCUGAGCUCGCCUUCGUCAACAUUUACUCCUCGGUCAUUGAUUUCUAGAACUCGCCCAAGGCGAGAUUGAUCUCUCCUUUCAUCCACACGCUCCCCGGGGAUCCGACCAGCACUUCUAUGGGGAUGUAUCCCAUAGGGUUGUUCUACUAGCGGAGGGAUCUCCUCGAUUCUACGCCUUCGUAGGUUGGGUUCCGCCAUAGUUUCAUCCCUUACCACAGUGGUCUCGCCUUCCCUUCUCCGCUCAUCCCUAAAGUCAUAUAAUAUAGCUGUGAGCGUCUCCAUUUGGUUUGCCAUCUGUUCCAUUCGGUCUUGCAUCAUCCUCUCUCUAGCUUCAUUCGCGAUCUCUCGGAGAGUGAUCGAUUCACCAGUUUCAUUGUCGCCCCCUAAGGCGUCCUUCCUUGUCAUAUCCAUAACUAAUCGUUCACUGCGUCUCUGGUGAUUACUAACUUGAUGGUAGCUUUUUAUCCAGCUCCCUACAGACGGCACCAAAAUGUUGAUGCUGAAACAUGCUUGCCCUCUGCCCGGCCAGAUCGUUCCACUAACGUUUGUGUAUUCAAUGGAGAGGAUACUGCCCUUUUGCCUCCUUCAGCAACUACGGAUGCUCCAGGGGUUGGAAUUACCUUUUUCCCUUCUUUCUAAUCCUGCACUCACAGAGAUAGAUAAGAGACGCCGGUGGUUUUAUCGGCGUAAACCCUCCGAUGCUUAAGUUAGCACAAGAUGUUUUACGAGAAAAUUAUGUAACUUGGAUUGUUUGGUUUCUUGUAAUGCUUUCUAAAACUUGUAAAGAAUAUAAUCUGGUUUUAAUUUGGCAGAGUUUUCCUUUUUCUCUCAAUUUUCCAUCCCCUUUUUCAUCGGUUUUCCAGCUUCUUAUAGCUGUUGUCCCACGUUCCUGUCUACUCCUCAUGCCCCCCCUUUUAUUGGGUGAUGGCAGGCCUUCAUGGGCCUCCAACCACUGAAUUGUGGGUAAACGUGGGAUGACAUGUCCCUCUCGAUGGUUUAGGGCAUAGCGAAACUGCCGCAUUUUCGUGAGAUCGUGUCCUCCUUCUUUGGGUGAUGGGUAUCUGGUCGGUAUAUGUCUCUAGUUGAUACAUUCCUCUGGUCAAUGCUCGUCUCUAGUAGGCCCACGUUUGUAUGAGGCAUUUUACCAGGGCUCUUCUCGUGCCGCUGAGGUGAUUCGCCUCGGGGUGGGAAAUAGGGGCAUGGCCGAGCUGGUGCUCUUUAUUACUUAACAACUGUCUUUGAAAAUUUUGGCUAAGUUAGUAGGCCACAAAAUUUUAUUAACCAUCUAUGCAAUUAUAGAGCAAUCCCCUCCAAAUAGAAUGAUGCCAAUUGUAUUUAUUGUUCUAGGACUACAUUCUCAAAUCCGAAGAAUUAUUCCACCUUAUGAAUCCAACCAGUCGGAUCAUCUCCGUUGAAAUUUGGAAAGUUUAGUUUGAGAUAGUGGUGAUGGUUGGGAAAGUUUGAGGAGAAAGGUUUUAUGGCUUGGUUAGAGGAUGUUGUAGCCUGUAGGUGCAAAGGGGUUAAUUUCAGAGGCAAUUAUGUGUGAGGUUUGUGAUGCACGAAGAGAUUGAAGAUUUCUUGAACCUCAUUACGAAACUCAGCAUUUGAUUGACUUCGGGUAGCCGUAUUUCGAGCAACCUUUGUUUGAUACCAGAUGAUAGGUAAUUUCUUAGUUUAGAAAGGAAAGUAUGAAAAGUAGAGGAAGAAUAUAAGUUGUUUAGAAGGAAAAAGAUAAUUUUUAUUCCAAAAGCAUGCCCACUAUAAAUCCAAUAAUUUCUCUUAAAUAAACCUAUACAUAUACCAAAAACUAAAAAACUAGAAAAGAGGAAAAUCACUUGAAAAUAAGAACAUGAUCAAUUAAAACGGUAACAUGCACAACCGCCACGAAUCAAAACCAAUCGAUUUUAAAUAGUAUGAAUUGAAAUCAAAUUAAACCAAACCAAACUAAAUCGGACCGAACCGAAAUAUUAGGUUCGGUUCUAAAUUUUGGUUUGAUUUUGGUUCAGUUCUAAAUUUUCGGUUCGAUUCUAACUUGUUGUUUUAACACCACGAUUUAUGUUCGUUGGAAGUAUCUUCCUCGUCGUCCAAAAUUCAUCCCACUUGCAGCUCAUUCUCUCAUGCAAUCCCUCAUCUUCUGUAGUGAUUUGAUUGCUCUGAUAACUAUAAGCAAUAAACCACUGCCCAAGAAAUUUUGCCAAGAACAAUUCAAGAUGAAAAUAAGCCAAUGAUUGAUUUAAAGUUCUAAUGAUGAAACGAAACCUUAGCUCUAGGUUAAUGGAGAUUUAACAAAAGAUUGAAACAAAUCAAGAAGCAAACACACUCAAUGCAAAGACAGGAUUUUAAUGUGGUUCAAUUAUGCACAAAGUUCAUAAUCUACAUCCGCGGGAGAAGCCACAAAAAUCUCUUUAUUGAUGAUUCAAGAUGAAUUUUAUUGAGAAAAUACAGAGAUCGUUACAAGGAACAAGAUUACUCUUUCUCACUUUCUAGAAACUCUCUGAAAAGCUCAAUCACACACACGUAAUCUGCUUCAACAACCAGCCUCUUUAUACUCUCUUAUGAAAACCCAGAUUGCACAGCCCUUUGACACGUGUGUAACAGCUUCUAACGACUUGAUUCCUCCCUCACAUGCUAGCUCACGUGUUUUACUUAAGUUUCCUAAAAACGACACAAAGCAAUGUCGUUCUGCCUUAUGCUGAAGAGCCCGUGACUGCACGUGAGUUGUAAGUAAUUCCAACUGAUCAAAACGCAAUCGUUUUGGGACUCUGAGUUUUGAAUUCAUAACACUCCGGUCCACAUCUUCCUCACCCACUAAUAUAAACAAAGCACAAAACAAUUCCAAUCUCAGAAUUAAGAUCAUGCUCAGACAAAUCCUUAAGCCCAUCAGCGAUCUAUCGUCUACUGCGAGCUAAUCGAGAGUGCCAUCUAAUACGAGGUGGCUGAGAGACCGUGAGAGUGAGAUGUUGACCAGAGAUAGACAUAGUGAGAGUGAGCGUGGUUGCGUGAGUGUGGAAGAAAGGGGAUGCUGCUAUGCUGCGUGUUGUGCUUGAGAGUGAGCAUAGUUGCAUGAGAGAGAGAGGGGCUACUGCUAUGCUGUACUUGAGAGUGAGGGUGGUUGCAUGAUAUCUGCUCAAUAUGUAUGGGAUGAAGUUUCUGAUGGGUAAAAAUCAUGUUUUUAAAUUUUUAUAAAACCUUUUUAAGAUCGCUUUCAUAUAAUAUAUAAGAAUUUGUAAUCUAGAAAUCAUACCUUGAAAAUCCGAUUUAGCUUUUUCCGCUGGAAUGAUUUAGGCUCCCAGAUCACGAUCCAUCACCACCACUCCUGUUAGAUUACGAUCCGUCACCACCACGCUUGUUAGAACACGAACUGGCACCAAUGAUCUUCCAGGUUAUGACUCAAGUUUGAUCUGCACUUGACGUGUGGGCGCCUUUAUCACUACCAAAGCAACUAGCACAAGAAAACUUUUCUCUCAACAAUAGAGAGAAAAAUCUUUUUCUCUGAUCUGUAUAAAGUGCCUGCUCCCUUUUUCUUUAGAGAAAAUAAGCAUUUUAUAUCUCCCUUUAGUGAAAACCCUAAGCUCCAAAAAAUCAAAAAACAAAACUCACGUUACUUGCUUUUUCUAUAGGGGACACACCUUGUAAAAUAACAUAAUAGCCCUUACACACAAGCGAAUUAAAUGGAGCCUCCCACUAAAAGAUAUAUUUAGGCUUUUGACCCAAAUAGCUUAUCUUACUUAUUAGUCCAGUAGUGGUGCAUUCAAUUAAAUGAGCUAACCCGGGGAUCAUUUGGGAACAUACAAUAGUGGCUAUAACAAUUAGACCUGUAAUUAAACUAGCCUAAUUAUUUAAUUCCAAAUCUACUCCACUAAAAGAUUGGAAUUGACCUCCAUAAUUGUAUGCUCGAAUAAUAAUUUGUCCCAAGUCUAAUUGAUUUCUUUACUGCACAAUCCUUUGUAUCACAUCGUUAAUUCAAUUGAUAUCUCAACUGUCCAAUCAAUUUAAUAACAUCUUGUUCCUUGAUACUUAUUGGUUUUCUCUAAUGAUCAUUUUCAACAUACUAAAUAUGUUGACACACUCUGGCCAAAGAAUUCUAUGAUCAAGUGCCGAAAACCCAUCAAGAGAUGUAUUGUACAAAUUCUAUAUUGUUAAUCCAUAACUCCAAUACUCAUAAUUGCUCCCACCAAGAUACCGGGUAAUCUUGACCACAAGAAUGUGUCGUGCCCAUUGGUAACUCAAAUGGAAUAACAAUUACAAUCAUGAAAUCAUAAUUAACUCAAGAUUAAGAUUACAGUAAAAUCAAUAGAUUUAAUAAGUCUGACAGUCAUUUCAAUGUUAAUUAAAUCUCAUAUGUGAUCCUGUUCAAUGUAGUCGUACUACAUUAAUAAAUUCAUACAUGAUUAAGACAAAUCAUUCAAUGAAUUCAUUACAGUCUAUACUUAAAUAAAGUGCCCAACUUUAUUUAUCAACUGCGAACUAAAUUUAUUUAAUCAUAAGAUAACUUAUAUUUAUGUCUUCUGUGAAUCCACAUGGUGAUCACAUAAAUACAUAUAAUAUGAUUAAAUGGACUUUGAUCAAAAUAUUAAUGCAAUUAAGAUAUUUGAAUAAAAUACCUCAUUAAUUUUAUUAGUCAGAAAAAAUGUUUAUUAUAAUUAAAUAAACACAUAUACUUUUAAAGAGUAUAUUUUCCCAACAGUUUCUUCAGUUGGUUAUUUCACUUAGUCAAAAUAAAUUAUAGUAGUGGUUGCAUACCUGACUUUGGAGGUAAGGCUGGAGGCAAACUUCUACAUUAAUUUAUAACUUGUUUCACAACAUAUUACGGUUAUAAAUGAGACUUAAUCCAAAGACGGAAAGAGAGAAAUUUGCUACACUCUUUAGUAUCCAUUAUUGAGAAAAACACCAAAAUUAACUUUUACUUCUUUAAAAUCAUUUUUGAAACCUCCCAAAAGAUAUCUCAAAUGGGUUCUCAAUUUUUUAAAACAUUACUUUUGGCUAAACACCCCAUCCUCCAGUAGAUUUUGAAAAUGUCAAAAUGUAUAAGACACUCAUCCAGUGGGGGUUUCACAGGCUUACCUCUCUUAGAAGUCUUUGCAUUCUUGGAUGUCAUGAAGCAGAGUGUUUUCCAGACGAGAAGAUAGGAAUGACGCUGCCCAAUUCUUUAACUUGUCUGUCCUUUCGAGGAUUCAAAAACACAUUUAAGAAAUUGGCAAUUUGUUGUUAGUCACAGUAUCUGAUGUUCUUUUCUUUUAUAGUUUGCAGAAUCAACUGUAUUAUAUGUUGUCAUUUGCAGUAUCUGAGGUGCCUUUUGCAUUUUACUUGACCUUUAUUUGUUUUGCUAGUGACUGAAGAAUACCAACAUUGGUUAGAGAUUUGGAGAAGCAUCUGAAGAGGCUUGACAAAGUUGGAGAUGCACUUGCUCCCAAGCCUUCAAUCAUCACAAUGCAAAUCCGAUGAGUACUUAUGCCGGCAAUUAUGUAAAAUAUUUGAAAUUUUGAUUCAGGGAAAUGGUUUGUUGAUGCAAAGCUUUAAACUGUUAAGACUUACCUAGCAGGCCUGUUGGAUGUUGUAUCAACUCCAAAAUCCAACAAGAACUACGGCACCAAGACCCAUUUUUUACUGAUUCAAUCAGCUGAAAUGAUGAGGCAAAUCCCACGUGUUCGAAUCAGUCAUCCAUUUCAUGAACUGUUAUUUUCAUGAUGCUGGCUAUUGGAGUUGAAGAGGAAACAAGGAUGUGUUGGAAUCAAUGAGAACAGUGGGAAGCAUGACUCGAGCUCUGAUUAUAAAUAGACAUUUUAAAAACAUGUGCUGGUAAGUGGUGAUUAAAGAAAUUUGUGAGCUUAUUCAAGUUUCAGUAUUUGCUGUUUGGAUAAAGCUGAUACCAAGUUUGGCAAAAUCUGUGCUUUCUUUGUUCAAUCUGUGUUAUGGUUAAAGUAGAUGCUCUGAUUAAUAAGCCAGCCUACGAUAGCUGGCUCUAAUAAUCGGCUUCCUUUUUCUUGUUUGCUGUUGUAUAUUCUUUCAAUUUUUUUUCCGCAUUAGGACGAUCAGUUGAAGAACAAGUUUAUGUUUGACGAUGCAUUUAAGGAAGAGCCAGACUUGGAUGCAGAUCUGAAAAGGUUAGCAUGAACGAAAACCUUCAGAACUGACUGAAGGUUUCUGAGUUGAUCCUAAAAAUGUAGCAGUUGUCUGUUUCAUAAAGCAGAACAAAAACAGAAUAAGAGAUCACUAAUCAUGCUUGAGAAUUCAUUUAAAUAAAAUUUCAAAAAUUGCCAAACACAGCAUAAACUAGGAUGCACUUGCUUAAGAUUCAUUUUCAGAAGGAAGUUUGUACUUGCAGCUCAUAAAAUCAUGUUUAUGUUGUAUGUUUAUUCAGCAAAUGAAAGAUUCCAAGUUUGCUGAAACCAUAUUAUUUUUUUACCAGGCGCCUUCCUGAAGGUAUCGACGUCAAUUUCAAAAAUGUUGGGGAUAAGUUGCUUGAUGCAGUGCUACACAAAUAUGAAGGAUUUCUUGUCGGUGAUUACUACCACCUCGAUAAAAAAAUUCAUGGAACUGGUCAUGCCGGCAAUAAAAGAAGGAAAGGUGGUAUACGUCGAAGACAUAGAUGAAGGCCUCGAGUCCAUCAGCCCUCGUUGGGCUAUUCACUUGUCGGAAUGUCAGGAAACAACUUGUUGAAGUUGCGUGGGAAUUUUAAAACUACCAUAUGUUGUAGAAAUGCACUGAGCCAUGUGCUUUCAGAGCUUUGUGAAGAUGUCUUGGCCAUGUGUUUGAUACAGGUUAUGCUUGUUCCAUUAAAUUGUAUGCACUUAUAAAUCAAAGAUUCAGAACAUGUGUAUGUUACUGGUUUCCAGAAUCCAGAUCAAUAAAUGCCUCCAUGUAGAAGUUCAAAUUUUAAAUUUUUUGAAGUAGAGGUGUAGAGUUUCUUUUUUCAAAAAAGAAAAAGUAAAUUCUGAAGACUUUCUUUAUUUAAUUUUACAAUCUUAUUUUAUUUCUUUUACGAUAUAUUUUUAAAAUACUUAUUUAGUAAAUUAUUAACAUCUAUACCACUAAAAGAUUUUUUUUGUUAAACGCUCUACUUACAAAGUUAUAUUAAUUAUAGAUUUACUCAAAGAAGCCCUAUUUAAAAAGUUACAGCAAAAAAAGUCAUAGUUACCUUUAGUAAAUAAUAAUCUUCUAAUCUGUCUUACAACGGACUUUUGACAAAAGUGUGCUACUCCCACCUCCUCAAAGUCCACCCGACACCCCGUCUUCUCUAUUUAAAAUUUUAUAUAGUUGAAAAUUAUAUUUUCUUUUACUUGACGCCCCUCCAAAUUCUAAAACUUAGCUUCGAUGAACCUUCUUCGUUAAAUCUCGUUGCUUUCCUUUUUUCUUGUUACUUGAGAAGAAGAACCAGAGUCUAGAAGAAUGAAAGAAAAUUCAGCGUGAUAGAAAUUUAGAAAUUUCAUCCGAUCUUUUUUUCUUAAAUUUUUUGGUAUUUUGAUUCGUUCAAUGGAUUCUUGAUCAUUCUUCAUUCUUUCUAGUUUCUACCAUGAUUCGGAAAUUUUUCUUAAAAAAACUACUACUCUUGUGUAUUUAAAAAAAAAGGAAAGAAAGAAAAAAGGCAUUAAUAAAGAAUUGCGCACGUAACAUUAUUAGUACCCUGUUGAUUGGUCGUUUGGUCUUCAAGAAAUGCUAGUUAAUAUGUGCUUGAAAUUAUAUUCUGCUUUUUUUUUCCCUAUGUAUUGUUUCCCGUUUGAUUACAUUUCAAACAUUUUUAACACGAAUGAAUGUUUUAACCAUUUUUGUCACUUCAUUAUUACAAUAAGCUGAUUGAAGUUAUCUGCGUUGGCCCUGAAAAUGUAAUGGACACUACUCCGUUUACAUAAAACAGGACAAAACAUCGAUAUUUCUACCAUUGCCAUACAUAGUAUAGCCUAGGAAUACAUUUCCAUAAUUAAUAUUUAUUUCAGAAGGAACUUUUCACUUGCAGCUAACAGAAUCAUGUUAAAUUUAUGAUGUAUGUUUAUUUGGGAGAUGAAAGAUUCGCUGCAUUAUUUUAUUCCAAGUUUGCUGAAAUCAUAUUUGUUUUCCCGGCUGCUUUCCUGAAUGUAUCGACAUCUAUUUCGAAAAUGUCGGGGGUAAGAUGCUUGGUGCAGUGCUACUCAACAUGAGAAUUCAUCUUCUAACUCGUUACCUGAUAUUAUUGUCUUCUUGAAAAUUUAAUUAAGCUUAGAAGUCCCUUAACCACAAAAUCAAUGGAGUUUAACUCUAUCGAUAGACAACUUUUAAGUAAUAAACCAACACAUGAGUUCAUCUCUAUUGAUACUCAAGUUCUAAGUCCCUUAUUCAAUACUAAAAUCCAUGAGAAUUAAACUAACCGUAGUUUAACAUGUGAUUAACAAAUGGUAAAAGGUUCAAAAAAUACAUCAAUUAUAAAAGAAAUAAAAUCAGCAAAGAGACCACAUCAGAAAUUUCUUAGAUGUCCGAAACUAUUAAAAGAAUUCACAUACCAAAUCAAAAAAAGUAGAAAAUGCUUAAGCUCCUUAAGGUAAUUUGAAGUAUGAAAGUGAAUGGCAUAUAAUCCAAUAUAAAAAAAAAAUGGUUUUAGUGCCGUAUAAAGAGAAGUUAAUGGUGGUUACAGAAGUGGGGAAAGUUGAGUACAAAUCAGAUAAUGGGAGGUUCCUAAACUUCCUUAAAUCAAUUUUAAUUUCAAAAAUAAAAUAAUAAAAAAUAAAAAAUAGCAUAAAAGAAAUAAGAUAAAAAUUACUUUUCUAAAAUUGCAUGCAAGUAUACAAAAAUAACAUAUGUUGAUAUUACAUCGAGAAAGGUCCAUCAGCCCUAGUUGGGCUAUUCACUGCAUAGAAUGUCGGAGAACAACUUGUUGUGGUAGCUGUUGGGAAAAUAUGCUCUUUAAAAGCAUGUGUGUUUAUUUAAAUGUAAUAAACAUUUUUUCUGAUUAAUAAAAAUAAUGAGGUAUUUUGUGCAAAUAUCUUAAUUGCAUUAAUAUUUUUAUUAAAGUCCAUUUAAUCAUAUUAUAUGUAUUUAUGUGAUCACCAUGUGGAUUCACAGAAGACAUAAAAUACAAGUUAUCUUAUGAUUAAAUAAAUUUAGUUCGCAGUUGAUAAAUAAAGUUGUGCACUUUAUUUAGGUAUAGAUUGUAAUAAAUUCAUUGAAUGAUUUGUCUUAAUCAUGUAUGAAUUUAUUGAUGUAGUACGACUACAUUGAACAGGAUCACAUAUGAGAUUUAAUUAACCUUGAAAUGACUGUCAGACUUAUUAAAUCUCAUUGGCAUUGAUUUUACUGUAAUCUUAAUCUUGAGUUAGUUAUGAUUUCAUGAUUGUAAUUGUUAUUCCAUUUGAGUUACCAAUGGGCAUGACACAUACAUGUAGUCUAGAUUACUCGGUAUCUUGGUGGGAGCAUUUAUGAGUAUUGGAGUUAUAGAUUAACAAUAUAGAAUUUGUACAACACAUCUCUUGAUGGGUUUUCGGCACUUGAUCAUAGAAUUCUCUAGCCAGAGUGUGUCAACAUAUUUAGUAUGUUGAAAAUGAUCAUUAGAGAAAACCAGUAAAGAUCAAGGAAUAAGAUGUUAUUAAAUUGAUUGGACAGUUGAGAUAUCAAUUUAAUUAACGAUGUGGUACAAAGGAUUGUGCAGUAAAGAAAUCAAUGUGGCUUGGGACGAAUUAUUAUUCGAGCAUACAAUUAUGGAAGUCAGUUCCAAUCUUUUAGUGGAGUAGAUUUGGAAUUAAAUAAUUGGGCUAGUUUAAUUAUAGGCCUAAUUAUUGUAGCCACUAUUGUAUGUUCCCAAAUGAUCCCCGGGUUAGCUCAUUUAAUUGACUGCACCACUACUGGACUAAUAAGCAAGAUAACUAGCUAUUUGGGUCAAAAGCCUAAAUAUAUCAUUUAGUGGGAGGCUCCAUUUAAUUAGUUUAUGUGUAAGGGGUCUUAUGUUAUUUUACAUGGUGGGUCCCCUAUAAAAUAAAAAGUAACGUGAGUUUUAUUUGUGAGCCUAGGGUUUUCACUAAAGGGAGAUAUAUAAGGCUUAUUUUCUCUAAAGAAAAAGGUGAAGCCACUUUAUACAGAUCAGAGAAUAAGAUUUUUCUCUCUAUUGUUGAGAGAAAAAUUUUCUCGUGCUAGUUGCUUUGGUAGUGAUAAAGGCGCCCACACGUCAAGUGCAGAUCGUACUUGAGUCAUAACCUGGAAGAUCAUUGGUGACAGUUCGUGAUCUAACAAGCGUGGUGGUGACGGAUCGUGAUCUAACAGGAGUGGUGGUGGCGGAUCAUGAUCUAGGAGCUUAAAUCACUUCAGCGGAAAAAGCUAACUCGGAUUUUCAAGGUACGAUUUCUAGAAUACAAAUUCUUAUAUAUUAUAUGAGAGCGAUCUUCAAAAGGUUUUAUAAAAAAUUUAAAAACCUAAUUUUUCCCCAACAAUUGGUAUCAGAGCCAUCUCAUAUUAAUAUAUAAGAAUUUCGUAUGAAAUUAAUCUUGAUAUUUAUGUAUUAGAGUGGCACAAUUUAUUCAGAUAUAUAUUAUUUGUUUAAUAUAUGAAUAAAGCAUGUUUAUGGUUUGUCUUAAUUCAUGGUUAGAUUUUCUGUUGUAUUUUUCGUUUGGAUCUUUAACAAGAGGGGUGGUUUUUAUCACAAUGUUUCCCUCUUGAUUUAUUUUACUGUUAUAGAAUUUUUGUAAGCCAAAAAUUGGCCUAGGAAAUUUGUAAAUAAAUCACGGAUGACAAAUCAAAGCGACGGAGGCCGGAAAUUUCGACAUCGACCGCUGACCAGCGCACUCGCUACAACCAACGAGCGGCACACGCUGCAAGCGCAUGCUGGCAGUGCGCGCAGCAAGCAGCGCGCGCGGCCAGCCUGGCCAGCGGCGCGCGUUCCAGCAAGCAGCGCGCGCAGGGAUGGUUUGUUUCCGGCAUAUCGGCAACGGCAAACUCGACGUUGAUAGCGGCUGUCCGAUGAGAUUGGCCUGAACAGUGGCCGUUUGUGGAGAUGGCGACUGGGGAAGAAGAAAGAAAGAAAAAUAUGGAUUUAGGGUUUCAUGGCUUUUAUCAUGGAGAUCCCUAUGGUUCCAUAAUUUUUCACUUGGGCAAUUAAGUUUUAAUUUUUUGCAUUUAAGUCUAAAAAUAGUUUUCGGCUUAAAGAAUCCUAGUUUUAGGUCCAAUUGAAAUUUGGGCUUAAUGGAUUAAAAAUGCAUAGAUAAAAUUAAAUACAUUAAAAUUUAUUUUUGGUCCAAAAGUUUUAUUUUAAUAAAAAAAAUUAUUUAUUUAUUUAUUUCCUUUAAAAAUUAAAAUUGGACCAAUUAGAAAUUAUUUAUUUAUCUCUCAUUUGUACUUGGGAGACAGUCUAUUGUAAGUAGUGUGUAUUUUUGCAUGUCUAGGAAAGUUCUGUCAACAAAGGCGAUAAGUGUAUAAGGAUUCUGGUUUUUAAUUGGGACCAAGUUCCCAUCUAGUUUCCUGGAAACUUUCUUGGUGCAUUUAUUCACGCGAAAUUAACAUCAUAGAGACUGUUUUUCAAGUGAAAAUAGUUCGUUGAGAAAAUGGUAGAAGGUGAAACUUUCAAAAUUGGGGAGAGAUCUACCGAGACUAUUUCAGGAGACACUUCAGGUGGGAGGCGAGAUUUGUCAAAUCGCUAUUCAGCACCUGUAUAGAAGGCCAGAAGAUCGAUGUUGAAAAGUUUGAUGGGAAAAUCAACUUCGGCAUGUGGAGGCGCGAAGUUAUGGAUGCCCUUAUUCAAAUCGAUCUCGAUGUUGUUCUGAAAAAUAAAAGACACUUGUAUGAUGAAGAAAUUUGGGAUCGUAUGAAUGAAAAAGCAUGUGGUCAGAUCAGAUCUUGUUUGACCAAGGAGGUGAAAUACUUGGUGAAAGAUGAGGAGUGUGCGGUGACUUUGUGGCGUACAUUGGAGGAGAAGUACCUGGUGAAAAGUCCUGAAAAUCGCCUUCAUGCAAUGAGCCAAGUAUAUGGCUUUCGAAUAAAGUCUGGGGUGUCAAUGCACGAUCAUGUUUUAAGAUUUGAAAAGUUACUUGCUGAUUUGAAGAAUCUUGAUGAAGAUAUUAAGGAUGAAGUCAAGGCUAUGAUUCUGUUACACUCACUACCAGAGGAAUAUAGCCAUUUUGUGACUACUUUAAUAUAUGGGAAGAGUGUGAUCAUCUUUAAAGAUGUUUGCACAACAUUGACUAGCUUAGAGAUUCGAAAUAAUGAUAAAAAUUCUAAACGAGCAUCGUCUGAAGCUUUGGUGAGUAGAGAUUGGGCGAUGGAGAAACAAAAGAAGCGUGGUGGAAAGAAUUCUCGAUCCAAAUUGAAAAGCAGAAAUAUAGCUCGAGAUGAGUGUGCCUUUUGUCAUGAAAAGGGCCAUUGGAGGAAAGAUUGUCCAAAGGCUCAAAAGAGAGAUGGGAAGAAACCAGCAGCAGCAAACAUGGCACGGAAAGAUGAGGGCUCUGAUUAUUCACUAAGUAUUACUCUUGCAGCAUACGUGGCUAGUUCGAGUGAGUGGAUACUUGAUACUGGAGUGGUUUACGGAUUUUUAUCAUUUGUGUCCUAUUAAGGAAUGAUUUACGGAUUUUCGUAAUCUGGAAUCCGGUGCAGUUGUGAUGGGGAAUGAUCAACCUUGUCGCACAAUGGGGAUAGGAACAAUUCGGCUCAAAAUGUUUGAUGAAAUGAUCAGAGAACUCAAAGAGGUUAGAUUUGUUCUAGCUUUAAAGAAAAAUCUAAUUUCUGUGGAUUUCUGUGGGUGCUUUGGAAGCUAAAGGCUACAAGGUUACCAUUGAAGAUGGUAUAAUGAAGUUUACACAUGGGGCUAUGGUGAUUCUGCAAGGGGUUCGGUGUCACAAUCUGUACUAUUUGAAGGGAGGUACAACUGAUGAAGCAAAUGUUGUUAAGGCGCACAGUGACACCACCAAGCUAUGGCAUGUACGAUUGGGACAUGCUGGAGAGAAGUCUUUGCAAACUCUGAUGAGGCAUGGACUCUUAAAAGGUACCAAAACCUGUAAAUUAAAUUUCUGUGAGCAUUGUGUAGUAGGCAAGAAAACAAGGGUCAAGUUUGGUAUAGUUAAUCACGAUACUCGUGAGAUUCUUGAAUAUGUUCAUAGUGAUGUAUGGGGACCAACCAAGACUGCAUCAAUUGGUGGAAGCCAUUACUUUGUUACAUCUAUUGAUGAUUUCUCUAGACGUGUGUGGGUGUACACCAUGCGAGCAAAGGAUGAGGUUCUAGAGAUUUUCGUGAAAUGGAAGAAAUUGGUGGAGACUCAAACUGGCAGAAAGAUCAAAGUAUUACGAUCUGAUAAUGGGGGUGAAUAUACUUCUGAUCCAUUCUUACAAGUAUGCCAGAACGAGGGUAUUAAAAGACAUUUCACGGUGAGACAUACUCCGCAACAGAACGGUGUGGUUGAGCGUAUGAAUCGUACUUUACUGGAGAAGAUACGGUGUAUGUUAUCUAAUGCUGGUUUAGAUAAAAAGUUUUGGGCUGAAGCUGUGAGCUACGCAAGUCACUUGGUAAACCGGUUGCCUUCUGCUGCAAUUGGAGGUAAAACUCCUAUGGAAAUGUGGUCUGGAAAGCAUGCACAAGACUAUGAUUCCCUUCGUGUAUUCGGGUGUUCAGCUAAUCAUCAUGUCAAAGAUGGUAAACUGGAUCCUCGUGCUAGAAAAGCUAUCUUUGUGGGAUUCAAAGGUGGAGUAAAGGGCUUUAAGCUUUGGGAUCUCGAAGACAAAAAGUUUGUGUGUAGCAGAGAUGUCACAUUUGAUGAAGCUUCAAUGAUGAAAGCGUCAAGUUCUCAGCAGGUGGAGAACAAGACCAAAAAGGUAUUGCAGCGGGUGGAGUUUGAUGCAACUCCAUAUGUACCAGUUAGUUCUACAUCAAAUAAGAGUUCAACUAUGGAGGUGACACCUAGAGUUGAAGAAGAGGUCAUUUUUUCUGAUGUCUCACAAAAUGAAGAAACAAUUGAUGAUGUAGAUAAUGAUGAUUUUAUAGCAACAAGGAGGCCAAGAAGAGAGAUAAAGAAACAGGGAUGGCUUACUAAAGAUAUGGUGGUAGCAUAUGCACUUCCAGUUAUUGAUGAUGACAUCCCCAACACUUUUUGUGAAGCAUUACGCAGCAGUGAAAGUGAUCAGUAGAAGUUAGCCAUGGAGGAAGAGAUGAAAUCUCUCCAUCAAAACCAGACUUGGGAACUUGUAAAGUUACUAAAUGGGAAAAGGGCUAUUGGUAAUAAAUGGGUCUACACCACAAAGCAAGGAUCUCCGAAUCAAACAACUCCUCGAUACAAGGCAAGGCUCGUGGCAAAAGGUUUUGCUCAAAAGGAAGGUAUUGACUACAAUGAAGUUUUCUCCCCAGUUGUAAAACAUACUUUCAUUCGUAUCCUACUUGCCGUCGUUGCAGAAUAUGAGUUAGAGUUGGCUCAAUUGGAUGUUACGACGGCGUUCUUACAUGGAGAUUUGGAAGAGGAAAUCUAUAUGAUUCAGCCUUGUGGUUUCAAAGUUGCUGCAAAGGAGAAUCAUGUGUGUAGGUUGAUUAAAUCUUUGUACGGACUGAAGCAAUUGCCAAGGCAGUGGUACAAAAGAUUUGAUCAAUUUAUACAAGGGCAGAAAUUCACCAGAAGUGAACACGAUCAUUGUGAUUACUUUAGAAGACUACCAGAUGGAGCUUUCAUCUAUUUGUUACUCUAUGUCGAUGAUAUGCUUAUAGCUUCGAAGAAUAGAGAUGAGAUCGAAAGAUUAAAGAAGCAGCUGGCUUCUGAGUUCGAGAUGAAAGACUUGGGUGAUGCACAGAGAAUACUUGGGAUGGAGAUUCGUAGAGACAAGAAGAAUGGGAGCGUAUGAUUGACUCAAAAGUCUUAUUUGAAGAAAGUGCUAGAAAGAUUCAGUAUGGAUGACAAAACUAAACCGGUAUGUACACCUCUAGCUCCUCAUUUCAAAUUAAGCUCUUCUUCAUGUCCUAGAUCUCAAGAAGAGCGCGAUUACAUGGCUCGUGUUCCAUAUGCUAGUGCUGUGGGUAGUCUUAUGUAUGCUAUUGUAUUCACAAGGCCCGAUAUAUCUCAAGCAGUGAGCAUGGUUAGUAGAUACAUGCACAAUCCGGGUAAAAAUCAAUGGCUUGCGGUAAAGUGGAUUCUCCGAUAUUUGUAUGGGACAGUUGAUGUUGGGUUAUUAUUCAAGAAAGAUUGUGGUCAACAAUGUGUUGGGUAUUGUGAUUCUGAUUUCGCUGGAGACCUUAACAAGAGAAGAUCAACAACGGGCUACGUAUUCACAUUGGGUGGAGGUCCGGUUAGCUGGAGAUCGAUUCUACAAUCGACAAUUGCUCUAUCCACUAUGGAAGCAGAGUAUAUGGCAGCAAUUGAAGCUGUAAAAGAAGCUAUCUGGUUGAAAGGCUUGUUAGGUGAUUUGGGAGUAAUCCAGGAGAACAUUACGAUCUUCUGUGAUAAUCAAAGUGCGAUAUUCCUUGCAAAGAAUCAAACAUAUCACGCUCAGAUGAAGCACAUAGAUGUGAAAUAUCAUUAUGUGAGGGAGAUUAUCGAGAGCGGUGUUGUGUUGUUGAGAAAGAUCGAUACCAAAGAUAAUCCAUCAUAUAUGUUAAUGAAGGUAGUUUCUGGAGUUAAGUUUCAACAUUGCUUGAAACUAAUUCAAAUCCUUCGAUUGUGUUAAGAUAUGUCCUUCGGAAAUUUUGAACUACGGUUGGCUUGAUCCCAAAUUUUGGGUACGUUUGGCAGUCACAGAGAUACAGCCACUUUGCGGAUGAUGAUUGGUUGGGAGUCGGCUCAGAUUUGAACAAACCUUCGCCGAGGUGGAGAAUUGUUGAAAAGUCAAAGAAUUGCUUGCCAAUUUCAAAAGCAAAGUUGGUGGGUUUGCCAAAUUCAAAAAAACAAAGUUGGCCGGCUUGCUAAUUUCAAAAGGCAAAGUUAGGUGUUGAAAAACUUGUACAUGCAAUAUAAGAUCCAGCUCAACGUUUUGACCAAAUGAACCCAACUUGGAGCAGAAUGCACUCUAUAAAUAGAGAAGCAUUUUGCAAUUGUCAAUCAUCCCAACAAUUUGUUAAGCUUAUAAAUUUCUAAGCUUUUGAGAGUUCUAAGAGUGUGAAUAAUUGGAGAGUGUGUGUGAGAGUACUUGGUAUAUUUGGGUUCUGGGAAAGUGAGAUUUCUUUACUCAAAUAAUUAUUAAUAAUAUAAUUAUUUUUCUCUUGCUUCCGUGGACAUAGGCAUAUUGUCGAACCACGUAAAUUUUGUGUCCUUUAUUUUUCAGUAAUUAUUUGGUGUGUUUGAUUCCGCAUUCCGCGCACAACACCUACAGGUGACUAAUUAAUGGGAAAUUGACAAUGACAAAAGCAAUUUAUGAGUUUUGUAGGCUGGCAUGCCUAUGUUAUAGCAUUGUUCGAUGAACUGCCACACCACAUGUUUUUGACGAGAAAUAAAAACAUCAAGAUAUUGCCCGCUUGCCGUAUUCCACAUCGUGAAUUGUAUCUCUGUUCCUCAAUUUUCAGUGUUCCAUACAUAAAACCAUUUUCAGUUUCUCUUGUUAUCAAUUCAAUUUUCUUGUUCGUGACGAUCUUGAUUCCUUUCUUUCUGGUAAAACGGAGCCAUGUUUGCUGUUGGAGAGGUCUUCCUCAACGCUUUCUUUCAGGUGUUGUUUGACAGGUUGGCUUCUCGUAAUUUGCUCAGCUUUGUGCGUCAACUCCAAGGCGGGGUUGAUUCGGAGCUCAAAAAGUGGGAGAAAAAGCUGAAGAUGAUUCAGGUUGUGCUUAGCGAUGCAGAGGAGAAGCAACUGACUGACGAGGCUGUGAAGAUGUGGCUGGACGAACUCCAAGACUUGGCUUAUGACGCUGAGGACAUUCUUGAUGAGUUUGGUACUCAAGCUUUGGAAAGGAAGUUGAUGGCGAAAAAUCAGGAUAGCACUGGCCAGAUUCUUAGUUUCAUACCGGCUAGUUUGAAUCCGAAUGCUAUUAUGUCCAAUUAUAGCAUGGGAUCCAAGAUUAAAGAUAUUACUAGCCGGUUGGAGCAACUCUGCCAAUAUAGAAUUGAACUUGGGCUGCAACGGAUUGCUGGAGGGGCAUCAUCACCUACUGCUGCUGCACACCAGAGGCCACCCAGUUCAAGUAUCACAACAGAGCGUGAAGUAUUCGGAAGAGAAGAAGAUAAGGCCAAAAUUCUUGAUAUGGUAUUGACCGAUAUUAGAAUUCGUAAUAAGAUGUUUGGAAACAAAGAAAAACAGAGAAAAUGAAAAAGGAAACUUCACGAUUUAUUAACCAGAAUAUUCAAUGCUUAUUAAGCUUACUUAGCUAAGCUUAUAUACAAUUAUUCUAACUAAUUAAACAACUGCAAAACAACUAAUAACAACUUCAGAUUUAGUUUAGCCAUUGAGCUCUUGCCACAUGUCAUUCAGUUACAUUCAAUCUUGUCCAGCUCAGCAGCUCUGUCCAGCUCAGCAGCAACUAUAUCUUCAACAUCCCCCCUCAAGCUCAACCGAGGAAGUAAGGUUGAGCUUGUCACGUAAGUAGAGAAAAGGGUGAUAAGAAAGAGCUUUGGUGAGAAUAUCAGCAGUUUGUUCUGAGCUAGAAAUAUAUUGAACCUUAAGACAUUGAGCAGCAACUUUCUCUCGAACAAAAUGAACAUCUAAUUCAAUGUGUUUUGUUCUGGAAUGAAACUUAGGAUUAGAGGCUAAAGCAGCUGCACUUUGAUUAUCACACCAUAUGAUUGGAAUGGAGGGAAGAGUAAGACCAAUCUCAGCAAGAAGAGAACGAAUCCACAAGACUUCAGCUGCUGCCAUUGCUAGUGCUCGAUAUUCAGACUCAGCACUAGAUCGAGAGACCACUGCCUGUUUCUUAGAGCACCAAGACACUAGAUUUGGACCCAUAUAGACACAAUAACCAGCCACUGACCUCCUAUCAUCUCUGUCUCCAGCCCAAUCAGCAUCACUGAAACAAUCAAUCUGUAUGCUGCCAUGAUUGUAGAACUGUAAACCAAGAUUAACAGUACCCUUCAGAUAUCGUAAAACCCUUUUACAAGCCUGCCAAUGAUUGACAGUUGGAGAAGAUAGAAACUGACUGAGCUUGUUGACAGAGAAAGCAAUCUCUGGUCUGGUCAAUGUUGCAUACUGAAGAGCACCUAUGGUGCUUCUGUAUAGAGUAACAUCAGAAAAGGGUUCACUAUCAGCUUUAGUAAAAGCCACUCCAGAAAGCAUAGGAGUAGAACAAGGAGUACUAUCCUGCAUGUGCACCUUGGCAAGCAAAUCAGUGAUAUACUUGGAUUGAGAAAGAUGAAUACCAGAUUUAUUGUAAAUGACCUGAACUCCCAGAAAAUAAUUCAAUGCACCAAGAUCUUUAAGUGCAAAAACAGACUGGAAGUUGGUGAUGGUCUGCUGAACAAGCUGAGGAUUGGAGCCUGUAAUAAUAAUAUCAUCUACAUACACCAAGACAAGUAGCAGAUGACCUUGUGUGCUCUUAAAGAAGAGUGAAGUGUCUGAAAUAGAAUUUGUAAAGCCCCACUGAGUUGUAAGAACUAGUUUGAGUCUGUCAAACCAUGCCCUUGGAGCCUGUUUAAGGCCAUAAAGAGCUUUGUGCAGCUUACAGACAUAAUCAGGCCUGGAACUAUCUAUAAACCCCUCAGGCUGUUGCAUAUAAACUUCUUCAGUGAGGUAGCCAUUAAGGAAGGCAUUAUUAAUGUCUAUUUGCCUCAGUACCCAAUGAUUCAUGACAGCCAUACUCAAGAUAAUUCUGAUGGUUGAAGACUUAAUGACAGGACUGAAUGUUUCAUGAAAAUCCAGCCCUUGAGUUUGGUGAAAUCCCUUAGCAACAAGUCUAGCUUUGUAUCUAGAGACACUGCCAUCAGGAUUAUAUUUAAUCCGAAAUACCCACUUAUUCCCAAUUACUUUAAUGGGAUGUGUAGGUUUGACAAGAGUCCAGGUAUGAUUAUUGACUAAGGCUUGAUAUUCAUCUGUCAUUGCUUUAUGCCAAGCUGAAUCUUGAAGGGCUUUUAAGGUAGUAGCAGGUUCUGUAGGUUUGGUAGGAUUGGCUGUAAUAUAGGCUUUAGGUUUGAAGAUACCAGCCUUUGAUCGAGUGAGCAUUGGAUGACCAGUAGAUGACUGCAAUGGUGGAGUUAAAUGAUGAACAGGUGAGGUAGAUGGUUCUGAGUGUGAUUGUAUAGAAGAUUGAGAAGGAGAGUCUGGAGAGGAUUGAGAGAACCUGAGAUCAGCUGCUGUAGAGGAUGAAGACUUGGUUAUAUCAAGUUGAAUCAAAGGACAAACAGAAGAUGAACAAUGUGAAGAAGACUGAGAUGAAUGAUCUGAAGAAGAGCAAGAGUGACUGACAGAGGAAAAAUCAACUCCUGACUGAAAAGGAAAACAUGACUCAUCAAAUGUAACAUGGUUACUGACAUAGAUUCUACCAGAGGAAUGAAGACACAAGUAGCCUUUGUGAAGGGAGCUGUAACCAAGAAAAAUACAUCUAGCAGUUCGAAACUCUAACUUAUGAUGAUUAUAAGGCCUCAGAUAUGGGAAACAAGCACAUCCAAAAACUCUCAUAACAGAAUAAUCUGGUCUUUUGUUGAAUAAUUUUUCAAAAGGUGAUUUGUUAUCCAGAAUGGGUGUAGGGAGCCUAUUUAUGAGAAAUGUGGCAGUAUGGAAAGCAUUCCACCAAAAUUUCAGUGGUAAAUGUGCUUGAGCAAGAAGGGUAAGGCCUGUUUCCACUAUAUGUCUAUGUUUGCGUUCAAUCUUUCCAUUUUGAUGGUGAAUAUAAGGACAAGGAUGUCUAAAUUGGAUUCCCUGCUCAGCAAGAUAAGGAAGAAAUGGCCUAAAUUCACCUCCCCAAUCUGUUUGAAGACACUUGAUUUUCCUAUUUAGGCAUUUUUCUAUCAUAUGCUGGAAUUCAAUAAAGGUUUGUAAGGCUUGAGAUUUGGUAACAAGAGGGAAUAUCCAGGUGAACCUAGUGAAAUCAUCUAAGAUGGAAAGAUAGUAGUGAUAGCCUUGAGAGGACAGCAAAGGAGCUGGACCCCAUAGAUCAGCAUGCAACAGCUCCAGUGGUUGAAUGGUAGUGGUGUCUAUAGAAGGAAAAUGCUGCAUGUGACACUUUCCAAAUUGGCAAGCAUUACAAAAAAUUGGUUUCAGGGCUCUAUUGAUAUCGAGAGAAGGAUGCAAAUGCUUCACAAUUUGUUUAAGAGCAUGCACAGUUGGAUGACCCAUUCUUUUAUGUAAAACAUUGUAAUCAACUGAUUUUGAAUGAGUAACAGACAAGGCCAUUGAGGCAUCAUUAUUGAAUUGAGAAAUAUUUACAUCUGUCAAAAUUUCUCCAGAAUGUAUAGAGUUUGAAACAUUGGAAUGACUAAUCAUUGACACUGGAGAGGAACAGACAUUUGACACAGAACUGGAAUUUGAGAUGACACAGAAAACAUUAGACGGAACUCUAUUUGAAACUGCAGCAUGAGACACUACAACAGGACCUUCAACUUGAUAUAAUCCUCCUCUAGCAAUCCCCUUGAGCAAGAUGAUCCCUGAUUUCUUGUCCUUGACAAAACAGGAGGUUUUAUGGAAUUCAACAACAACAUCAUUGUCAGCAAGUAAUUUAGAUACACUUAAAAGGUUUUUGGUUAUAGUUGGGACAUGCAAAAUAUUAUUAAGAUAGAUAGAUGUUGCAGCAAGUGUAUUCAAUCGUGUGCACCCAACAUGUUUAAUAUGUAAUCCCAUGCCAUUUCCUACAUGUAGCUUAUCAAAACCAUGAUAAACUGAGUAAGAAGAAAAGAUACCUGCUUCCUUAGUCACAUGAUUGGUUGCCCCGGAGUCAAUAUACCAAGCAGGAUCAGCUACAACUCCAUAAUCAGCAACUGGACCAGUGGGAGCAAAUUGUGCAGUGGGAAUAGCAGAAGGAGCAACUCCAUAGUUAGCAAAUGGAGUAGCAAUUGCACCAUUGUAUUGACCUUGUAAUCCUUGAAACACAAGAAACCCUUGAGGAUACAUAACAUUUGCAUUCUGAUAUGCAACAUUCCCUUGAAACAUGGGUGCAUUAUAUCUAGGAGCACCAGUUGCAGUUCCAUAAAAAUUUCCAUAACCUCUUCCAAACAUGUUCUGAGGCUGACCAGGAAAGCCUCUAAAAUUGAAUCCACCUCUAGGCCUAAAGCCACCUCUUCCUUGUCUAGGAAUAAAGUUCUGAUUAAAUCUGUUCCUGCAUUUGUAUGCUCCAUGACCAGGUAUGAAGCAUAUUUGACAAAUUACUUCCUUAUCAACAUUAUAUCCUCCUUUGCCAUUAUCAAAAUUUCCACCAUUAAAACCUCUCUGAUUAGCAUUAUUGAACUUAUUGUAAUUCUGUCCUUUCUGAGCAAAAUUAGCUGACAUAUCAUGCAACAAUUCAUUUUGCACCUUUCCCUUACUCAUCUCAACCCUAGUUUCAUGACUAAGCAUUAAGGAAUACACUUCUUCAAUAGUGAGAUUAUCUUUUUCCAGCCUAGCAAGUAUAGUUGUCACUAAUGACUCAUAGUUGUCAUCUAAACCAGUGAGCAAAUGCAUUAUAAAAUCUGUUGAAGCAAGAGGAUUACCACCAAUAGCUAAGCUAUCUGCAAUUUUUUUCAUCUUAUUGAAGUAAUCACUUACUGACAUAGCUCCUUUCUUUGUGGUUUGAAUCUGCAUUUUCAGAGGCAUGUAUCUAGCCUUUGACUGUGACAUGAACAUCUCGGCAAGUUUCUCCCAGAUCUCAAGUGAAGUAUCACAAUCCACAACCAUGAUAAGUACAUUGUCUACCAUAGAUGACAGCAUCCAGCUCUGUAGAAGCUUGUCAGCUUUCUUCCAGUCAAUAUAGUCAGAAUUUUCACGUCUGCUUGAGCUAGGAGCUUCUGAUCUACUGGCAGCAUUCUCAUAUGAGGAAAGAAAACGAUCUGGACAAGGAGAUUCUCCAUUGAUAAAACCUUCAAGUCCAUUGGCAAUAAUCGAAGCUUGAAUUUGAGCUCUCCACACCAGAUAAUUUGUUCGAUCAAGUUUUGUUGGUUGAAUAAAAGAAAAAGAAAGUGAAGACGAUCCUGAAUUGCUUUGAUUCGUCAUGUUUCGUGGCUCUGAUACCAUAUUAGAAUUCGUAAUAAGAUGUUUGGAAACAAAGAAAAACAGAGAAAAUGAAAAAGGAAACUUCACGAUUUAUUAACCAGAAUAUUCAAUGCUUAUUAAGCUUACUUAGCUAAGCUUAUAUACAAUUAUUCUAACUAAUUAAACAACUGCAAAACAACUAAUAACAACUUCAGAUUUAGUUUAGCCAUUGAGCUCUUGCCACAUGUCAUUCAGUUACAUUCAAUCUUGUCCAGCUCAGCAGCUCUGUCCAGCUCAGCAGCAACUAUAUCUUCAACAACCGAUACCCCCAGUGAUCAUGCCAACUUUGUUGUAAUACCCAUUGUUGGCAUGGGCGGGAUAGGAAAAACAACUCUUGCUCGGGAGGUCUACAAUGACAAGGCCGUUGAAGAUUCAAAGUUUGAUGUAAAAGCAUGGGUUUGUGUCUCUGAUGUCUUUGAUAUUUUGGGCAUCUCAAAGGCACUUCUCGAAUCAAUCACCCGCAGGCCUUGUCUUCUGAACAGUUUAAAUGAAGUGCAGGUUGAGUUGAAAGUAGCUGUGGAUAAAAAAAGAUUCUUGCUGGUCUUAGAUGAUGUUUGGAACGAGGACUACAGCUUGUGGGUAGACUUAAAAGCUCCAUUCUUGGCAGCUGCACCAAACAGUAAGAUGAUCGUCACCACAUGCAAUUCAAAUGUUGCAUCAAUAAUGGGACCAAUUGAACAUUAUAAUCUCAAGAGACUGUUAGAUGAUGAUUGCUGGUCCAUUUUCAUACAGCAUGCACUUGAAUCUAGAGAUCUUAACGCACAUCAAAUUUCAGAAUCGUUCCACAAGAAAGUUGUUGGCAAGUGUGGAGGCUUGCCCCUGGCAGCAAAAACAUUAGCGGGCCUUCUACGUACUACGAGGCAUGAUGCCUGGGACGAUAUCUUGGAUAGCAAACUAUGGGAUUUACCACGACAAAAUGACGUUCUCCCUGUGUUAAGAUUGAGUUACCAUCAUCUUCCGUCUCAUUUGAAAAGAUGUUUUGCUCAUUGUGCCAUCUUUCCGAAAGAUUAUGAAUUCAAUGAGAAGGAGCUGACUUUCUUAUGGAUGGCUGGAGGUAUUAUUCGACAGUCAAGAAAGAAUGAGCAGCUGGAAGAAUUGAGCAGCAAGUGCUUUCAAGAUCUAGUGUCGAGGUCUAUUUUUCAACAAACCAGCUCUGGUAGUGCUAAAUUUGUAAUGCACGACCUUAUCCAUGAUCUUGCUGAAUUGGUUUCUAGAGAAACCAUUUUCAGGUUAGAGGAGUCCACCAACUUGUCAUCAAGAAGAUUUGAAAGGGUUCGCCAUUCUUCGUAUGCCCGUGGUAGGCUUGAUGGUAAAUCUAAGUUCGAGGUUUUCAAUGAAAUUGAACAUCUACGAACAUUCUUGCCAUUAUGCAUAAGAGGUGGCGUUACUUCUGGUUAUAUAACUAGCAUGGUUCUCUAAGAUUUGUUGCCGAAGUUCAAAAGGUUGAGGAUGCUGUCUUUAGACGGAUACCGUAUUAGUGAGUUACCAAUUCCAUUUGAAGAUCUGAGACUUUUAAGGUUCCUAAACCUUGCUGAUACUGACUUAAGAAGUUUACUUGAGUCAACAUGCGCAUUGCUGAACUUGGAAAUUUUGACAUUAAGAAAUUGUUCCCGUUUGAUAAAGCUACCGCCCAAAAUGAUGAACUUGAUCAAUAUUCGUCAUCUCGAUAUAAGAGGUGCAAAUUUGUUGAAGGAGAUGCCAUUCGGAAUGAAAGAGUUGAAGAAUCUUCAAACAUUGUCCAACUUUAUUGUGGGCAAGGGUGAAACUGCAUCUGGUUUGGAAGAUUUAGGAAGUUUAAACUUUCUUUGUGAUGAACUUUGCAUUGCUGGAUUAGAGAAUGUGAAUAAUCCACAGAAUGCAAGAGAAGCCGCAUUAUGUGAGAAGCUCAAUCUUCAUGCAUUGACUCUAGAUUGGGGGUCUCAAUUUGACAAUUCUCGAGAUGUAGCAGUAGAAGAGCACGUGCUUGACAUUCUACAGCCUCAUAAAUGUAUAAAAAAGGUGGCAAUCAGGAACUAUGGUGGUGCAAGAUUUCCACUUUGGAUAGGAGAUCCGUGGUUCUCCAAGAUAUAAUUCCUUGAAUUGGAGAACUGUAACAAUUGUGUAUCUUUGCCAUCGCUUGGUCUAUUGAGUUCACUUAAGCACCUUGCUGUCAAAGGGCUGAAGAAGCUAAAAAGCAUAGAGUCUGAAGUUUAUGGGGAGGGUUUCUCAAUGCCUUUUCCAUCAUUGAAGAUUCUACGUUUUGAGAAUUUGCCAGAGUGGUGGCAUUGGGACACCGAUAUCAAAGGAAAUGUGCACGUUGAUAUAUUUCCUUGUCUCCAAGAACUUUCCGUUGUGAAAUGUCCCAAACUCUCUGAAAAACUGCCUGAGCUUCUGCCCUCCUUGGAGAUACUUGUUGUUAGUAAAUGUGAAAAGUUGGUAGUUUCAUUGUCAAGCUAUCCAAGGCUCUGCAGAUUAGAGGUUGAUGAGUGCAAAGAACUAGUGUGCAGGAUCCCAAUUGAUUCUAAGUUGAUAAAGUUCAUGACUAUUUCAAAUAGUUCAUUAGACAUGAUUGGAUGCAAGGGGAUGCUAU
Molecule: long non-coding RNA, 110930 nt
Filed under: Citrus maxima (pomelo)
Lineage: Eukaryota; Viridiplantae; Streptophyta; Magnoliopsida; Sapindales; Rutaceae
Description: long non-coding RNA (CMAX_LNC000711)
Source: RNAcentral